This 135947-nucleotide long non-coding RNA is filed under the name Populus trichocarpa (black cottonwood). RNAcentral's name for it is "long non-coding RNA (PTRI_LNC002907)". The record is from RNAcentral. Lineage: Eukaryota; Viridiplantae; Streptophyta; Magnoliopsida; Malpighiales; Salicaceae.
AAAAAGAAGAAGAAGAAGAAAGUUAUUUAAACAUGAAAAAAAAAUUACAAAUUUCUAGGCCUUUUUCCAUAAUUUUAAUUUUUUUAUUAUCUUUUGAAAUCUAGAUAUCUAAUUUUUGGGUAUUUUGUCAAAAUACUUUUUUAAUUUUUCAAGUUUUAUAUUAUUUUUUAUUUUCAAAUUUCUAACAAUUUUUUUCAAAAUAUACAUUUAAUUUUGCUUUUUGUUUUUUUCAAGUUUUUUAUUUUUAGAUUUCUAGAGAUUUUAAUGAAUUUGAGAUUUUUAAAAUAACUUGUUUUUAAUAUGAAAACUUUCAAUUAUUUUUAUUUUUGAAUGUUGGGCACUUUUCAAAAAAAAAUACAAUAGUCAAAUUUAGAUAACAUAUUUAUUAGUGUGGCAAAAGUUAGCGUUAAACUAGACAGUGAUGAAAUAAAGAGGCUAUAUUAACGGAAUUUUUUAAGUUGAGGGACCAAAUAAAUUCAAAAUAUAAUAAAGAGAUCAUAUUUGUUGUUAUUUAAUUUUUGAUAAAUUUUAAAACAAAACCAAAAUAAUAUUGCAUCAUCUUUCCCAAAUAAUUUAAAAUAAAAAAGAGAAAAAAAAUAUUUAAUUUUUUAAUAAUCCAAUUAUAAUUGUGGAAAGAAAAAGACCAAUUUAAAAAUUGGAAACCCUCUCAUGAAGCAACUCAUAUUUUUAAUUAAAUGUCUAAAAUUAAUUUUUUUAAUCUAAAAGUUUAUUUUUCUUAGUUUUGUUUUCAAGUAACAAAUGAAAGGUUGUGAUUUAUUCUUGAAAUUCAGUGGUUAAUCAAUUCUUUUAAUCUAAUAGUUCAUUUCUUUGCUUUAUCUCUAAAUAGCAAAUAAAUAGUUAUGAUUUGUUUUUAAAAUCCAAUAAUUAAUUUUAGUCUACUUUAUCUUCAAACCUAAAAUUUUAUUUAUUUAUUUAUAGGUAGUUACACUAACAGAGGAAAAGAUUUAAGGGAACUAGAAAAAAUAUAAAAAAUUCUCACUCUUUUUUUUAAAUCUCCCACAUAAAGAAAAAAAAAAAAACCCAGCCCAGUACCUCAACCUAAAAACUAGCCUCCAUGGAGGGAGACCAAAAAAACCUACUGCUCACUAUCAUUUUUUUCUUUACCAUCGCCGGCUACACCCACAACCUUCUACCCCACCGUGAACCAGACCAGUCCUUUGUCCCAGAAGCCCCCAUCACCAGCCACCCUCACUCAUGUCCCUCCAUCUUCUAUACUGAAACCACCUAAAAAUACCAGCACCGAAACCCACCUCCAACAACCACCCAGCCACCAGCUCGUCAACCACUCAGCCGCUAGCUUGCUAGCCACUUUCCUCCCCACCUAACUUGCCUACACCCACACGCCACCAUCAUCUUCAACCUUAGGCCAUAGCCUACACCAACUUGCCAUCUUUCUUUCCACUCAGCACCACUUGAAAUAAAGCACCUCCCUAUUUUGUUUCAAUACAAGCCCGGGAGUGUUCAUCUCUCAUCUUCUUCAGAAGCCCACGGCUGCCAACCCCCUAGUCACCAACCACUGAACCUCCUUCCAGCAGCCACCACACAGUCGCUUGCCCCAACUCUUACCCUUCACAUCCAAGAGCAAGCACUGACUGAGCUGCUCCUAUAUUUCCACCUUUUCCUUUGCUCCUGAAACCAGCCUAUCCAUCAUAUACGACUAUUUCCCCUUUUCUCUCUCAAUAUCAACAUUCGCCGGCCAUCAACUCUUCAACACCAGCCGCAAUAACUUGUUAAUUACUAUUAAUUGUAGGCAUUAUGAGAUAAUUUGAAAGAAAUGCAAUAUUAGCAUGGUUGCAUUCGCCGGCCAUCAACUCUCCUUGUCGCCUGUCUCCAUCUCCUUUUAUCUCCACUCCCCAUCAUUUACUGUAAAAGUAUGUAUAUUAAAAACUCAAAGGAAAGAAAAUUGCAAAUAUAUAUAAUUAAUAAACAUCCUAAGUGUGUUUAUUACGGCGGUAAUAAUUUUUGUGAUUGAGGUAUAAUAAAAAUAAUUUUUUAAAAAGUAUUUUUUUAUUAUGGUUGAUGAGGUUAAAAUAUAUAUUUGGUUUAAGUGUGGUUAAAUUUUAUAAUCAUAAAAAAAAAUAUUAAAAGUGUUUGGUAAAAAAUUAUGGUUCAAUUUUAUAUUAUGGUAUAAUUACUUAAAAGGAUUUCAUUCAUAAUUUUAAUUUUCAAUAACAUAAAAAUUAAUUUUACAACCAAUAAAACAUUAUAAAAGAUACCUAAACAUAGCAGAACGAUAUUUUAUAAUUGUGUCAUUAAACUUGCUGCAUCUUAUCAUGUACCUAAUUCAUAUGCAAAGGCUUGUGAUUUUUUUGGACUUGUGAAUGUGGAGCCAUAUCAGCGAAUAAAUCAUCGGGAACAUAAUUGGUCGGGAACAUAAUUGGAAUGAUGAUCAAACUCCAUAAAUACCAUAUCUUGGAGUGAAGUUCUUCUAAUGUAAUUAUGAAUUCUUUUUUUCUAAACUCCAAAUGUACGUUCUAUCACACAACCUAAUGAAGAGUGGAGUGGACAUGGUUGAAAAUUUCUUCACGAGUUUAUGGUUCUCCUCGCCUCCGAAAUUCUUGCAAAUGAUAUCUCUGACCUCUAUAUGGACCUAAAAAUCCAUAUUCAUUAGGAUAUCCUGAAUCAACCAAGUAAUAUUUCCCUGUAAAAACAUACAAUGGGAUAAAAAUUAAAAUUGCGUUUCCAAAAAUUUAACAUUAACACACACACACACGUUACUACUUUUUGGUGGCUUGGGGAAUUUUAUAUGUGGAUUGUCAAUUGCCUCGAGAAAAAUUCAUGUAUCAAGUGCACUACCUUCCUAGCCCACCCAAACAAAUAUGAAUUGCAUGUCAAAGCUAUAUGCAGCCAUAACAUUUUGAGUCGACACACCUUUUUUUCUGAUAAAUAGAAUUUGAUUUUCUGAAGAAACACAUGCGCGCACAUGUGUACCACCAAUAACUCCUAUACAAAUCUAAAAUAAGAGAAACUAGCCACCAGUAUCAACGUUAGUUGACUACAAAAUAAUUUUUUUCAAUUUUAUUUAAUUCAAAGCAUCAACAGUAAAUACCAAUAAUUUCAUUACCUUGAAAUGAGGCAUAUACCUUGGAUUAUUCAGAAUUUCACGCGGUGUGCUUACAAACUCGGGAUCUGCAGGUUGUAUUAAAUCAGUAGCGGGCGAACAAACUGAUUUAAGAACUUCAUUAAAGUACCGACUAAUAGUUUCUUUUGAAUGUUGAAAUCUCUCCUGAACUUUCCUGUUGGAAGCACCCAAUGCUAUUGUAUAAAGAAACAUUCCAACUUUUUUAAAAACACAUAUUCUUCUAGAUGCUUUUAACCUAUAUAGGUUUUUUAGUUGAAAGCAAAGACUUUGAAAUGUCGCCGCAUCUAUCAUAAACAUGUUUACGCAGCAUGUCCAAUGUCCAUGUAAUAUUUCAGUCAACCAUCGCAUUCUAGUGUUGUACGAAUCCAUACAAGGUUCCUUGUAUAUAUAAGUAUUAUAGUAUAAUGCGAGAGCACCUGCCGUGCAUAUAACCAAUUUCUGACGAUUAAACUCUCUUUUCCAAAACAACCCACCUUCUUUGUUUGAAUCAUUAUCGUCGUUUUCAUCAUUAUCAGAAUUGUCAUCGCCACUGGAAUCUCCAUCAUUAUCAGCAGAAUGACCAAAAUUAACGUAGUCAGCUACAUUAUUCAUUACAUCAUCAUACCCCCUUCAAAAAGUGCUUCAAACCAUUGUGAAUCCAUAAGUAUUAUGACAUAUAAUUUUUUAUAUUUAAUGGGAAUAUGCAUUCAAAGUAAUCAUUACAUAAAUUAAAGAUGUUCUAUGAAACAUGCAUUUGUAUUAUCUUAAAGGUAUUUAAAUUGAAACAACUUUUAUAUACCAAUAUGAAAUUUUGGUUAUAUAAACCUGUUAUUAACUUGUUCCUUACAAAUACAAAACAUUGUACUCACAAUGAUGCAAAUGAACAGACGUUUACGAAGCUAUGAAAACCCUGAAACAACUGCUCUAACUAACAUUUCCUCGCGCAAGUUAAUCAAACCCUGAAACAACUGCUCCAACUAACAUUUCCUCGCGCAACCUAAUCAAACAAAGCAUUAAUAUCAAUUUGUUUUAAUUUUUUUCUUGAGAUUCACAUAUAAUAAUUUAUGCAUGUACCAAUUCACUUCUCUCAUGACACUACAAUACUAAAAUUAUGUUCAAGUAGUAACUUAUUAAGCACUUAUUUGUUAAAAGUAUAGAAUGAAGCGAUUUCUUAAUCAUACUUUGUGUAGUAUAAAUGUUUGGAAUUACAUGAUGAAAGUGAGAAUUUGAAUGCAAAUGCAUAAACAGGAGCUUGGACUGGAACAAUCUAGAUGGAAUUAAUUAUGCCAAAGAGACCAUGCCAAUACUAAAGAAUGCAUUUUGUUUAUAAUAAAGUUUAUCACAUUGAAAAUAAUAUGUUACAAUCAUACUAAAUGAAAUGAAACUUACAUAUUAUAAAUCCCAGCAAUGACAAAUACCAGUAAUGAGAAACCAGCACACCUAUUAUCAAUGCCAUAACUUUCGGUUUGAGAAACCAGGACACCUGUUAUCAAUGCUAUAACUUUCGAUUUCUUCUUUAGUAGAAUACAAUAUGACAUGAAGUUUGCCUUCUGAAAUUUUGGUUAUUUAUAUACCAAUAACAAUAAUGUAAUUAACAUUCAAAAUAAGAUCUUAACUAAAAUUCCAAAACAAUUGAAACACCAACUGAAAUUUCGGUUUACCUUGUGAAAUUUUGGUUCUUUAUAUACCAAUAACACCAGUGCAUAUAACAUUCAAAAUAAUAGGUAACUAACAUUCUAAAACAGUCCCACACCAACUGAAAUUUUGAUUUCCAAGUAUGAAACCAAUCAUUCAAAAGUAAGUAACCAAACAUUCAAAGUCUCACACCAACUGAAAAUUUUGAUUUCAAUAACCUGAACCUAACAUUAAAAGUUUAGGUAUCCAUACAUUCAAAUUCCAAUAAUACUAACUGAAAUUUUGGUUUCCAUGUAUGAAACCAAAAUUUUCUAACAAGUAACCAAACAUUUAAAGUCCCGAGUUCAGUACUCAUAAAAUUCCAACCUAACAAUAUUCAGUGAAACAUAAAGUGAAAACAUACAUGGUAAUGGUGUUCCAACUACUUGGUAACAGAAAUACACAAAUUAGUAGUCAACUUCAUAUAAUUCCAGCAAUAAUUGCAACCCAAGAAGUUUGCAAAAAAAAAAACAAAGGAAAAGAUAAGUUCAAUUGAAAAUGCUAUUAGAUUAUAGUAUUUAACAUAAAUAAAAUGACAUGAAUAUGUUAAUAAGUUAACACCUGACCUUAUUCAUCUAAGGUUUUCUUCCUUGUUCAAAUAUUAUUUUCAGCCAUGAUAUUUUUAUAUCAAUAGAACCCAUUGCAGCCCACAUCUCCCUCUUGCUUCUCGCACAAAAAAAUUAUAUGGCAAAGGUAUGCAAAGCACUACCAAGGUUAACUCCAUCAAUUGAAUGCAGUUCUUCCAUUACCUCUUCAAUGCUACAUCUUUUUUUAUCUCUACAAGUUGUUGUGCUCUCUUUGGCCAUGGAGACAGACUAAACAAGUUGAUCCAGACAUGCAAGUAAUUAUGCUCCCAUUCAAGUUCCCCUCUUCUUUUUCUUGCAUUGAGGUGUAGUAUGAUGUGUAUCAUUUCUCUUUGUACUAUUGUGGUUGCUGCUAUUGUUUGCGACAUUGCUUCCACCAACCAAUUACUAACAUCAUGUAUGAAAUUAGGGAUUGCAUCCUCUUCAAAGUUGCCACUUCCUUCUUCUAUAUUAGUUUCCUCAUUAGUUGUAUUUCUCAUUCCAGCAGCCUCAUUAUCUUCAUCUAAUAGCAGUCAUUGUGAGGGAGUCUAAGCAUAUUAUCUCGUGGCCACUAUGUUAUUAAACAUGAUAUCAUACUAGGCACAUAACGAGGGCUCUAUACCAACAUGCCUAAACUUCUUUGCUCAUCUCAUUUCCUGUGUAAUGAAAGUUAGAUGUAGUUAGCAAUGCUACCAGUAGAUUAAUAAAUAAUACAACAAGACAACUGGAAAUUUUAUGAGGCUAUUGAUAAGGAAAACUAACAUGAAUUUUUUCUUUCCACCAUUCAUCAGUUGUGGAGAUGGUCCCCAGUUUAGUACUCUAACCAACUCCAAUUUUAUUUAUUAAUUUUUUCCACACCCUCAAGUCCUUUUUAAUCCCAUCCCAUUUGUUUUUAAGCUGAGCUUUUAUUAAUGAAAGUCAUGUUUGCUCUUUGAAUAACUGUAUGACAAAUUUCCAACCAGUUUUAUCGAAAUGGAUGUUUGGUCUCAUGCCUCUCUCAAUAGCUUUAAUGCAAAUGUCACAAAACAUGUGUAACAUUGUCUUGGUCCAACAAGUUUUAUCAUGUGUGUCAGACCCAUCCAUUGUUUAAUGGUUAACAAUGCAAUAACAAUGAAACAAAUAAUUAACUAUAUAAAUAACAGAUUGAAUGCUAACAAGGGCUAAAAUAAAAAAAAUAAAAUAAAAGACAAUUACAUUUGCAGCAAUCAACAAAUAACAUAACUGUAGACAACAAUGUAAUGAAAUUCUUCGAGAUUAUGCAAUUGAAGCUAAUGUAUUCCAUUUAACAACUAACAAGCAAUUACAUUUGUCAAAGAAAAUACUCUAACAUCGCUCUACUAUUUCUUCACAGGGGAAACAACAUUUAAAACUAUACACUAUACACAGAAACCUCAAAACUAGAAAGUGUUUUGUCCUCAAGAAACCCAGAACAUCAAUAAUCUGAAGUGUUAAGAUCAUACAUAUCUAGUAUCAUACAUAGUAAUUGUAAUUAGUUAUGUUUCAUCAAUUAUCAGGGGAUUUUAUAAUUUAUUGAGGAAUUUAUUAGUUUAAUUUAUGUUUGUUUAUUUGUUAGCAUUCAUCAGCAAAAAACAUACAAGACAUUGUUUCUAGUGGCUUGAAAACUAUUAUUGGUUGAUAGUGUAGCAAGUACUAUUCCUUUAACCUUAAUUAGUUUAACAAUCCAUUAGUCUAAACAUCAAUAACUCAUAAUACAGGUAGGCAUAAGAUAGGGAUUUGGAAACAAUGAGCAAUAAUCUCAUACCAAGGCAACAAAACAGUGAUUUAUAAAAAUGAAUAAACAGAUAUAGGGUUGGAAGCAAGGAACGAAAAUUAACUUAACAAAACUAUAUGAGCAGACCGGUUAGCAAACUAACUCGUUGGAAAUUAUAGCUUUGGUGUCUGAAUGAAGCAGGAUUUUGAUUUCUAUUUUGAGGUUGUUGAUUGCAGUAAUGGGAGUUGUUCUUGUUCUUUUUCUUUUUUGUUAAGGAGAAAUCAAUGACAAGUGAAUGAGAAGCAAGAGACGUUACGAUGGUUAUUAUUUUGUGGGUUAUGCAGCAAUAAUGGUGAUUGUACUAUGAGACUUGUUGCAGUUAAGGUGAAUUGAAUGUAAUGAAUAUGAAUUGAAAAUGAACGAGAAGAGAAAGAGAAAGAGAAGAGGGUGCUUUGGUAAUUUUUCAUUUUGUUUUGCAGAUCCAGAAAAUUCAACCUGUGGUCCAAAUUGCAAAAGCAGGAAACAAUUAUUUUUCCACAACCGAGGUCCAGCCUCGGGAAAGUGGUGGGGCCGACCAUUUGUAUAUUCUUUUGUUAUUGGUAACCAAACACCAAAUAUAUUGCGUUUACAGAAAACACAAACACUGCUUCAGAUACAAACGCCCUCUAAAAACAAUUUUUGUCCAGCCAUAAAAUAUCUUUAUGUUAUCCUAGAGGUUGCCAGGGAUAUUGACACACCCAUAAUCAUAAUCAUAUAUAUAUAUAUAUGAAGCGACCUUUGUACUAAUUAAUCAUGAAAUAGUUGUUGCAGUUAGGGUGAAUUAAAUGUGUCGGAACUUAAAGAUUAUGUCCUUUUUAUUAAAGUGUGUUAAUAACUUGUUAAUUAAUAUUAAUUGUAGGCAUUAUGAGAUAUUUUGAAAGAAAUGCAAUAUUAGCAUGGUUACUUAGGUGGGUUAUUUAACUUGCAUGAUUCAACAUAUGUCUUGUAUUAAACGACCAGUCAUCAAACCACAAAAACAUAACAAAGAACAAAUACAUCAAGAAUUGCUAAUUGAAUUGCAAGCAAAUAAUAACUCAUCUUGUGUAAUAUAUAUGAGUUAUGAUGUAUUUAGUCAAUUAGUUAUAAUACUUUAUGUGAGAGGACUAUUUAUGGAUAGUCAAUACAAUGCUACGAGGAACAAAUUGUAAAGUUUCUACACAUUUUAAGUGGCCAAACAUGUACUCGAUCACAAAGCUUUUUUUUUUCUAUCAAUUUACUAAGACAAGUCAUCAUUUUCACCAGGUACUUAGAGUUCUAAUAACACUUGAAUAUCAAAUUUAGUUCAACCAAAUGGUUCUAUAAUCCCAUCACAAAUGCUUAACAAUGGAGAAAGAUUUUAUCCAUACUUUAAGGUAAUUUAUUAUAUAGAUAUAUUUAUUUUAACAAUAUCUAUGGAACUCUUAUAAUCAUUUUUAUUAAUGAAAAUGAAAAUUUUAAGAAUUGUAUUCGCAAUAUAUAUGGAAAACAUAUCGAUUCCAAAGAAGAUGUAUCAAGUUAUAAAGGAGGGAAAAGUUAUCCUAUAAUGAAUGUAUUGGUUGCUGACACUUUUAACAUAAAAUUCACUUAUAUCUUACAUGGGUAGGAGGGCUCAGUUUCAUACUCAAGAAUUAUAGAUAACACUUUAAAUAGAGAGGAUAAGCUAAUGUUAUUCAAGGUAUUUGGUUUUUAUAUAUAUUUUAAAUAGUGAAUAAAAAAUGAUACUUAAAGUGUUUAAAGUAAUUUUUCUUAAUUAUAUUUUAGGUAAAUUCUACGUAGUUAAUGCUGAAUAUAUGUUGAGAUCAGGGUUUAUGACUCCAUAUCAAAUUACUUAGUAUCAUUUGAAAUAAUAUUCUCAACAUAUUUCUAGAAACACGAAAGAGCUAUUCAACUUAAGACAUUCUUCAUUGUGUAAUGCAAUUGAAAAGGUUUUUGGGAAGUCAAGAUAUUCAAUUCUAACUGAGAUGUCAAGAUAUGAUGCGAACACGGUGUGUGAAACGUUUUUAGCUUCUUGCAUUUUACACAACUUAUUAAUGGAUUUUUAAUUUGGAUGAAGAAAUUAUUACAUGAGUUGAUAAAGACCUCAUGAAUAAUGAGCCUACAUAUGGAUUUAUUUAUGGAGGAAUUGAUAGAGGUGAAGAUGGAUGAAGGGAAGAAAUUACAAAAGAGACUAUGGUUACACAGGUAUGACAUGAUUAUACAUCUCGACAUUAACUUGUCUUUUUUACCAUUGCUUUUGAUAAGAACUUGAUUUUAUGUAUUAUUUUUAUUUUACUUUGAAUUAAUUGUGUUUAAAUAUCUUGAACUUAAGACUGGAUGCUUAAAUUUCAUGUGUUUUUGUUAUAAUAUUUAUUGAGCUAUUAUUACAUUAUUUUAGCCUUGAAUUUGUUUUUGUUUUCUUGUCUUUUCUUUCUUGAGUAAUGUAAGUUAAAGAAUGUGUUAUACGAUGUCAUAUAAUAUUUAUGGGAGUUAUUUAUGUAGAAUGUGGAAAUGAUGGAGAAGCAUAGUUGAGCGGACCAUAUAAAUGGAUGAGAUGAUGCUUGAAAUUCUUAGGGAACAAAAGAAUAAGGAUCAAAAUGAAGAUAAAACCUCUAUUUUUUUUUAAGCUUAUAGAAAGAUGAUAGUUGAAAUCAAUGAAAAAUUUUCUUUGAACAUGUUUAAGACAAAAGUGUCAAAUCAUUUAAAAACUUUUAAGGAGCAAAUGGUUUUAGAAAAAACACUUCACUUGAAAAGUAGAAUUGAAUGGAAUGACACUACCAAAACAUUCAAAGCUUCAAAGAAGGUGUGGAAACCUUUAUUGAUGGUAUGAAUAUUAUAAUUCACUUGUCAUAUUUUCAUUAUUAUAUGCUUAUUAGUUAUAAUUGUCUUAAUUUAUUUACUAUUACAAGGCCAAUUCUAAGUUAAGACUUAUUUGAGGAAAGCCUCUUCAUCACUUGAACAUUUUUAGAGAGACAUAUGAGAAAAAUAUAGCAAUUGGAUCUCAAGCCAAGAUUGCUAGAGAAAAUGUUUGAAGAUGGGAGAGAGAGAAAAGGGAGAUGAUGAUGAUGUUUGUCGCACGUGUGCGACGUCGCGGCGAAAUCGUUCACUCUCAGUAUAUGUGUAUCUAUCUGGCAAAUAAGGGGUAAAUAAGGAAAUCUUGUCUUUUAUCAGUGGAAAAAAGAAACGGGAUUCGCCACCUAUUAUUUUGGUCACUAAGAACCCUAACUGGUCUUAGACAUCUGGUACAGGGACUGAUUGUAUAAAGGAAAAGUAUUAGCACCCCAAAUACGCCCUACCUAAGGUAAGUUGCAUUGUUUUAUUGUCUAAUAUAUGCUAAGGUUUCAUUGUAUUUCUAAUUGUUGGUUUGUCUAUGGUUUAAGAAAAGUCCUUCUCAGUAAGGAGAUCCUUAUUUUAUCGGAUAAAAACCUAACCAUUCUAUGUUAACAAAAGAAAUACCUUUGGUUUUACGUAUAAAUUCGUAAUCCCAAAUACUAAAAGAAAAAAAAUGAUUUUUUAGAAUUUUUGAAAUAUUGGCCUAGUUCCUGGUUAUUAAAGCCAAAAUGCAUGCUAAAACAUAUUUUUGAAUUUUUGUUGUAUGAAAAUACGAUAUAAUUUUUUUUCUUUGAGAGACUUGACUGUAUACAUGAAAACAAAACAUUUUUUUAUAUAAUUUUUUGCAAUGUUUUGAUAAAAACCGGGUAUUUUAAUAUCGAAUUUGUAUCUUUACGGUAUAAAAAUACAAACCAAUAUUAAAUAAAAUUGAUAAAAAUACGCAGGAAAAUCACAAAAAAUUUCAAAAAUGAUUUUUGAAGAAAAUUUUUAGAUUAGGCCAGACCCGACCCAGUCAUUUUGGGCGGGGCCGGACAGUGAACAGUGGAGCUGCUCUCCACUGUUCACGCAGAACAGUAGAGAACAAAGACGAUGAAGAAGAAGGAGGAGGAGGAGGGGGAGGAGGGGGAAGUUGACUUGCGGUGAUUACUGUCGUUGGCGGUGCUGCUGGAGGUGGUAGGCGGCGACUCCUCCUCUUCUCUCUUCUAUUUUGCGUUGCUUCUUCUUUCUAUUUAUGUCCCCUCUGCUUCUUUGUUUCUUCUUCUGUUUCUGACGGUUGAGGUGUUGUUGUCGACGAUUGGGAGGAACGGUGGUAAUUGGUGGUGGCUAUGUGGAAAACAUACGGUGGUUCUUCCUCCUUUCUCUUUUGUUUCCACUUUUCCUCCUCUUUGUCUUCCCCUGAUAUUUCCUUCUUUCUUUGCUUCUGUUUCUCUCUUAUUUCCCCUGUGUUUUCAACUCUAUUUUUUCUUUGUUUUUUUUUGUUCUCUCAAAUCCCGUAGUUCGUUCCUCCAAAAUUUUCCACCCUACUAGUUUGUUCUCCUCCCCUUCUAUUUAUAAGCAGGAGGAGAGGGAGCCUUCCCUACUCUGUCCCAUCGUGGUGUAGGGGGGGAGUGGGGUUACCUUAUCUCUGCAGGGUAAGGUGGCCGCCCGUUUGCAGGGCAUGGUACCCCUUUCUUUUAUUUAUCAAGUUGGUAGGGUAUGUGGGAGUAUGAACUGUGUCGGGGAGGGGGGAGCGGGAGAAAAUGAAUUCAAAAACUCUUUUUCCCCUGUUGCAUGUCAAAGGGAAGAAGAAGCAACCCAGUGCCGUUCAAAACGACACCGUGUAGUUUUUUUUUUCAACAGUGCAUGAAAAAGAAAUGAAUUUGAGAAUAACCCAAAAAUAGGUUAUGACAAUGUUAAUGAGAUACAAGCAAAUAAUAAGAUUCAUUCGGAGAACUUUCAUCCCAAGUGCUCCAUUAACACCAAAAAUACAAGGUCUAUUAUCAUUUACUCCAUGAUUGUUUAGAACUUCAUCUUCAGAAGGUACAAAACAAAAAACACCAAUGAUAGGUGAUUAUUAUUCAUAAUUUGAAGAAAUGACCCGUGCAAUGAAGAAUAUUUCACAAUUUGUUAUGAACACAAACCAUCAAGUUUGGAAGCCGAACAAGAUAAUUAAAGCAAUGAGGGAAUCAUGAUUGGAGGGAUCAAAUCUUUUUGAAGUAGUUGAAUGACUUGUAAAUCAUUCUAAUCUUAUUGGAAUAUUUUUUAGAUACCUGAAAGAGCUACGCUUUAAAUGGUUGAUGAAAAAAAUGAGUUGAUAAUAUGUUAUUGAAGAGUUCAAGUUAAGCAUGAAAGUUAAAACUAGUAUUUAUACAAUUGUCAGGAGCUUAUUUAUACAAUUGCUAUAAAUUUAUUUUUUAUGGUGAUAUCUUUUAAAUUAUUAAAACUAGAAAUUAUGAUAUCUUUAUUGAAUUGUUAACAUUGUUAAAAUUAUAUUAGUCAUUGACUUGAUUUUUUUUUUUAUGAUGAAUGGAUGAUUCCAAGUCUGAAGUCUACUAUUAAUAUUUUUGAAUCCUUUCUCUCAAGAUCAUUGAUACAACAAUGACUUUGUAACCCUUUUUAUUAUAUUGCAAGAAAAUUCAAGGUAAUCUAAUGUUAAGAUACUUCAUUUAGAUUGAAAAAUCAUAAAUGCUGUAAAAAUAUUAAAGGAUAGUAGUUAAAAAUUGAUAAAUAUAAAGGUCGUUGUAACAAAAAAAAAAGAUGUUUUUUUAACAAAAAAAAAAUGAUUUAAGGGCAAAACAAUCAAGAUUAUUAAUUCAAUUUAUUUUCACAAGUAUUUCAAAGACUAUAAUUGAAUUCAAUUACAUAAUUUAUUAUUUUAUUAUAAAUAUAAAAAUUUUAAUAGGUUAUUAAUUGAAUUCGAAUUAUAUAUGAAAUUCAUUUCAACAUGUAAUUUGAUUUUAAACAUAUUACCACCUGCUACCAACUUAACAUUUUUUCAUCUAAUAUCAUUUUCACUUAUCCACGCACUAACCUUUUUUGGUUAUAAAAUAUUAAGGUAAUUUUUGGUAUUAUGAUAGCUAUUGUUUUUUAAAGUGUUUUUUGUUUAAAAAUAUAUUAAAAUAAUAUAUAUAUAUAUAUAUAUAUAUAUUAUAUUUAUUCUUGACAUCAAUAUAUUUAAAAUAUCAAAAAAUUAUUUAAAAAAAAAAACAUGGUAAAACUAUAUAUAUAAAAAAACACAUCCUAACUAUCAUCAACUUUUGACACAACCCAAUUUUUACACAAACUCAAAAGCGCGUCCAGGUUAGAAUAAAAAAAAAGGGGGGGCGAAUUCGAAUUCCCGCUAGAGAUAAUUAACCCUCCAAACUGCUCCCUCUAUUCAAAAUUCCAAACCCCGCCUAUCACAAGUCUUAAUAAAACAGAAAACCCCCUCUCCCUCUCCCUCUCCCUCUCUUCCUUUCUAACGGUAAUUACCUCUCUUCCCUUCCUCAUUUUCUCCAUCUUUCCAUUCACUGCAUCAGAUCUGCACUCAUAAAAGAAAAGAAAACAAAAUGGCGUUGUCUUACAGUGAUAUUAUAGAUCCCUCUUCAAGGCAUCACACUUAUAGCAGGAAACAGAAAUCUCUCGGUCUCUUAUGCACCAAGUAAACAAACCCAUCUUUCUUUCUUUUUUUUUUUUUUCAAAAACUCAUAGUUUCCCCCCGCAAUUGAAUUGAUUUUUACUAAUUGUGCAGUUUCUUGACCCUGUAUGAUCGAGAUGACAUUGACGUGAUUGGACUUGAUGACGCUGCUUCAAAAUUAGGUAUUUAUUUAUUUCUGAUUUUUAUAUUUUACUGGUUAUCAUGAUUUACGAAUAUCGAUCCGUAUUUUGAAUGGGUGGGAUUUUUAAUUUCUUUUAAUGGGUUUGUGAUUUGCAGGGGUUGAGAGAAGGCGGAUCUAUGAUAUAGUCAAUGUUUUGGAGAGUGUUGGGGUGAGACUCUUGAUUAUGAUGUUUCAAUUUUUUUUCUGUUUUUUUAUUGAGUUUUCUUAUAUGGGUUUUUGAUGUUCUUAAAGGUUCUUGCAAGAAAAGCAAAGAACAAGUAUUUAUGGAAGGGAUUUGCUGCAGUCCCUAAAGCUUUACAAGAAUUAAAGGUAGUAGAAAUAACCCAAAAAAUAAAAGAAAAUGAUUAUAUGUUCCGUAUACUUGAGCUCGAUAUGGGUUUUCUUAUGAAGUGUUGUUGUUUUUUGAAAUUGGGCUGAUUUUGUGUUGUUGUUGAUGUUUUAGGAAGAGGGUUUGAGAGAUAAUGUCAAUACAAUUGAUAAGCAAAGCAAUAAUUCUGUGAAAGUAAGCGAACUUUUAAGGGUUUAUUAUUCUUUCUUCAUGAACUUACUGUGUUUUAAUAAGGGCUUCUUUCAUUCUUUUUUUCUAGUCGGGAACUUUUUUGUUAAUCUCCAUUUUUCGUGUGUUGAAUUUUUUAGGUUGCAGAUGAUGAUGAGGAUGAAGAUGAUGACUCUGAUUCCAAUCCUAACACUGGAAGCCAGAAUGAGAAUUCUGGUAUUAUCAAAUCUACAGCGGCGUCAAGAUUUGGUAAUGUCCUCUCCUUUUCUAUGAGCAUCUGUAUUUAUGUUUUCUUCUCUCUCGUAUGUUAUUACAUCACUUGUACAAGUAAGUUUUUUUUCCACAGAAUCUGCAUAUGAUUUAAACAAGCAAUAGCUUAACAAACUUUCAAAGGUCUUUGUAGUUAUUUAUUCUAGUCCUAUGUUUUGUUCAAAAUUUUGGUUGCACAUAUAAUUACCCAUCUACUUUUCUUAGCAUCUUAUAACCAACUCAAUUAUUUUUGUUACAGAUCAUAGGAGGGAAAAGUCGCUGGGUCUUCUUACUCAGAAUUUUGUCAAGCUCUUUGUGUGCUUCAACGUGAGUGAAAUCUUAAAUGAGCUUAGUUGUUACAGCCUAGAGUGUGAUAAAUGUUGUUUUUCAAAGUGUUUUUCGGUAUAAAAUAUAUUAAAAUAAAAUAUAUAUAUAUUUUAUUUUUUAAAAUUCAUUUUUAAUAUGAGCAUGUCAAAAAUAAUUUAAAAACAUAAAAAAUAAUAAUUUAAAACUAAAAAAAUUUUAAUUUUUUUUUAAAGCAUGAUUAAACUACAAUGUCAGAUGAUGUAGCCAUUAUCUAUUACAUAGGUGCUUAUGAGUGUUUUGUUAUCAGGCAAAUUUGAUCUCGCUAGAUGAAUCUGCCAAGUUAUUACUCGGGGAUGGCCAUAAGUCCUCAAUUAUGAGAAGUAAUUUUUCUCAACUCCUCAACUUUUGAUACGAGCAAUUAGUGGUCUAGCUCUUUGGUUUACAUUCUGUGAAUAAUAUGAUCGUGCAGCAAAAGUAAGGAGGCUAUAUGACAUCGCAAAUGUGCUUUCUUCUCUAAAACUUAUUGAAAAGGUAACCAAUCAUGACAAAUGCUUAUUGAAAACUUAAAGGAAUCAUGUUAGCCUUUGUUACUCGAGCACUAAUACAAUUCUUUAAAGUACUGAUAUUUAUUAAAUGAUGUGCAGACACAUACUGCUGAUACAAGGAAACCUGCAUUCAGGUGGUUAGGUUUGAGAGGAAAAUCGGAGAAUGGAUCAGGUGAUCCUUUGGCUCCUUUUGAGUCUAGGAAGAGGACAUUUGGAGCUGAUGUCACAAACAUAUGUUCUAAAAGAAACAAAACGGAUUCUUCAGUUGAUGGGGAUAAAAGCAAGAAUCUGAAGAUGCAGAAGCAAAUAAAAGAUGAGAAUAUUGUAACUGUCGUUCAGAGAGGCAAUUUCGACCAGGAUUCACAGCAGAACUCAGGAAGUUUCCAGUUUGGCCCUUUUGCUCCUGUUAGCAUAGCCAGAGUUGGCAACUCUGAAGAGAAAGUGACUCAGAUCUAUGAUUGGGAGGGUCUUUCCUCUACUUUCCGUCCUCAAUACCACAACCAAGGUACAACCUAAUGCUUUCAUAAAAAAUUCAUUGAAACGGUUUGACCAUAUCAGACUUCAAGAUCCAAUUAUUUGACGAUUAGGUUCAGAAAUACAUGUUCAGUAUGAAACAGAAAACACCUGGCCUACAUAGUCUGUCGGCCUUUCAUUUCAUGUUUCCUUGUGAUAUCAUGCAACGAGUUGGACAACUGAUCACUCCAUUGUUGAGUUGUCUGAAAGCAUGAAAAUUGUCAAUAGGCUAUUGUUUGAAGGUCUGCUAGUAAAGCUAUGCGUUUAAGAAAAGCAAAUAUGGUUUGCUUAGGUCAUAUCACUUUGUUCGUCCAGUGAAGUUAGUUAUUCGUGAAAAUCAAAGUUUGUAAAUAGAUAUAUUAGAUUAGUGAGCAAAUAAAUUUAAUUUAUUAUUAUAAAAACAUGUUAAAUAAAAAAUAUCCAAUAAAAUUAUAGAAUUUAUAUAUUUUUAAAACUAUAAAUAUAUAAAAGUAUAACUAAUAAUAAACAUGAUUUCAAUAUAAAAAAAUAAAUAAUAAAAUACUAGUAUGCAUCCUAAGUAUAUAUUUAAACUUGUAAUUAAUAUAAAAUAAAAAAUUCUAGCAUACAUAAUAAUAAAAUUAAUUAUGCUUAAUUGAAACAAGAAUGAUAUUUAUUUGUUGAAGUAUUUUAAAGUAAUGAAUCUUUUAUCAUUAAUGCUUUAUUGCUUUUUAUUUAUACAACUAGAAUGUUUGCAAUAUAUCUCUUAAAAUUCCAAUAACACUAAUUUAAAUGUACUUUUAAACAAGAUUUUUGAAUUAAAAAUUAUAUAAAUUAAAUAUUUCUCAAUAAGAUGAAUCUAAACUCUAGAUUUGAAAGGAAAACUAAAGCAUGGAAAGAAAAAGAAAAACAUAAAAAAUGAGGUAAGGAAAAGAAUGUAAAACUUGAAAAGUUCAAGUUAGAAAUUUUUUCUUUAUCCUUUUUUAACAUAGUGGAUUUUGAAAAUUAAAAGGUUAAAGAAUUAAUAAAAAUUAAUUUUUAUUGUUAUUAAUAUUUGAUUAACUAUUCUAAAUCAAGAAUUAAAUUAAAAAAAAUAAAAAAUUUUAGAGUAUGAAAAAUAAAAAAAAUUUAUAUUAAUUUUUUAUUUAUUUAAAUCAUGUUAAUUAAAACAAUUUUUUAACCAUUCGAUUUAGACUGCUAUAUAUCUGUAUCCAUUCCCUUGAGGCCUCCAUUGAGCGAUCCUUUCGUCCUUCCAGCUUUCCCAUUUACUUGGCCUAUCCACAUUUUUCACGCAGUUUUGCUCUGACCUUUAUAGCAUAUGUCUAACUUGUGAGUUAGGUUUCGUGUGCUUGAUAAUUUGGGGUAGUGCUUCCUCUGAGAUGCCAUUGUGUUGAUUGCUAGUCAGUUAAUAGUUUAUUUUAAUAUGCCUUGCCAUCCAUUUGUCUUGUUGAACCUUUGGAACAAAAAGUGGGGAAAAUAUGAAAAGCUCAUAUGCUGAUAAUUUUUGCAGCUUUGAGAGAUCUCUUUUUUCACUACACGGAAGCAUGGAAAUCAUGGUACACGGAAGUUGCUGGGAAGAAACCAUUACACAUCUCCUAGUUUUUUAUUACUGUGUCUCUGCUACCAGUACAGUAUAAGACGCUCCAUUCUCUCUCUCUCUCUUUUCCUCCUCUCUUUUGUUCUUUUUUUUUGGGUACUUUUUAGGAUAGAAAAAUGGCUUCAGGUUGGAUGCAUAUUCCCCGUGCACCAUCUUAGCAUGGCCAAACAAUGUUGUUUAUCUGAUGUUUCGAAGCAAAUGAAUUUGAAUAUACCGUCUUCUCUCCUUAGGUUAACUAGCUACAAAGUUGCUUCGGUUAUGCAAGAUAUCAUUUUGUUUUCAUGGGACAACAGCUGCAGCGCAAUGGACAAUACACCCAGACCUUUUCCUCUCUAUAACAUUUUCUUGGUCUUCUUGCUGUUUUGAUGCUCUUAUGAUGUCGGGAAUUAUAAAAGAUGAAAUUAGAGAUAAGGUUCUAACAUAGGGUAAAUUGCUUUUGGUUAAACUGCAUUAUUAUGAGUCGCUGCUCAUAUAUAUAUGUUGUAAAUUAAUGUUUGAUUCCCAGCUAUUGAAUAUGAAGAAAAGAGGGAAAAUAAAUUCAAAGCUAAGUGAGAUAUGCAGAGCUGGCAACGAAGGAACAAGGAGAAUGCUUCUAAACCCUACGGUACUUAGAUUUACGAACACCCAGAUGUCCUCUGGGUCUUCUUCGAAAGUGAGAAGAUCUUCGGACAACAAUGGAGAAUGUGAUAUCGUUAUUGCUCUAUGAUUCAAGUGAAGGAAAUCCGCAACAGAUAGAUGAGAAGCAUUUUCUCGUAUGUUCCCCAUCUGGCUUGCAGUAGCAUCGACUGCCAUAUCCGGAUUUCAUGUUUUUACUGCUCGUGUACAAUGUGUAUCCAAAGCCAUAUAUUUUCGAUCGCACAGUUAAUCGCCAAAGGAGUACAAAUCAUCUUUUUAUCGGCAUAUGAAGACAGCUCUUGCCUUGAUGAAAUAAAAAUGUGCUAUAAUUUAUCCAUGUUUACGAAUCUUUGGCAGGAGAGGUAUCAAACUCGAAAUCAAAAUUUUUAUUAUUAUAAAUUGCAAAUGUCAAUUUACAAAUCGAUAAAUGUUCUUAAAAAAGGUUUCCCAGUAUAAGAAAGAGAGAUGGCAGAAAUCGGAGCUUUCCAGGUCUACUAUAAAAUAAUUUCGUCCUGAACACUAACAUCGAGUGUCUUGUAUGGGAGGACAAUGCUGUUAAUCACCACUACUUCAUCCUCAACAGUAACACCUUCGCCUGGAUCAAGGAAAAGAACACUGAGAUCGUGCAGAGAAAUAAUGUCCCUAAAAAAAAAGGAAAUGGACUGGUAAAGGGAAAUAGGGUUAAUGCAUAAAAAAUGUACCAAGGAUUGUAACCCCAAGCUUGGCAUUGUAAUCACCUUCAGCCUGCAAUCAUUUCAUUGAACAUGAUAAAUCCUACCAUGCAUUAGAGGGAAGUCCGCAGAUUAAGGAAAUAUACCCUAGCGGUAAUAAUAAGACUAAACAGAUGCAUCAUAUCAGACACCACUUUGGAGAGGAAACAGAGGAGAGUUUCAGAUUAUCAAUGGAAGAAGGGGAAAAAAAUACUACAACAAUGGUAACAUUAAACGUGCAGAUACUAGAAUCGUAUUACUGAUAUUGAGAAACAUUCUGCAAUUCGAAUAUAAUGUCUACCUUUGUUAUAUUGUUGGGAUACUGAUUGAAGUGAAUAACAUUUGGCAUGUAGCAAACAAGAGCAGCAUUCAUCCAACUAAAAUAUAACAGGAUAGACAACUUGCCUGGACACGGGACCAUCUCCCAAUGGAAGAGUUCCACCCAACAAUUGAAUAAAUGACGACUGCAUUUUCCUGAGAGAUAAAAUGAAGCAUACAAUCAAGUUUGAGAUAUCUUAAGGGGCCCCUCCACAACCUCACCCUAAAAAGAUAUAAAAAUAGCAAAGUUAUUCAUGAUAAAUCUCUUAAUUCAGUUCCCUACCAUGACUUCAACAUUAUCUAGGAUGAUACACCUUAUGAGUCUUGCACCUGGUCCUAUGCGAGCAUUGGCAGAUAUAGAGACAUUGGGACCAAUCUGUUUCAUCACAUUCCACAAAAAAGUCAAUUUCAUAAAUGAAUUAUAUGCAGGGAAAGAAGCAGUACAUAAAACAGGAAGGAGAAGUGCUAUAGAAACAAAGAAAUCAUAACAACUGAUGUAGCGGUGAAAUUUUCAUGCUUGAUCAUUAUUUUAUUAUUUGUGAGACCCACAGUUUUACGACUUAUUGUUUGACACAAAUUUUUAUGGAAUCUUAAUAUGAUUUUUUGUUUGUAAAUCAUUUUCCGCUCCGAAAGGAAAAGAGUAAGCAACCAAUAUUCCUUUUGCAUCAUAAUAGAUGGAUAAAGAAACUAUUAACAUUUUUAAAGGUGACCUAGAGGCCAAUGCACCUAAUUCCCAUCACCUAACCACCAUAAAAGGGAUUUGACAAUAAGAAUUCAAGCGGAUAAAAAAAAGUACUAACUAAACUAUGAACAAAAAAAGAAAAAGAAGCCCCGACUAUCAUUGUACUAAAAGGAUUGCAUUGGCUAACAGUUCUAUUGUGUACGAAUAAUACUAGUAAGCAUUCAACCGGAUAAAAAAACAGUACUUGCUAAACUAUGAACAAGAAAGAAAAAGGAGCCCCAACUAAAACAUACUAAAAGGAUUGCAUUGGCCAUCAGUUCUAUUUUGUACCCAUAGAUCUGUUAUCAUAAACAAGAUGAAAAGAUUACCUUAGCAGUUGGAUGUACUUUUGCUGAUGGAUGUAUAUAAACAUCACCUUCAAUAGUAGCACUCUUUGAGCCAUCACCACCAGCCAAAAGAUGGGGUGAGGUGAAUUGGAAUUGGGCAAGAUAUAAACCAGAACACUUUAGAGACAUUCUGCAGUAUAAAUUUAGUGAAAAUGACAUAAGGUAACUGGUUAAAGAUGGCAAAGAAGAUAACAUAAGAUGUAAAGAUUGACUUACCCAGGUGUUUUAAUUUGUUCCCAGAAGUCCAUGGUUUCAUACGUAUAUAGCUGCUUUUUUCCAGCAAGGGGUGACAGGAUAUCCUGAUCCAAUCUUACAUAAUCUGUCGGAAGACUCCUGUUAAGGGAACUUGGAUCAAAGCAGGAACUUGUGGAAAAUAUUGGGUACUAUCGAAUCAAUAAGUGAGCAAUAACAACGAUAUUAAUGCACGUUGAGAAAGGAAAGAAAAUACUAAAACAGGACUUGGCUAAAACUAUCAAGGAUGUCUCUCCCAGAAUAGUAAUAUUAGAGAGAGGACAUAUACUGCAACUUAAACGAUAAAGUUCAUAUUACUGCAGGGAAUCUGUAUUCCAAUUGAGUUGUACAAAUUGAAUUUUCUUGUUACACUGAAGAUCUGUUGAUUACUUGACUCUUCAUACAAGUUCAAGAUGUGGUUGGCAAAUCCCAUGUCAGUAAAUAAUCAAUUGUGACAAGAGAACAUUUCAAACACUAACUCUCCAAGUCACUCAUUUACACAGAUAAGCAAACAAACAUAUGAUUAUUGUCAUGAAUAAGUCUAAUUAGUCAAUUCAACGACUGAAGAGGCCCAAGAAAGAAAGAAAUAAAAUAGAUCCACUCUUAAGUCACAAGAACUGCAAUUAAUGGUCUUCAAACCAAUGAGUUACUGCAGAUGCAUAUGGAUUGUUCAAACAGUCCAUUCUCCAAACAAUCCAUUAGAUGCUUAUGCAUCUUAUGGAUUGUUUGGAGAAUCCCAGUUAAGAGGCCAAAUGUAUUUUCAAAACUAAUUGCCAACUUUAAUGAGUUAAAAAAAAGUGGUAUAUUAAAAGAUUGGCAAAACAUUUGUUCAACUCCAUUUCAAUAAAUUUAUCAUAAUAGUUUAAAGUGAAAUUAUACUAGCAAUGCUCAGCCUAGAGUCAUUAAUUCCAAGAUUAAGGGAUGAAAAAGUCGGUAAAGUAUGAACCACAUACCUUGUAGAAAAUUGGAGGGCUUCGAAGCUAGAAACACGUCUCAGAUUAGCUGAAAAUGGUAAAACAGAGUUCAGAAUUUUCCAAAAUCAAGAUUCAAACUAUCGAUAAUUACAAAGAAUGCUAUCACAAUCUAACAAAACAAGCCAGGAUAUGCCAAGCUUUAGGGUCAGAAUAUUUUUAGUUGAUGCAGAUUUUCACAAUGCACCCUUGUUAAACGGCGAUACAGGCUAAACUAGUUUAUUAAAGAAAAGAACCACAGAAUUCUGGAACUUCUAAAUUAAUCUUACACAGGCACCCUACAGGCAAAACACCAUAUCACAUACCUCUGUCUUUCCGUUGAGAAGAAACACCCUGGAUGGCUGUGAAUAUUUCUGGUGUAAAAACAUAAACACCACAAUUUAUCCGGUCACUUACCUGCAUCAAAACAUAACAUCAAAUGAAUAAAAAGGGGGGAAAAGCCUAAAUGAAGUGAAUGGCAGUAAACAGUAACAGAAAUCACCAUUGGAUUCACUACAAUUUUAAGCCUAUUGUACUUCAAUAUAAGAAAAUAAAAUAAAAUUGAUGUUUGGUUACGUACUAAAAUUAAGUAUAAAAAAAGAUGAGAUUUUGCUAUCAAGCCUAAGCAAAAACUUGUUACCUUUAAAUGCAGAAGUAAGCUUUUCAAAAUUCAAUGACCAUGCCUUCAGAUUAUAUGUAUAGGUUUUACUUAAAAAAAAAAACAAAAAAGGGAUAACAAGCAAGAAAGAUAGUAAAAAAAAAAAAAAGGCUUAAAAAGUUGAAUCAGAUCCAUCUUUAAUCAAUCAUUCGAGCAAAUAAUGAAAGUACUGAAAUUCCCUAAAUAAAAUGUGUUUCUGGACUGGUACUUACAAAAGUUUCAGGCUUCUCUGUGUAAUGCAACAACUCAUUGGUGUCAGGAUCAGCUACCAAUUCCCCAAACUGGCUGGCUGACUCAGCUGAGACCUGCAUGCAGAAAACAACAAUGGAGUUAAAACAUCUUGGAGACAAACAGAGUACAUCCUAUUGCUGGAAUACCAAACUCUGAACAAUUUUCCUAGGUUAUUAUCUUUUGCAUUCAACUAACCUUGAUUACUAGGAUAGUUCCCAUCCCACCAUAUGCUCUGUGGGCCUCUGCAAGCAUUGUAGGGGAAAUACAGUAAUUAAUGCUUCUGCUACAUAAAUAUAAACUACAAACUGUCUAGACAAAAGAAACCUUAGCUAAAAAAUAAUAAUGUACAUAAGACCAUUUUAUUUAUCUCGAUAUAAUCAUGGAAAUAUCUAAAAUUAAUGGUUCCAUGAGGAUGCAUCUAUACCCUGAAGAGGAAUUUCCGAACAAGUUCAAAAAAAUUCAUGAAGUUCAAAAUAAUCCAAUUUGGCAAAGUAGAUUACCAAGCAUUUCUGGGAGUGGAAAACUGCAGCAAACAUCACAAUUCAGCAGAAAGAUAUGGGACUGCGGCAAGAUAACCAAGCAUCAGUACUGAAUUUUGGAGUACAAAUCAUCCAUCUAUAUCUGCAGAAAAUGCUAGCAACUACCGCAUGUUCACAUCAGAACAUGCAAAGAAAAUACUGUUGGGUGACAGGCGUGCAUGCUAAUAGAAAAGGUUAAGCUGAGAUGUAAACCGGGUUGUCUUCCAUGAUUAGAUCUCUGAAGUUAAAAAGCCCGCCAGCAGAACCAUGUGGCUUAUCUUCCCGCAAAUAUCUACAAGCACAGAUUGAUAAUUAAAAAAAAAAAAAACACUCAACUACGGAAUCAGAAGCAAAUAAUCAAGAAAGGCCAUCAAGUCACUUUACCUAACAGACACUUUCAGCUCAUUCGAGAUUGAGGAAACAUACAAAGCAAACUCUCUUUCCUCGUAGAAACCAACAAGAUAGAUCUGCGUCAAGUUUGGAAUCUGAAACAGAAAAUGCAAUCUCAAUGACUACAAUAUGCUAUGCUAACUAAGAAACAAACAAAUUAGAAUAAUUUCUUUAAGGAAUUAAAUAAAUACCUUUUUACAAGCAGAGAUUGGAUGGUGAACCAUUGGUUGUCCUGCUAGAGGAAAAAGAGGCUUUGGAAUAUCCAAUGACAAUGGCCUGAAUCUAGUGCCUGCAACAUUUCAGAUUUCAACUCAAUUGAAUGAAGAAAAAAAAUCAAAGAAACAAAGAACAGGGUUUCAUUAUCUGCACCAAAAGAGUCAAAAUUACAACAAAUAUCGAAAAAAUCAGAAGAACCCAGGAAAAAGUCCGAUAAUGGAGCCGUAAAAUGAGCAUUAAACUGUAUCGCAUACAAUUAAGGAAUCACAAUUGAGAAUUCCAAUAUAGAAAUCAAACUAUGAUUAAGCAAUUGAAUGAACAAAAAAAAAAACGAUACCUUUAGUAGGUCCACCGACCAUGAUGACAGCAACAACCCUCUCCUCAGAGCUUCCCAUAUUUUUCCAAUCAAAACAGCAACCCCGGAUCUCAAAUUCCUCAGUAACUCUUGUCUGUUUAAAAAUUUUAUGUAUGUGGACACAGGCAAUACUCAACCGUACAGCAACAACAACAUUAAGAGCAUGUCACCAUUCAAUCCAUCUCAGUAAUAAUAAAUAGACCAACAAUAUCUUGCUCCCUUUUGGCGACAAGGACGUAUAGAAUUUUUAAGAUCUAGUGCAGUGAAGUGCGGGUGAUAAGUGGUAGAAGAGACAUACAUAUAUUCUUUGAGCUGCGAAAGGAAACAAACAGUGUAAGUUUCCUGGAUCUGGACCACUACUGCUACUGCUGCUGCUACUGCUGCUGUUUUUACUAACGUCCGUGCCUUCUGAUGUGGUUGUGUUGUAUUUGCGUGUCUGCUUGGGGUCUUGGAGAUUUGAUUAUGGCCCACUCUUCCAUACCAUCAUAAGUUGACAGCUAGACGACGAUGCUUCUUCUUCGAAGAGAAUAUUCUUGAUUCCCAGGAGGGUGGAAUAAUUCUCAUAUGGAUUUUACUUAGUUCCAAGACAAAUGACACUGUUCAUUACAAUUAUAUUUGUGGUCUCUUGGUCAUUUUGUCUUUUGUAUUUGCUUAGUGAGUGGGAUGAUAUUUUUAUUAUGUUAUAAAUAUUUUUUGAGAAUUAUGUAAGAUUAUUUUAGUGAUUAUAUUUUUUAAUAUAUAGUAAAAUUAUUAAUAUAAUCAUUGAAUAAAAUAAUUUAAUAUCUGCACAAUAACCUUUUUGUAUUUUUAUAUUUGAUAGAAUAAUAGAAUUAAUACAUUACCCUUAACAUUUAGAUAUUUUAGCCUUGGUUUCAAGGUCUUGGUUAUAAUUUCAUCAUGGUUUGUUUGUUAUUAAUUUUUUAUUUUUCUCAUUAAAUUGCAUCCUCCUUGAAUUUUUUUCUAUCAAUUUUUAUUCUCAUUCUUUUUUUUUUGCUUUUGCAGGUUUUUUAUUAAUAUUUUUCUACCGAUCUCAUCAUUCAAAAUUAAAUUGGUUGAGAAUUAUGCUUCUUGAUUGAAUCUAGGUCAAACAUUUCACGGAAUACGACUUUUAGAGAUUAGACCAGAUUUAAGAGGUUUGCCAAGUUUGCCAUGUUUUUUUCCUUUUUAUAAAUUGAUGUUUUCUUAUUUUCUUAUCCUUUUUUUUUAACUUUUGUUUUGCUUUUUUUCUUCAAUUUUUUUCUCUUAUUUUAUUUUAUUUGUUUUGUUUGGUUUUAUUGGGUUAGCCUCCAACAAUGUUUUUCUAUUUCAUCCUCUAUCAAUUUUUAAUCUAUAAAUAAUCUAUCAUAUUACAAAUGAUUUUCAACUUCACUCCCUCUGAUAUUUUUAAUCUUUCAAGUUUGGUCCUAAUUCUUUUAAUUGCAUUUUUUUUCUUAGGGAUAAUUUUUUUUUUCAGAUUUUAUUCUUAUUGGGUUUUCUCCUAUCAGAUUUUAGCCCCAUUCUUUUUUUUUUAUGUUCCCUUUCUUUUAGUUUUUUCAACGAUUCCAUCAUUCAAAAUUAAAUUGGAUAAUAUUUAAGAUUCUUGAUUGAACUUUAGGUCCAUGAUUUAACAAGUUGCAAGUUUUUUAGAUUAGACUAGAUUUAGAAUGUUUGCCUGAUUUCUCCCCUUUUUUAAAGCUGAUGUUUUUUGUUUUUUAAAUUUGACUUUCUUUUUUGGUUUUUUUUUUUUCCAGUUAGGUUGACAUUGAGUUGUUUAAUAAUCUAAAUAGACUCAAUUGUGGUUCCUUUUUUGUUGUUUUUUUAUCAAUUUUUUAUCAUUUUUUUUUGCAUUAUUUAAAUUAUCACUUUAACUAAUGACUUGAAACUUGAAUUUUUUCUAACCUAUCACUUUUUUUACAUAAAAAAAAAUAAAUUGUUCGACCCACAACGAUGCGCAAGCAACAGAUCUAGUCCACACCUAAAUUUAUUAAACAUAACAGACAAGUUGCUCAAUCAGUCCUUAUUUGCUCAUUUGCUACAUAAUAAAAAAAAAUUAAAGUAGCAGUUCUCCAAUAAUUUUUUAGAAAACUUUUUAUUAAAAUAAAUAUAAGAAGUAAAAAACUAUUCUUUAGAGAUACAUAACAUUGUGGAUUUAUCAUUUUACCUCUCAUUCCAACAAACAAUAGUCUGGCUAGUGGGGGUUUUUAUUAUCAUUUUCAUGUGACCCAUUGGUCAUUUGCAAAUUAAUAUCGGUAAAUCAAUCAUUUUAUCUUUUGUUGGUACAAUAAAUUUACUUAUUUGACCUUCACUUAAAAAAAAAGAACUAGCAUUCAAGGGUUUUUUUAGACCUUUUAUUUGUUUAAGUAUAGUAAAAUGAUUUUAUUGCCUUUGAAAACAAGAAUAGAAAAGGAUUUUUAGGGUUGUUUUUUGUCUUUUUAGUUUGGCUUUUUUUUGCAGUUCUGAGGUUGUUUCAUUAGCAAUUAGGUACAUGCAACAUUCUUUGGUGGCCAAAUGCCAACUUCUGGGAUGACAUUCGAAUCGUCUCGGUAACUCUUUAAUACAUGGGCAGUGUAUGUAAUCGAUAGGUCUCUGGUUUGGAGCAACAACUUUUUUUUCUUUUUCCUCUCUCUCCCUGAUUUUCGUAUUGGCACUCCAAAUUCUUAAAAUAGCCCUUUAAUAGGUUUUUCCUUCAAAUUUGGUUGAUGUUCUGUGACUACUCUUAUUUUUAUUUUGAAUAAUUUAUAAAAUUUAAUUUUUUUAUUCAAUUUUAUCCCCUUAAAUUUUUUUCAUUUGUCAUAUUGAGUCCCCAUUCUUUUUACUGCUAUUUGUUUUUAUUUGAGAUUGUUCUUAAAAUUGAUUUUUUAUAUAUAAUUUUGUUAUUCUUGAGUUUUUUUUCUAUCAAAUUUGAUCCUUUUUUUUUGCUUGAAAAUUUUUUAAAAUUUAUAUUUUUUCUCGAUUUCAUCCCCAAUAUUAAAUUGGUUGGGUAUUGAGUUUCUUGAUUGAACUUGAGUUUAGAAUUUAAUAGAUUGUAGGUUUAAGAGAUUAACUCGAGUUUAGAAGGUUAACUCGGGGUUGCUUAUUUUUUUUUAAUUUCAUUAUUUGACAUUUAUUUAAUUAGAAAUUGGAUUCUGUUUUUUAAAACUUUCAAUGGAAUUCUUUAGUGAUUUUGAAAAUGACACGCCUUAUCUCGAGUUUUUCAUCGGUCUUUAUUAAAUUUAUCUUUUUUAAAAAGAAAUCUUAUUUUUGAACUAAAUUAAAUUAAUUGAUUAAAUAUAAAUAUGAGAUACUCGAUUCAUGGUGUUUUUUAUUUGCCUUUUGGAUCGCUGCUUUGACAACAUAUGUAGUCUCUUUCAAUUACAUGAGUCAUUGAUUAUUUUUGCUUCUUUAAAACUGCUAGCAUCAGUUGAACAUCUUUUUUUUUUACGUUCAUAAAAUUUCUCUGACCCACAAUGUAGCGCAAACAUUCUAGCUAAUUAUUAUUCUAAUUAACAUUAAAGCUAAAAUGUGUGGUAUUUUAGCUGUUCUAAAAUCAUUGUUCACCAUCUCAUAUAUUACUGUGGAUUGGAGUUGUGAUUUUUUUUUAAAUUUCAAUUUGAUCAUGAAACUUUUUUUUACACAAUUGAGCCCUUAUUAACACCUAAUUGUAUAUAUUUUUUUUAAGAGAGGAUUGGAUUGAAAGACAAAGGACUGAAGAGAAAAACACUGAUAAAAUAGGUGGUGCCUUUUAAUUUUUUUAAAAAGUACAUUUGAGUCCCUUAUCUUUUUUAACUAUUAGGUGAACGACUUUAUUUCUAGAAAAAUUAAUUUCAGUACUAAACUUUAUUUUUAUCAUUUUUCAAUUCUUUUGGGUGAGAGGAGAGAGAGGAUAUCACUGGAUUCCAGUCUAGAGAGAAAACGUUUUUGUUGCUAUGAUUCUAGCCAUCAAAAUGGUAGAUUUUUGUUCCAAAUAGUUUCAUAUUAUGAGAAGAGUUUAAAUUAAAUGUUUUUUUACCUUGAAAAUGUCUAAAAAACAAAUCUGAGCUCGGGUUGAUUUUGAGUUUUGAAAUGAUUUUUUAUGCUUUUAGAGGUUAUGGAUUUGUUUAACUAGGUUAUUAAAGUGUUUUGGGUUGAAAAUGAGAUUUUAGAAGAAAAAAACUAGCCGUCCUAAUUUUCUAGUCACCACAGUGGCUAGAAUCUAGGGAUUCUAGACAACAUGUCGUCUGUUUUUUUCAAAUUGAACCGGGGCGGAUGACAUGUCGUCCUCCCACUUACAAAAACAAAUUAAGGCUCGUGCAACUAGGCCUAACUUUGCAGACCCGCGUGUGAGCCUUUUGUUAAUAGGACAGGAGCUUGGCUUGGCCUCGUUCUUUUCUUUUUAUAGUUUUGAUUUUUUUUAAUUUAAAACUUUUUAUAUAUAUAUAUAUAUAUAUAUAUAUAUAUAUAUAUAUAUAUAUAUAUUUUUAAUGAUUUUCAAGUUUGUAGUUUACUUCUUUGUGAUUUUUUUCGCUUAUUUAUUCUUUUUUAAAUAGUGAUUAUUUGUUUUAAUUAUAUUAGAUAUGUUUAUUUUUUUGAAGAGAUUAGUAUGAUUUAUUUGUAAUUUUUUUAUAGUUUAUAUAUAUUAGAUUUAUCUUUAGAAAUAAAAAAUAUUUAUUUUUUAUAAUAUUUUUAAUAUGUGUAGUCUUGCAUAUUAUAUUUUUUUUCUUUUUAUUUUAUUCAAUAAAUUUUAUGUGUGUUUUUAUUUAAAAAAAAAAUUACAAAGCCAUACUUAAUUUACGAGUUUGGUAAGGUGUUUUAUUUUUCUCUCCUUUUUUUUUAUUGAACUAUAUAUAUAUAUAUAUAUAUAUAUCUCAGUUAUUAAAAAAAAUAGUUUCAGAGAAAAGUCAUGUUAUUAAACUUUAUAAAGUUCAUGAACAUUUUCACAAGUUUGGUUGGUUAACUUGGUUCGCAAGUCUAACGAGUUUAAUUUUUUUAAUUAUUUUUUUCAACAUCUCAGUAUUGGGUUGGUGUUUAAUUUUGUGAUGAUCUAUUUUUGUUAUCAUAUAAUUAAAUGAAAAAUGUUUCAGAAAAAAACAAAUUAAGUCCAACUGAAGUCCAUAACCUGGUUCACAGGUUUGACGUGCUAGCUCAAGUUACUCGGUUCAUAGGUUUGAAGAGUUCAUCCAUUGGUCGGAUAUGCUUUUUUUUUCAUUUAAUUGUUUUUAUUUUUUUCUCAAUUUUAUCCUUCAAUAUUUGAUUGGUUGAGAAAUAAACUGCAUGAUUUAUUUUUGUUUGCUUUCUAUAGGGUUAUCACUAUAUCAAAUAAGUAUUUAUUUUUAGGUUGAUGCUCAAUUUUGUUACCAUGUUAUUUUUAUCAUAUAAUUAAAAAAUAGUUUAUAAAUUUUUUUAUUAAACUCAGUGAAGUUCAUGACACAUGCCGUUAGGAAAAAUGAAAUCGAUCCAAUAUGUCAUUGUCUCAAUUUUGUUUUUUCAAAAAGAGUUGUUAUCUUGAUUUUUUUUUUAAAAAGUCAAGUCAUGUUUUUACUAGUUAUCAAUAAUGCAUUUGAACCCACAAAAUUAAUUGAUUUAAUUUAGGCUAGCUCCUGCACGGUUUAAUUGGAAACUCGAGUUAAGCAAAGAGCUAAGUUGCGAGGUUUCAAGAUUGACCCGUUUAGCUAGAUUUAAUAACAUAGUAAAAAAAAAAUUUAGCUCUUAAAAUUUUUAUUUACAUCUAAAAAAAUUGGUCCAACCCACAACACAACGCGAGCAAAUAGACUAGUUAUAUACUAAAAAUACUUGGAAUGAAUAGUGAAAAACCAAGUUAUUUUAUUUUAUUUUAUUUUGGUCCUCAAACUUUUUGAAGAUUUUUUUAUUUCAUUUUAUUUUAAUUUCAUCUUUCAAUAUUGAGUUUACUGGGUAUUGAAAUUCAUAAUUUAUUUUGAUUUGCUUUUUGUGGAGUUUUUUGGUCUCAUAACCAGGGUUGCGAGUUUCUCGAGUUAGCCGUGUUAACUUGGAUUAUUUUUUUGUCAUUUCUUAAUUAUUUUUUUUCUCAAAUUUAUCCUUCAACAUUGAGUUGAUUGAUAAUUAGGCUUCAUAAUUGUUUUUGUAUUUGCUUUCUAUAGGGUUAUCACGGUCUCAUGAUCCUUGUCGUGAGUUUUACGAGUUAACUAGGUUAACUCGAGUUUUUUUUCAUCCUUUUUUUAAUUGAAUAUUUUUUUUUCAAUUUAAUCCUUCAACAUGAGGUUGAUUGAGAAUUAUACUUUAUAUUUUUUUUAUUUACUAUCUAUAGAGUUAUCUCGGUCUCUUGAUCCAGGUUUGUCAAGUUAACUCGGGUUGACUUUGGUUAUUUUUUGUCAAUAUUUUACUUUGUUUUUCAAUUUAAUCCUUCUCUAUUGGAUUGGUUUGAGAUUAGGCUUAAUAAUAUUAUUUAUUUUCUUGUUAACAAGUUAUCACAGUCUUAUAACCUGGAUAACGGGUUAGGCCGAUUGACUCAUGUUUUUUUAUCCUUUUUUUGUUGAUUUUUUUUUCAAUUUCAUCCUUCAAUAUUGAGUUGAUUGGAAAUAAAACUUCAUAAUUUAUUUUAGUUUUUUUAUAAGGUUAUCCUAAUCUCAUGAUCUAGGUCAAGAGUUUGGUUGGUUUAGGUGGUUUUUUGUGUAUUUUAUUUUAUUUUAUUUUAAUUUCACCUUCAACAUAUAAGAGUAAAGGAAUAAGUUCCCCGUAUGUAUCAAAUACAUCCACACUAGCUGCAAAUCUCCAUCAGCUAUGACUCCACGUAUAGUUAGGAUAUCUGUUUCCUUAUUCUCAGGACAUUCAGUUUCCUUCUUUGUGUGUAAUUCUUCUUUCCUAUUUUGAUUGUAAUUCUCAUUGUAAUCUCUAUAUAAAGCACACUGCAAUACAAGCAAUGUAUCUUUUCAUAAAACCCUAUAUGGUAUCAGAGCCGCCACGCUCCCACGAGCAUCUGGUUUCACAGGUUACUUUCAUGGCAGAAACCUCUCAAGAAAACGCAGCCACUGUUGUGUCUAACCCUGCUAUCACAACACCAAAUUUAUUGAUUGCUAUCAAUGCUGCAGCACAAUUACCCCUCAAACUCACGCCAAUAAACUACCUAACAUGGCGUGCUCAAUUCAAUGCCCUUCUUAUUGGCUAUGAUCUCCUGCGAUAUGUGGAUGGCUCUUAUCUGGAACCACCCAAACUUUUGCAUGAUGCACCUAAUCCUGCUCACAUGUUCUGGGUUUGCCAAGAUCAGCUUCUGUUGCACUCCAUCAUCGCCUCUGUUUCAGAAAAAAUCAUGCCACUCAUUGCGUCUUCAACAACCUCCCGUAUGGCAUGGGAGAAACUUAACAUUUUCUAUGCAAACCGCUCACGAUCACGAGUAAUGAGUCUCAAGGAACGACUCACUGCUACAACCCGCGUGGCUCCAACUCUGUGGGUGAAUUUCUUAAUACCAUGAGAAGUAUAUCUGAUGAACUUUCAAUCAUUGGUGAGCCUCCCAGUGAUAUUGACUUGGUAGUUCAUGUUCUCAAUGGUCUUGGUCCAGCAUUCAAAGAAAUUGCUGCAGCCAUUCGUGCUCGUGACAACCCCAUCAGCUUUGAAGACCUUCAUGAUAAACUUGUUGAAUAUGAAAAUUUUCUCAAACGUGAAGAGGUACGUGCUGUGUCUCCUCCAAUCACAGCUCAUGUCACUCAACGAUCUGGCCACUCCAGCACCUCUACUCCCAGGCACUACAACAAUAACAAAGUCUCCUCCAACAGUCGUGGAUAUCAGUCAUUCUCCAACUCUAAUCGUGGCUAUCACGGCUCAUAUCAGCCUCCACGGAAACGCCCAGGCCAAGGGUACAAAGGAUUCUGUCAAUUAUGUGAUCAACAAGGACAUAGUGCCAAACGCUGUCCUCGUGUUCGCCCUGUUAUCUCUACAGCUCCUACUGCCAAUUACACUGCUACUGCUUCUCCAAAGCCACCAAACUGGCUUCUUGAUUCUGCAGCAUCUCAUCAUAUCACCGAUGAUCUCAACAAUCUCUCCCUCACCUCGGUUUAUGAAGGUUCGGAUGCUAUUGUUAUAGGUGACGGCACAGGUUUGCAAAUAACUCAUGCUGGCCAUGCAACUCUUCCAACUCCCUUCAAAGAUUUUGCCUUAUCUAAUGUUCUGUGUGUUCCUUCCAUCAAGAAAAAUUUGCUUUCAGUUUCUCAAUUUUAUAAAACUAAUAAUACCUCCAUUGAAUUCUUUCCUGCUUAUUUUUUGGUGAAGGAUCUUCGCACGGGGGCGACUCUCAUUCGCGGCCGGAAUAAAAAUGAUGUGUACGUGUGGCCUGAAUCUUUGUCUCCUCUGACAUCAUUCCAUGCUUUUGUUGGUGUUAAAGCCCCAUUGAUAGACUGGUAUAGACGGCUUGGCCACCCCUCUUCUCGUAUCCUGCAUCAUCUUGUUACCUCCUGCACCCUUCCUCUAUCUACAUCAUCUAGUAACGUCACUUGUGACUCCUGUCUCUGUCAUAAAAGCCAACGACUUCCUUUUCAUGUAUCCUCUCUAAAGAGUCAUGGUCCAUUAGAUUUAAUUUACACUGAUGUUUGGGGCCUAGCUCCAAUUUCUUCCACCGAAGGUUAUCGAUUUUAUGUCAUUUUUGUUGAUCAUUUUAUAAAAUAUAUUUGGUUCUAUCCUAUCUGUCAUAAAUCUGAUGUUUCUCUCAUCUUUCCCAAAUUCAAAGUCAUUGUUGAAAAUUAUUUUAAAAAAUCAAUUGUUUCCAUGUACUCUGAUAAUGGGGGUGAGUACGUCAAACUUAAAGAAUAUUUUGCUACUCAUGGCAUCACCCAUCUCACUACUCCCCCCCACACUCCUCAACAUAAUGGUACUGCUGAACGCCGUCAUCGGCACAUUGUGGACACAGGUCUCACCAUGCUCCAUCAAGCCUCCCUUCCUCUUUCUUUCUGGUUCCAUGCUUUUCAAGCUACCACAUUUCUCAUUAAUCGUUUACCCACUCCCAUUCUUCAACUUAAAUCCCCAUUUGAAUCUCUCUUUGGUCAUUUGCCUAAUUAUCUUAAGCUUCGUGUCUUUGGGUGUUUGUGUUACCCAUGGCUACGACCAUAUGCCAAACACAAACUUGACCCCCGCUCGCGUCCUUGUGUCUUUCUAGGAUAUUCCCUCACUCAGAGUGCCUACAAGUGCUUUGAUCCAACUAUUCAAUGUUUAUUCAUCUCCCGUCAUGUCCGUUUUGUUGAAACUGCAUUCCCAUUUGCUGCCUCCCCCCAUGCACGUCCAUCCUCUCCUUCUUUGCCCAACUGGGCAUUAUCAUUUGACAUUCCUUCCCCACCUCCAGUUCCUCUUUCAUUAUCUUCCCCUCCUCUCCUCCAGUCGGCCAUGCCAGUCUCGUCACCUGCAGCACUCUUGCCCCACCUCCAGCAGGCCACCGUGCACUCAUACUAGCCUUCGCCCCUGUGUGAUGAUCGCUCCUCCAGUCCUGCCCAUCAGUCAUUGCCACCACCAUCACCAUCCCUCGCCCUCACCCCUCCACCGCCCCUUAUACCAAAUCAUCCCAUGAUCACUCGUUCCAAAAACCAUAUCUUUAAACCUCGCCAGCUCAACCUCACCACUAAACAUCCCUUACCUGUCACUCUUGAACCAUCCUGUGUGUCUCAGGCACUUCAACACCCGGAAUGGAGAGCUGCCAUGUCCGCUGAGUUCACUGCUUUAACCAGUAAUGGCACCUGGGAAUUGGUCCCUCCUUCUUUGCACCAGAAUCUGGUAGGCUGCAAGUGGGUCUUUCGGCUCAAAAGAAAACCAGACGGCUCCAUUGACAGGUACAAAGCCCGCCUUGUAGCAAAAGGCUUUCAUCAACGUCCUGGUCUUGAUUAUACUGAGACGUUCAGCCCCGUUGUCAAGCCUACCACCAUCCGCAUUGUUCUUUGUCUAGCCCUUCAACAUGGUUGGCCUAUUACACAACUGACGUUAAUAACGCCUUCCUUCAAGGUUCUCUUUCUGAAGAAGUCUACAUGGCUCAACCCCGGGGCCUCAUUGAUGCUCAGCUGCCUCACCAUGUUUGUCGUCUCCGCAAAGCCAUCUAUGGACUUAAACAAGCUCCCCGAGCUUGGUAUAAUGAGCUGGCCACGUUUCUCAUCUCACAUCAGUUUGUCAACUCUAAAGCUGAUACAUCUCUGUUCAUCUACAAUCAUGAUGGCAUAAUUGCUUAUUUCUUGGUCUAUGUUGAUGACCUCCUUCUUACUGGCAACAAUGGCAGGUUCUUAUCUUCUUUUAUUGCUGCAUUGUCCUCUUGUUUUUCUGUCAAAUAUAUGGGUUCUCUCCACUACUUCCUUGGGGUUGAAGUAUUGCCCACCUCCACUGGCCUCAUCCUGUCUUAACACAAAUAUAUAUAUAUAUAUAUGAUCUACUUGUCUGCACCAACAUGGCUGGUGCGAAGGAGGCAACUACACCACUCUCCACAACUUCCAGUCUCACUCUAACUGACGGGUCUGCCUCCAUAGAUGCCAGUGAGUUUCGCAGUGUUGUUGGGUCUCUCCAGUACCUCUCUCUCACCCGUCCAGACAUCGCUUUUACAAUGAAUAAACUCUCUCAGUUCAUGCAUAAACCCACUCAGCUUCAUUGGCAAGCAGUUAAGCGUCUGUUACGUUAUCUCAAGGGCACCAUUUAUCAUGGCCUCUCCCUCACCCGCAGCACUUCCACUACAUUAUCUGCUUUCUCUGAUUCUGAUUGGGCAGGCAAUCCUGAUGACCGCACAUCCACUACUGCAUACAUUUUAUUUUUGGGAGGUAAUGUUGUCUCUUGGGCCUCUUGCAAGCAGCAUUCUGUUGCACGCUCUUCUACAGAAGCCGAAUAUCGGGCUGUUGCUGCCACUGCCGCUGAGUUAUCUUGGGUUUAGCAGCUCUUACGUGAGUUGCAUGCAUCUCCUCCUGCUCCACCGAUUGUUUUCUGUGACAAUGUGGGUGCAACUUACCUCUGUGCCAAUCCUGUCUUCCACUCUCGCGUGAAACAUAUAGCCAUUGACUUCCAUUUUGUACGUGAUCAUGUCAGCAAGGGUUUGCUUCGUGUCUCUAAUGUUUCUACUACAGACCAGCUAGCCGAUACUCUCACCAAGCCUCUCUCUCGCCAACGGUUUACUCUUCUUCGGUCCAAGAUUGGUGUCUCUGAUGGAAGCACCAUCUUGCGGGGGUGUAUAAGAGUAAAGGAAUAAGUUCCCUGUAUGUAUCAAAUACAUCCACACCAGCUGCAAAUCUCCAUCAGCUAUGACUCCACGUAUAGUUAGGAUAUCUGUUUCCUUAUUCUCAAGACAUUUGGUUUCCUUCUUUGUGUGUAAUUCUUCUUUCGUAUUCUGAUUGUAAUUCUCAUUGUAAUCUCUAUAUAAAGCACACUGCAAUACAAACAAUGUAUCUUUUCAUAAAACCCUACACAAUAUUGGAUUGAUUGAGAAUUGAGCUGUAUAAUUUGUCUUGAUUUGCUUUCUAAGGGGUUAUCCCGAUCUCAUAACCUAGGUUUAAUAGGUUAACCUAAGUUGAUUCGACUCAGAUUUUUGUUGAAUUUUAUUUUUAAUUUUAUCCUUCAACAUUCAGUUGAUUGAGAAUUGAGUUUAAUAAUUUUUUUUUUAUAGAAUUAUCAGGGUCUCAUAACCUAAAUAGUAGAUUUAAUAGGUUAAAUUGAGUUUAUCCAUGUUGAUAUAAUAUAUUAUUAUUUUAAUAUUUUAAUUUGAACUAUGGAAUGCAUUGAAGGUCAAAACAAAAGUUUUACAAGGAUUAAAUAAACAUAUUCAUAUAUAAAUAAUUUUAUUGAGCAUGGUUUUAAUCAAUUUAACUUGAGACCAUCACCUUAUCAGAAUUUAACUAAUCUAUUUAGGUUAAUAAAUUUAAUGAAUUUAAAUAAAAUAAAUCCAGUAAAGCAUUAAACUAUUCAAGUAGUAGUUAUAUAUUGAAUCCUCCCAUAGAACAAAUGGAAUACAUGCGGCUAAACCAAUGUGCUCCUCCAUGCAACAUUUUCUCUUCCAAUUUUUUAAUCCAAGAGCUGCUUUGAUCGAGCAAGAAGCCAUCAUAAAAUGUUCAGUUGUAAUUUUUAAAUUAUAAAUCUAAGUCCGUUGUAGCCUAAACUGCACUUAACAUUCCAAAAGGCUUUAAAAAUAAAUAGUCAAUCAUGAUAAUGAUAAUAUGUAUGUAAAUUUAAAAACUAUUUUAAUUUUUUUUAAUUAAUGUGGGUGUCCGGGCCAGCUUAUGCGUACCUUGACUAAUCCUACGAGUCUUGAAAUUAAUAAUUAUAUAAAUUUUUAGUAAUUAUUAUAUUAGUAUUUAUAGAGCUUGAACAUAAAAUCACAUAAAACAAAUAACCUUUUAAAGUUUAAAUUUUAAAUAAAGUGAGCAUGAUUUGUCCAAUUGGAGAACUAAUGAGAAUGAUUUGUUCUUUCUAAUUUUUUAUUUUGAGUGAACAUAGAAUUGGAUAAGAAUGAACUCUGUUUACAAGGACUUUUCAACUCUAAUUGCGAAAAAUUAAACAGAAAACAGUUCGUCCAAGAUUAAAAUCAAGAUAGACUUCUGGAAUGAUUUGACCUUGUAAAGAAUGCAACCCACAACUCAAGAUUUUAUUUAUUGGAGAUGGAGACUAAUAUUUAUUUAUUUUUAUACUUUUAUUGCAGCUGUGAUAAAGAUAAUAUGUAAUUAUUUUUUAAAUUUAAAAUUUAAAUUAGCUUUCAAAAAAUUUAAUAAGAUAUAUAUAUUUUUUAAAAAAUCGCAGCUAUUUUUAUAAACAUGUUUUUAACUGGUCUAAUAUUUAUUUUUUUGUAUUACAGUGCUAAUUUGAAGAAAAAAAAUGGUAUACUUGGCUCUUGGGACGUUAAAACGUUCUGGCUGAAUUCACUUGAUUCGAACAUUUAUAUGCUUACUGGCAAUGGAGUAUUUAAUAUUGUCUAAAGCUUAUCUUUUUUGAGAAUCGUGUCAUCCUUAUCUCCGAAACCAAACGAUCUUGUCAAUGUCUUUGUGAAGAAGUGAUGAGAGUCAAAAUUAGUACCACAAAAUGUCUCUGCAAAUCAUCACUGUCACCAUCACAGUAUCUCGGUUUUAUUCAUGGAGAUAAGGUGCCCACGGGGCUCAGAAUUCUGAUCUGGUAAUCAUGUCAGCCACGCAUACAUUCAUGUAUAAAUAUGGUAUGUCCCCAGUUGACAGGUUUAAUUUAUUUACGUGGGCCUGGCCAUCCAUGAAGCACGUAUCUUGCGUAAACUUGCUUCCUAAAGGAGGCAAAACGUGAGGCUAGUGCAAUUUCAGGCAUGCCUUCCAAUCCAAGGCUCGUAAAUCAGUCACGUUGGGGAAAUGUACUUGUAAGUUCAGUCGCGACUGCAUUCAUUUAGGCUGUGCGUGGUGCCUGCCAGCAUGUUUGUGCUCUGCGUUGAUGAGUAAAGUACUGCAGUUAACUAGCAGCGUUAACAGGAUCUCAUAUGAGCCAUGUGAGGUGCAGAUAAGGGCACAUCCAUAUCAUUGUUGGAAAAGAUUUUGCAGUGUGAGAAUUUUAGUUCUGUCAAAUGAAACAGGUUUUCUGGAGGAGGUGCGAGGGUUAACUUGGGAUUUUGGCUGUCAUACAUUGACAUCCCACAUGGUGCUAACUCAUCCUCAAGAGUCAGAUAGCAUGGGUAGAGAGAUAGAUAGCUUAUACCUAUGGAUGAUGAGAAUAGGCUCUAAACAAAAGGCAUAGCAGCCUGUUCGUGGCAGGAUCUCGAUAGGGCAAGAAAACCUCCACUAUUGCUAGCAGGAUGCAGAAGUCUGCGGCAGUGGAUCUGACUCCUGAGAGUUCUGAUUGCAGAGUUCAGUUGCCGCAGAUUUCUCCUAGUGUCAACUUUGAUUUUCUUGCUCUUAUGAUUUGGAAAGCAGGAUCAAAAUGCUAACCAUGCUGCCAGUUGACAAAACCAAGUUGCCGCAGGUUUCUCCAAGCGUCAACUUUGGUUGACCUCAAACCAUUAAACAAGCAACUCACCGUUGCAUCAGAAGACACAUAACCACCUAUAAUCAGCUAUUAGGUUGGUUCCUGAAUGCUUCCCAUAAAAAUUAAAAAUGAAUCAUUAGUAAAUGCCCAUUUAAACCAAUAUAUGCUCCAGAUUUUUUACAGGGUCACCAGUAGUUCAUGGCAAGGACCAGCAAAGGCAACGCAUGGAAGAUAUAGCAGGAACGGGUAAUAUUAUUUAAACCAUACAAGACAACAAUCUAGUUUGGUGAAACAUUGCUUAUUCUGCUCAAAGUUUCAAUUCAGUACACAACUCGAGUUCAUUACAUGACACACAUUUCCAUCAUUUUACUAUAACUGCUGUUCCGCAUUUUCAUUUUCAGAAAACUUGCUAUUAUAGCUUUGAGGGAGCCUGGUACCAACCCCAUGGUUCUUCAGAGAUAUAUCGAGUUACCUGCUUCACACUUAAGUAGUUUUCAAGUCCCCUGAGAGAAAAAGGAUAGCAAAAGGAGUCAGAAUCAGCACUAAGUUGAUGCCAAUCUAGAGUAAUUUCAAUAAUUUAUCGAGGGGAGAAAAAAGGCUGCAGACAGUUUACAUCAUAACCAAAAAAUUCUCCAUUAUGCAAAAAUAGAGGGAAAAUGUUGGUUAUGUAUUCAUAAAAUUCUAAACGUUUGGAUUUAGCUGAUAAAAAAUAGUCUCUUGCAUAUCUUUUUAAGGAAAUUAGGUUCUUACCAUUCUCCUAAUUCACGCCCAAAACCACUGCGCUUAAUGCCUCCCCAUGGAGCUUGACAGAAGCAUGGCUGUGAGCAAUUGAUCCAGACAAUACCUGCCCGGAAAGCCUGCAAAAUGGAGGUAGAGGAAGAAAAAUUAUCUCAAAAAGUAAAUAAUCCCUCUGAACAGAUUUUGGUGUGUUAUUUGCACAUGAUUAAUUGUUAGUUCAAGUCUCACCUUGGCUACACGAUCACACCUCUCUGGAUCAUUUGAUAUAACAGCAGCUCCUAAGCCAUAACUGUGGGAGAUCCAUAGAAAGUCAGAAUAAAACAUACAAGAACCGAGCAGAUCAGAGGAAAAAAAAACAACAAAGGAAGCAACAACAAAGAUGAUGAAGAUAAUAUCCAAUCCAAGUAUUCAGACACGUUCAUUGUCUUUAUUGAGAUACAAGAAUAAACUUACUGGGUGUCAUUUGCCAAAUCGAUGGCUUCAUCUUCAGUACUAAAUGUUUUAACACAUAGAACAGGCCCGAAAACUUCUUCUCUCCAGAUUUGCAUGGAGGUUGUUACAUCAAUGAUGAUGGUUGGUUCAACAAAGAAUCCCUUGUUUAAAUGCUGACAACAUAUUUUUAAAAAUCACUCAAAUACCCCGAGAGAUAUAGAGACAGAGCAAUCCCACCAAAAGCAGGAAAUAUACAUACCUUGGGACGAUCCCCACCACUCAAAAUGGUUGCACCUUCACUCUUGGCGGUUGCAAUGAAUUUUAAUAUUUUAUCAUACUGCAGCAAUGAAGUAAAUAAUUAAAUUAGCAGGUUUAGUUCACCAAGAAGAGUUAAUUGUUCAGAAAAGAAAAUAAAAUACAUAUACAUAAUGUGACUAUUUGAGAUCACAAGUUGAACAGCGAAUUAGAUAUUAAUUGAAACAAUGAUAUUUUAACAAAUACUUGCCUACUUACAAAACAUAGUAGAAAAGUUAACUUUGUAACGAAAUAUCAUCCCAUCUGAACCAACAAAGAGAAAUGGAAAAUGUAGGAUUUUAAAAAAUACUUGCCUGCUCUCCACUGACAAGUGGGCCAAGCCUGCAACCCUCUUCGAAAGGAUCAGAAAUUUUAAUUUUUUUGGUCCAUUUGACAAGCUUGUCCAAAAAUUCUGAUGCAAUGCUUUCCUGAAAUAUUAAAGCGAAUAAAAUCUUAAAUUUUUACAAGGCUAACACAUUUUAAGAAAAAAAUAUCAUUUGAUAAACUAUACACUGCUGGAUGCAAAUAGCCAAACAUUUCUUAUCCCAUUUUCUCACUCAUAGUAAAUCCAAGCUUUUAAGUGGAUAAGCUGUUGCAGGCAAGUCACUCAUUUACAGUUACAAGAUUAGGAAAGUUGUAUUAAAGUUGUAUUUAUUGUCCUCGGGGAAUACCAUUUUCUUGAAGAAACAGCUGAAUUUUCAAUUAAUCUUCAAAGAUGAAGAAGAUUAGCCGCCGCUGUUAAUGUUUUAUAGUGACCCCAGACACCAGCAAUCUCUGACUUGGAGGGAACUUUUAAAGACUUGCCUUUUGAGAAGGUUUGAUAGCUCAUUUGACAAAGACACAUGUACCUUACAACGUUGUUUUAAUGUUUGGAUAGCAGCAAUGUAGGGUUUCUUUUCAUGCUUUGACUUGGUCACAAACUCCAAAAUUUGGUUACUCUUAGCUAGAUUUGGUUUUUGGUAAUCUUCACAGCUCCAAGGGAUCAUUUAUAAAACUCUUUAAGGCUGUUGGCUUGGAGUUUGGAGCAGGGUCAGUGCUGCUUCUCUAUUUCAAGAAGCUAAAUUCAUUUUAUAGGGUCUUACUAGUUCUGGGUGUAGCUAAAAGGAAUCUUUAGUUCGAUUCUGCUUUUCAAGGCAUGCAAAAUCAACCCAGAGCAUAAGCUGUAAACUGCAAGGGGAAGGUGUUGGAACGUGCACAAGAUGACAGUGGUAAAGGUAUUGCUAACAUAUAAAAUCCCAACUUUGGCCUCACAAGAUGAAAGUGAUUUGACAUGCAUAUUAAGCACAGAGGGCAUCACACUUACAUGCACUAAAAGACGGGAUGUUGCACUGCAUAUCUGGCCAUUUGUCCAAAAGCAACCAAAGAGGGUCCACUCAGCCGCUGGAAGAAAGCAAGUAAUCUACUAUUAAUAGAAACACCUGCAUGAUCACAUACUUGCUUCCCCUAUGUAUUGUUGAAAAAAAAAAUCUUUAUAGAGUAAAAAACAAGGAAUGCUAAGAGGGAACCAACCCUUAUCAAGAUCAACAUCCUCAAAAACAAUGAUUGGGCUUUUCCCACCUAGCUCCAUUGAAACAGGCUGACAAGAUAUUACAAUUCACAAGCAGUGAUUAGGCACAAAUCAGCAAGCAGCAUAUAAUAAGUGACAAAAAAUUGUUCAGCACAAGACAUACCUUGACCAUUUGAGCUGCAGAUGCCAUUAUCCUGCUCCCUGUAGCAGUGCUCCCAGUAAAUGCAACCUGUCAACAACUUAUUAGCAAUUAAAGCAAGGUAGAUAUAAAACCCAAAAGUAGUACUCAUCAAUAUCUGACUUGAAAAGGUGUCCAACAAGAAAAUAAUAACAGAAUACUGAACCUUGUCAACAUGGGGAUGAGAUGCCAAAGGAGCACCUGCUUCAGUGCCCAACCCAGUUAAAAUAUUGAGGACACCAGGGGGAAGACCAACCUCCCUACACACUUCACCCAGCUCCAAACAAGUCCUGAAAUCAGAAACAUCAUAAAUGACAUGAAACGUGGCCAACCACCACCAGAAUUUAUGCAAGCUCCAAUAAAUUAAGGGCACAGACGUACACAGAUGCCAGUUCAGAAGGCUUCAGUAUUGCAGUGCAACCUGCGGCCAGGGCUGGAGCCACUUUCCAUGUAGCCAACAAUAGUGGGUAAUUCCUUCAAUAAAAGAGACAAGAAAUAGUUAGUUUCUAUAACAUCUGGUUUAUUAUUAGAAUUUAGAAGUAACAAAUGAAGAGAGUCCCAAAAAACAAAAAAUGACAGCCAACAUGACUCCUAGAGACACCAUACCAUCACAUUAGAGAUCUUCAUAAACUCAAGAAUGGGAUCAAGGAAUUAGGUAAGAUAUAAAACUAAGACGUAAUAAUGAAGUAGCAAAUAAUGAUGGUAGCAAUGGAGCAAAAUGUAUUUUACAGAUGUCUCAUUUCUUCACCAAAAAGGAUUUUGACCAGUCCUCAUCGAUGAUUGUAAACUAAAUUGGAAAGCACAAAAAUAACUUCAGAGAGGAACUAAAACCAUGGUUGUGUGCAUUGUGAAUUUAGCAAGUCGACAUCUAGGUGACAAUUAUAAAGUUACAAGUUAUAACCCAGACUACAGCAUUCCAGAUAGCAUAGAAAGUAGAGUUCAAGUGCAACUACAAGCAGCCAGUAUAACUGCAACAACACAUUGCAUCUCAGGAUAAGUGAGAGUUAGAUUGCGACAACAAAUUCAAUGGAGAACCGUAAAAGGUUGCUACAAGACUUGGAUAGAAAUAAUUCAUAACUGAAAUCUAAUAAUGGAAAGCAGACUCUUCAAAUAAUAUUCUGCAGAAUUAAAGAAACCACUCUCUUGCAUAGACUUCAACUGAACAAUUUUAAGAGAAUGAUUACUAUCAAAACAACAUAGUACUUAAAAAACUAUGAUGGCACCAGUGGUCUCAACUCAUAAAGGCAUUUAUUAGCAAGAUAAAGAUUAUGGAAAAGUUAGAAGCUCCAGGCUCUUGAACAUGCUAAGAAAUUAAUAAGUCACACUUCAUUUUAUAUAUUUUUUCCAUGCAAUGAAUAGAUCUUCUCAGAUCCACACAAUUCUUUCUUCCAGCUUCCUAAUUUCCUAUAAUACAAAAACCAUGAUGUGCUUUUUUUACAGUGCUACAUUCAUUGACAUUGGUGUAGCUGAAAAAAAUGUAGAGCUUACUGGUAACGAUUCAUUUAAAAACAUUUGACACGCCCAAGCCAGAAAAAUUUUAAUUACAAGAAGGUAAACAUUACAUAAGAAAGAAAGAAACAGGCAUAAAUGUAUCACACAGUGAUGCAUCAGAUACCAUGGAGUGAUCAGAGCAACAACCCCAAGUGGUUCUUUAAGAACAAAGCUCUUAAAUGUUUCCAUAGGAAGAGAAACAGGAGCUUUCUGCUUUGUAUCUAAGCCUUCAGCAAGGUCCGCAUAGUACUCAAAACAUCCUGCAACAUCAUCCUGGACAACAAGAAUUCCCACAUAAGACAAUGCACAUAAUACUCAACUCAAUAUCUCGAUAGUGCCACAAGCAUACCAUGUCCCACAGUGCUUCAUCUAGAGGUUUUCCACUAUCAAUUGCUUCAAGUUUUCCUAGUUCUGAUUUCCUCUCUGUUAUCUGCACACAAACAAAGAUAAAUAGGAGUUGGAACCCGGGACAAGCAGGGAAGUUCAAUGGCCAACAUUAAGAAAAUUAUUGAUAUAAUUGCAGAAAAAAACUUCAAUAACAAAUGAUUAUCUCAUACUCCAUUAGAAAGAAAAACGGGUUCCAUAUUUGACACACAUCAUUUGUCAUUAAAGUUUUGAAUAUAAAAAAUGCGAGCUUCUUAUUUAGUAAUCCAAGAAACCAUCCCUCUCAGAUUUUGACUCCAAACACUACUAAAUGACAGAACAUAACCUUUGUAAUUCCACACAACAUUAACCUGAUAAAUGACGAAAAUUUCUUAAGAACAUAUAUAGUGAUCAGAAGUAAAGCGUAGACACAUAAGCAAAACAAAUAGCUAUAUAAGAGAAGAAAUUCAAAACAAUGAAUGUGCACAAUCACAGAGAAAAUUAAACAAUUUAGAAAUUAAUUGCACGCCAACAGAUAACUAACUGCAAAAUAAACUUAUGAAUCCAAGCAAACUGCAAGGUAGGAAAAAAAAUCCAAGAUUAUUAAGAAGUAAUAUAUCUUGGGAGUUGCGAGUGACAAAAAAAAUCAGCAAAACUGCAAAUUAAACUGUACCUUAGCAGCAAUAGCACGCAAAUACCUGGCACGAUAAGCACCUGACGCGGAGGACCAAUCUUUGCCUUUGUUCCUAGAAAAUGCUUUCUUAGCUGCUUCAACUGCAAUCUCCACAUCUUCUGCAGUGGCUGCUGGUAUAUCACCUGAACAAGUACCAUGUUCCACAAAACCAUAAAGAUCAAAUCUUUUCAAGGUUGCAAGUCUUUUAUGAGAUUCAAGAUCACUGAACAACUAAAAUAACUAGAACCCACAAAUUUAAAGCAAGAAAAAAAUUCAUUAGUGACAUAAAUGAACGUUUUAACCCAGCAAAACACACACAUACGGAUAUAUAGUGAGUGAGUAAACUGACCGAUGAUCUGUUCAGUGGCAGGGUUGAUAACGGGGAUGCGUUUUUUGAGAACGGUUUCUCUCCAUUCUCCGUCGAUGAAUAGCUGUCGAUUAGGUAGAUGGAUCGCCAUGUUCACUCUGACUGUGUUUCAGUGAGUUGGUUGAAUAUGAUGCAAAUGUUUCUUUUCGUGCUUUAUAAAGGUUUUUGAAACAUUUCAUUUUUUAAAAUUUUUUAAUAAUUUUUUAUUUUGAUAAAUUAAUUUUAAAAAUAAUUUUUUUAAAUAAAAAAUAUUUUUUUAAUAUAUUUUUAAAUAAAUAUUAUAAAAAUAGUUAUUUGUUGAUAUUUUCUGUACAAGCUCCUCGAUGCUUAACUUUAUUUUGCGGGAAUGCAUAAAGUAUUAAAAGUAGUUUCAAAAUUAAAGGAAUUUUUUUCUUUAAAAAGAAUUAUUCAAUGGAAUAUCACUUUUGUAAUUCUAUUUUGUGUACAAAUCAAUCCAUAUUUUGUGUAAAACUUUUUUUUCAAGUUGUUUUUAAUACGAGAUUGAAAAAAUGAGAUUACUUAUUACAAUAAUGUUUUAGGAUUUAAAGAUUAUUCUUAUCCAUUAAUUGAGUUUUAUUUUAAAUUAAAUAAAAAAAAAUAUUUACAACAUCAAAUCUAUUUUCCAAUAACUCAAUAAACUUAACCAAGUCUAUCCAAAAUCUGAUUUUUUCAACGCUUUAAUAAAAUAAAUGUUGACUUAUCUUUGAUGUAGGCUUUUUUACUAGUUAGUCAUCCGAUCAAAUUUGACAAAUAUGCUUGAGAGUUAUAAUUAUUGUGGAAAUCUCACCACAAAAUUGCAGUCACUGUUCAUGUCACAAAAACAUUAGUUUGAAUUUUAUAAAUUUUAGUGUUAUUAGAGAUUUACAUAAUUGUUAAUUUUAGAACCUAUAAAUUUAGUCGAGAUACACACAAACUAGCCUGAAUACUCACGUUAAUUUAAAAAUAAAAAAAUACAUCAGGUUGCUCUAAAACCGAUCUCCACUUUUAGGGACUGUGAAGUGAACUGGCCAGAGACUAAAUUUAUACUCUAACAUUCACGCUAAUCUAAAAAUAAAAAAAUACAUAUGGUUGCUCUAAAAUCUUCACCUUCUGGGAUUGUGAAGUUACUGGUUUGGACCAGAUUUACUUAGCACAGUGUCGGGCACACCAAGUCAUCACGGCAGACAUUUCUGGUUCACAUGCAGUUCUACCUGCUCGGCAAGUAUCUCUGAGAUAUUGUUGAUGGUAGCAGUGCCAUACCACUAGCGGACAUGGUAGAGCUACAGAUAUGGAAGAUCAAAGCUGGUAAGGCCAUUACGUUCUCUUCGUCACCAUUGAAGAUGAAUUAUUGCAGCGAAUAAAAAAUGUGAAGACACCCAAGGAGGCAUGGGACACUCUGGCGGUAUGAUGAACGAUGCAAAGCUCCAAAGAUUGGAGAACGAGCUUUUGCCAAUCUCCCAAAAAGACAUGACAGUGAGGCAAUACUUGUCUGAAGUGAAAUAUCUUUGUGAAGAAGUUUUGAAAUUAGAUCCUCUACAUGCAAUAUCAGAGGCAAGGAUGAGGAGAAUUGUUAUCAAUGGGUCAAGGCUAACGAUAUCAUUACGGCAACCCGAGGAUGAGCAAAGGAGCCAUCUUUUACUAGGAUGGAGAAUAUCUUGGCCAAUCAAAAGGCUCUAGACAAACAUAUGUCCAAAGUCUCGAUGAAUGAUGAAUAAGCUUUUUUUUGCUUAUUACCACUUUUCUUUUUAAAUAUUAGUGAAAUAAAAUAUUUUAAAAAAAAUCGGUGAAAUAAUAUAGUUUGUAUAUAUCAUGAUUGAGAAAGAUUAUAUUCAAACUUCUUAUUAUUCUGAAUCACGGCAUCUUAAAAAAAGUAUUAUGAAAAGAGCUACACGCGAGGAGAAAUGAAAAAAAUAAAAAAAGAUCCUAGAGGUUUACCAAAGCUCCAAUCACAACAUCACUAGUAUCAUUAGAGAGAUCUCAAUGGGAUGAAUCUAAUGACAUCAAAAAAGGUCACUAAUAUUGACUCGAGUGUACCACACUUGCCGUCCAAAGAUGGCAGGUGACUUGCAUUCGAUGACAAACGUGACCCAUUCAAGUCAUCGUUGAUGACUUUCCGUAACGUCGUUAAAUUUUCUUGUUGAAAUCUUUUAUAUGGGACUGAUGGUAUUGUAAUUGAAGCUUUGUUGCACUUUCAGGGUCUUUUUUUAUUUUUCUCUCAUUUCUCCUCAUUGUAAUUUAGAUGAGACGAAUCCAACGACACCUUUGGAAGACAAGUGUGACAUACUUAAUUCAUCAUUGAUAAAUCUUUUUGGUGUUGUUGGAUUCGUCUUGUCAAGAUCUUUCUGAUGGUACCGGUGGUGUCAUAAUUGGAGCUUUGGUGUGCCUCUGGGAUCUCUUUCUUUAUUUUUCCCUUUUCUCUCUUCUUAUGUGCAUUCCAUUUCACUAUUUUUUAAGAUGUCGUGGUUCUGAAUAACGAGAAGCUUGAGUGUUGUGUUUUCCAAUCAUGACAUGUACAAACUGUACUAUUUCACUAUUUUUUUAAAAUCAUGUUAUUUCAUCAAUAUAUAAAAAACAUGCUAAUUGUUUUUUUUUUAAAUCCAUUUUUAGUAACACAAAGGGCUUAACAAAAACAACAACAACGUCAAAGAGAUUGGCAAAAAAGACUACGUGGAAAAAGCUUCCAAUGAGAGGGAGCAUGCCUAUGUGAAAACCUUGAUGAUAAGAAAUAUUGGCAAUGAAACAAUGAAUGUUAUAAUUAUAAAAAGAAUUACCACUUUGUUAGAGACUACAAACCGAUCCUUUUGCGUCAGUUGCGAGACUGGUACUUGACGGCUCAUGAGCAUAGACUAAGGUAAGGUUGCCCAUCACUCUCUCGCUCUUUUUUGAAGGCCUUUUCUUCUAUUUUCUUUCUAGAGAUGGAUUGAGGGUAAUGUUGUCAUUUUUACUAAGAAUGAUCUUUCACAAUAGGAUAAUAUAAUUAGAGGAUAUUAAUUAUCGAGCCAAAAAAAGAAACGACACUUGUAGUGGUAAGUGAUAAAUUAAUAAAUUAUGAAAAUGAUUAGAUUAUGGAUUCGGGGUGCUCUAAUCACAUAACUGAAGAAAAAGAAAGAUCAAAGAAUAUUUUUUAAUAUAAAGAUAGAUGGGUGGUUGUAACAACAAAUGAUUUAGGGUUGUCGAUCACCUAUAUCAUUCAAACACUGGUUACAUCUCGAUUUAUCACACAUAAAGUGGAGCCAUGAAAUGUUCUUCACAUGCUAGGAAUGAAAAAAAAAUCUUAUAUCAUUCUUGCAACUCACAGUUGAUGAAAACUAUGCAGUCUUUGAUCCAAAUGAUAUCAAUGUAAAUAAAAACUUAAAACCUACAAGAUAGGCAAUCAUAGAUGGAGGAAGGCUUGAGUUUGUAUAUGUGAUGUUAACAUAAACAACAUACGUAGACAAGACGAGAAAAAACGAGACCAUGGAUUUAUGACAUGCUUGAUUUGGACAUGUAUGUUACACUAAGAUGAAGGUGAUGGUAAAGAAGACACUGCUUAAAGGUCUUCCCUUGUUAAAAGUUUAAGAAGACUCGGUCUUUGUUGGAUUCCAAUAUGGAAAGGCAUAUCAACUACCAUAUAAAGAGUCAACCUUCAAAGUGCACUUGCCUCUUGAGCUCAUACAUUCAGACGUGUUUAGGAAAGUCAAGCAAUUGUCAGUCAGUGACUUUAAUAUAUGAUUAUCUUCAUUGAUGACUUCUUCAUGGGAAAGUCAAGCAACUGUCAGUCAAUGGUUUUUAAUAUAUGAUCAUAUUCAUUGAUGACUUCUUCAAGAAUGUCUAGAUAAACUUUAUAAAAGAAAAAUCUGAAGCACUAAUAAAGUUCAAGGAGUUUAAAGAAAAAGUAAAAAAAUGAAACUCAACAUAAAAUAAAAUGUUUACGUACAGAUAAUGUGGUGGGGGUAUUGGACUCGAAAUAUUAUAUAUGUACUUGUAUGAUUAUAGACGAUGAAGGUAACCUAAAUUGUUGAGAUAUUGGACUUUAGCUUAUGUUUUUUAGUUUGAUUUAUUUGAACUUUUAGUUGAGGCAUCUUAAUUAGAUUUUAUUUAUUGGGCUUGAUUUAGUUAUUGUUAAAUAUUCUAUUUAUUGGGCUAUAAACCCAAUUGUUUGUUUUAGUUAGGAUAUUAGUAUUUAUGUUUUAUUUUUCUAAAUGUUGUUUUGUACAAAACACGCCGUUUCAUUUAAAAGAAAAAAAAAGCACCAAAAAGUUUAUUUCCAAAUCAAUCCUCAAUUUUUAAUUUGUUCAAUCAAGUCCUCAAUUGCAAUUUUGAUUUUAAGAAAAAUUAAUUCUAUAAUUAAUUAAAUUUAGGGUUUCAAUUUUAAUAUAAAAUCAUUAUUUUAUAUAUGGAGGGCUAAAAUUAUCAUUUCUACUCCAAAUAUCUCUAAACAUAAUUAGAUAUAAGUUGCAGAGAUAGAUACAUAAUUCUAUCCCUAAAAAAACUUUAAACUAAGCUAAAGGGCAUAAUUGUAAUUUUUCUCCUUCUCUUUGCAGCUGCAGUAGUGGGCACACUGCCCACCACCGGUUUCCACCUUUCUAACAGCAACAAGGGUUACCAUUGGUUUGUUACAGUGCGACGGUCUACCCUUGCGCUGUGCUGCCUCCAAUGCGAGGUUGCUACCUCGUGUUGGUGGUCAUCUUAACAACAACAAUAAAGGUUGCUGCUAGGUUUGGCAUGGCGCGAGGGGCUGCCUUUGCGAUACACCACCUCUAACAUGAGCAGAAGCCUCGUGCUUGGUGGUUUAAGUUGUCGCCUUCAACGCGAGGCAACUCGCACUAGAAGGCAACAACACUAGACACGCUAACGCUACUAUGUUAGGGGUAACAACCAUGACUGCAACCUCUAUCGCCAGUGGCGACCUGGCUUGGUGCAUCAAGCACCGAGCAAGUGCACCAGUAAUGCUCACAUUGCUACUGGUGGCGCAUAACCAGCAAAACCAUUCCUUUUAAUUUAGUGGCAAAUUCCGAGCAAAUCUGGUUGGAACAAUAACCAUAAAGUAUUUUUUAAAAAAAAUAAUGAGAAAAAAUACUUUUGAAAAAAAUAAAUCUGCACACAGAUUUAAUUCGCAAUUAACCCCAAUAAUUAUAAUUAAAUAGAUUAAUUAAAGAAUUUAAUUUAUUAUCAAUUCAACAAUUGAUUCAUUUAUAUUUGAAGAUCAUGUGCAUCCUCUAGUAAUGUGUUAUUGUCCCUUAAAUAUUAGAAAAGUUAUUAGUGAUUUUACUUAACUUUUCAGUGACCUGUUUCUCGGUGUAAUUAAUAUCUUUUCAUUAAUAAUAUGUUGAUUUAACAUUAAAGCAUGUAAUAUGUUUGUCACGUUAAAUCAUGUUUGUUCUCUAUAUAAUAGUCAUUGAUUGUUUAAAUAAGAUUUGAAAAUAUUUUCAAUUCUCAUUUCAUAUUUGCCAAUGAUUUCUCAAUCAAUACUAUUUGAGAACAAAUAAAACAUUUUCCCUAAUUCACUUAUGGUGAUGAAUAUUCUCUUGAUCACUAAGUAUUUUCAUAUAGUUUAUGUUAUACCCAAUAUCUGCCCCUUCGUUACCUCGGUUAAGAUAACAUGCAACAAGAUCAAAGCAUAACAUUUUCUAUAUAAGAUAACUUAGUGAUUUCAAGUUUAAGGAUUACUUACACAACUGUGACGUGAGUUUUUUCAUAGACAUAAGUGAUAUCUCCAUAUGUAAUUUUCAUGCAGGUCAGUUUAGUAUACAUGUCUUGUGACAAACACUUACAUAUUAGUUCUAGAUAUCCCUUAUACCUUAACUUAUAAGAACAAUUGCUUUUUCUCAUAAACAAAAGAAUAUAAUAUGUAUCAGUCUUUACGACUCUAAUAAAUAUUCAGUAUUUAAGAGAGCAUUGAUCAGGAACAUUUUAAAAACAAUACUUUGAUACAAUAAGAAUCUCAUAAGUAUAACAACUUUAUAAUUUUCUUUGCGAAACAUUUUAUCUUUAUUUUAGAUUCAUAAAUCAAAUAUUAGAUUUAUUAAUAUAAUAUUAUAUGAAUAUUAAAAAUAAAUUAAUUAGUUUUUAUUAAUAAUAAAUAUAUAUUUAUAUAAAUAUAAUAAUAAUAUAACCAGGUAAAAAAACAUACAAUAUGAGAUAGAUUUCGAUGAAAGAUUGAGUACAGUAUCGAGAAUCACUAUAAUAUACGAGUCUUACUAAGAAUUGCAGCCAAUCACUAUAGUACGAGUCUUACUAAGAAUUGCAGCCGCCAAUCACUACAAUACGAGUCUUACUAAGAAUUGCAGCCAAUCACUAUAAUACGAGUCUUGCUAAGAAUUGCUGCAGCCAAUCACUACAGUACGAGUCUUGCUCAGAAUUGCAGCCAAAAAGUCAUUGAAGCUUUGGAAAAUGGAUGUUAUGAAUGCAUUUCCAUAUACAUACAUACAUACAUACAUACAUACAUAAAUGUAUGCGUGUGUAUAUAUAUAUACACACGCAUACAUUUAUGUAUGUAUGUAUGUAUGUAUGUAUGUAUGGAACAAUCACAAAGAUUUAAGAGUAAGACUCAUCUAGAUUAUGUGUGCAAAUUAAAGAAAGCUCGGACUAAAGUAGUCAUCAAGAGCUUGGUACGAUAAAAUAGCAUAGUUCUUGUUGCAGGCUGGAUACUCUCUUGCACCGAUAGAUUCAAGUCUGUUUAUAAAAGAUAAAAAUGGAAAACUCUAAAUUAUCCUAAUCUACGUAGAUGAUCUUAUCAGUACCGACAAUGAUGAGAUACAAAUUCAGCAAAUCAGAGUAAAUCUCUCGGGGAGAUUUCAAGCGAAGGAGCUUGGAGAGUUGAAGCACCUCUUUGGAUUCAAAAUACAACAAAGCAAUGAUGGCUUGUUCUUGUGUCAGGUGAAAUACGCAAAAGAUCUCUAGCAAAAGUUCGGAUGCUCGAUUGCAAACCAAUAUCUACCCCCAUGGAGCCCAAUACAAGAUUAUAUGCAGAAGAAAGUAGAGAAUUGAAAAACACAACAAUGUACAAAAAACUUGUAAAAGUCUAAUCUACUUGAAGAUAACACGACCGGACAUCACAUUUGCGGUUGGAGUCGUUAGUUGGUUCAUAGAGAAACCAAGGAAACUAUAUCUUGAAGCAGUUCGACGGAUAUUAAGGUAUGUAAAAAGGAACUAUGGAUCAUGGAAUAUUUUAUAACAAGGGAACACCAUAUAGGGUGCUAGGGCACUAUGAUGCUGACUAUGUCAGAGACCGCGACACAAGACGGUCUACCACUGGACAUGCGUUCAGCCUUGGUUCAGGGCCAAUAUCAUGGUGCAGCAAAGGAUAGCCCACUGUAUCAUUAUCAACUACAGAAGCUGAGUGUAGAGAAGCAACUAUGGCAGCUCAGGAGAAUGCAUGGCUAAUGCAGCUAGUGAAGAUCUUCACGAACCAUUUAAUUGUCCAACUAUAUUACAUUGCGACAAUCAAUGUGCUAUAUGCUUAGCAGAAAACCUAGUAUUUCAUGCAAGAACUAAACAUGUCGAAGCACAUGAUCAAUUUAUUAGAGAGAAAGUUCUGCAAGGCGACUGAGAUGCAAGAUUAAAGAACAAGUCGCAGAUUUAUUCACCAAAUCAACAUAUUAAUAAAGAGUUUAAAAGAAGACUCAACAUGAUCUCUAGAUUACUGUUUAGAGAGAGCAGUCGUUGAGGGGGAGUGUUAAUUAAUCACUGACUUACUCUCUAGGUUUUUCUAGAAAUCCCUCUCCUAGACUUUUUCUCCAAGUCGGUGUGAGAAACUGACAUAAACAAGUAUAAAAAGGGAGGACAGCUCCCGUUUUGCGAGUGGGCAGAAAAACUGAGUGCAUCCUCCAAAUAAAAAGAGUGUUCUGUAUUAUAUCAUUAAUAUAAUACAUUUUCAUGGUAUUCCACUCUGAGCAAAUAUUUCAUCCUCCAAAUAAAAGGGAAACUCAACACAACAAUACAUAUUCGAUACUUUGUAAAAUUCUUUUAUGGCUGUCAAGAGGCAAAGGUACUCUUUCCUCCAGUAUGUGGAGUGUGAAGGGUUUAUCUAUCAUCUUAAAAGAUAUAAGGUUCAAAGAGUAUCUAUUUAAGAUUACUGAAGUGUAAACUGUCAUUGUUUAAUAGUUCAAAAUUAUGAUAUAAAAUAUUUAGUAUAAAGUCUCACCAGUAUAAGGUGUGAGUUAAAAAAAGGGGUUUAUAAAUUUGAAGAAUUAAGGAAGAGAGAGAGAAAAGGCAUAGAACACAAUUUAUUUUAAAUGAAUUAUUUAUUUAUUAUGUUGAAACAUAUUAUCAUGUUGGAAUAAAUUUAAAAUGAAAUUAAAGUUUAGUUAUUCAGCCAGAAAAAAAAAAAAACCAAAGUCUUCAAGUAAAGAAUUUUGUGAGUUUGGACGCAGGUAGAUGUUACAUAUUAGCCUAAUUUUCAUAUAAAUAAAUUAAAAAAAGGGAUGAAACACUAUAAAAUUAAUAAAUAUAAACGGAAAAAUAGACUGAAUUUUUCUGUCAAUAUAUUACGAUGACCUUUACUAAUAUAAUUUUUCAAUCCUGUAUCCAUCGGUAAAUAUCGAUAGAAAAAUUCUCUCGAUAUAUACCAAGAGAACUGCAGUGGGAGAAUAAGAAAUGAAAAAAAAAAAAAACCAAACAUUAUGAUGACGUGUAACUUUUAUAGACGACAUUACCAACAGAAUUAACCUGACGGUAAAGUACAUUCAUAAAUAUGCCGAUGGAAAACAUUUCUCGAUAUAUACUAAGGGAAUUAUAAAUGGUAUUACAAUGGGAUUCAAAAAAGACAAAUUGUACUGUGACGUGACAUUUUUACUGACGGAGUUAUUGAUGGAAUAAUUUUGUCGGUAUAUUCCAGUGACUAUGAGAGUUAUUCCCCUUCUCUUUGACAUUGUUCACGAUGUUCAUUACAUACGGGUAUACCAACGGAAUAUGUCCGUCGAUAUAUUCCAGUGACUAUGAUAAUUGUUCACUUUUCAAUGUACUGAUAAUUAAUGUUCUUUUGACUUUUACUUUUUUUUCCAAAGGCAUCACCGACGGAAUGAAAAGUCAUUGAUAAUAUUUGGAGGGCUUUUUGAAAAUUCUCAUGCAAGUUAAAAAUUUUCAUUUGACUUUACAGACGAAAACACCAAUGAAAAUAUUAAAAAUAUUAAUAUUUAAUUUUCCUUUUAUGUUCCCGAUGGUAAAAAAAUGUCAAGAUACCGAGACUAUAAAAUUUCAAUUUGACUUUACAAAUGGAAUCACCGACGAAAAUAUAAAAAAUAUUAAUAUUUAAUAUUGCAUCGGUAAUUUCGUUGGCAACACUAAAGUAAAAAAUCAAAAUCAGAACAGACGGGGCUUCAUCUCCUUCUCUCUUCUUCUACACUUCAAGUACAAACAUCAACUCACGACGCGGGCUCAUCGAGUGCAAUACCGCAACGUUGGGGGGGUCCCUUCACAACGGGAUCCAUUUACCCACAAGUAUGAGGCUUGUGGAAGGACAACUUUUCAAUGUAAGUUUGUUUUGCUUUCACAACGACAUGUUUAAUAAUUUUUGAAAAAAUAAUUUCAUUUAACGAAUGCAAUUUCAGGUUUACAAACAUUGAGGCUGCGAGAAUAAUAACAUCGGCCUUUAAAUCAUCGAUAAAAAUUUCAUUGUUUCAAUGGAGCCAGGUUUCCAAACAUCUUGAAUGGAAACUGCAAGUCGAUGCAUGAUUUUCAAGGUUUAAGGUUAGUAUUAACUUAAAUAUCUUUUUAUGUUAAUUUGGUUAGUUUAUUGAAAUUACUAAAAUUUUCCUUUUAUAAAUUUUUACUUCAAGGGAAAAUUUGAAAGAGAGAGAAUUGAUAAUAAUGUUGCGAGGAAAGUUUGAGAGAAUCACGCUACAAUUAGAUAAGAUCGAAUUCAUGAUACUUUUUUUUUACUUCAAAUAUUAAAAUUUUAUUUUUCAUUUACUAACAUAUAAUUAAUUUGUAAGCCAAAAAAUAUGUGAAAGAAAGAGAGCUUCCAGACUAGAAUGACGUGACGAUUUAGAAGGAUUUCAGACUGUCGUACAUCUCGCAGGUUGUAUGGAUGGAAUACAUUCAGCACGUAACGUCCACGCAUUUCACGCGACAGUCACAGUCCGAUGCAGAAAAUGAGAAUAGUCGUGUUCACGGAGAAUCACGCUACAAUUAGGUUAGAUCAAAUUCAUGAUACUUUUUUUUUUCAAAUAUUAAAUUUUUUUUUUCAUUUACUAACAUAUAAUUAAUUUGUACAAUAUAGGUUGUGUGAUUUUUUCUACGAGACACAAAAGAAAGCCAAAAAAUAUGUGAAAAAAGAGAGCUUUCAAGCUGGAAUAAUGUGACGGUUUGAAAGGAUUUUAGACUGCUUUACAUCUCAGAGGCUGUAUAGGCGGAAUACAUUCAACACAUGAUGUUCACGCGUUUCACAUGACGGUCACAGUCUGGUGCGGAAAAUCAAUAUUGUUGUGUUCAUGGUUUCGUUACCAUGCACACCGGCAACUCUGUUUUGAUCAUUUUGCAUGCAAAGUAGAUGAUAUUUUUUUUUUGCAUCCAUUUUUUUAUUAGUUGUUUUUUAUAAAUAUAUUUAACUACUAAUAUUUUUAUCUUGCAGGCUACAAUUCUUGGAAGCAAGCCAAGACUAGUAAAGCUUUUUGUUUAAACAUAUGUGCUGAUGACCGCCAAAAAAAUAUACAAUAAUUCAUAGAUAGUUGAGCUUUGUGGUAUGUUAGUUUUCAAAAAAAAAAAAUUAAGUUAUUAUUUCUUUGAAUUUUAUGAAUUUAUUUUUUUCUUUUCAGGAUAUAUAUAACAAUCAAUUAAAGGAGAGAUACGGGGACAAUAUUUUAAUCUAUCUGGAUUUAAGGUUCGAGACAAGAUGAUAAAAAUCCGACCAUAGAAAAAUAUUGAUUAAGCUUUUGAUCAUGUUCAAAGUUUCCCUAAUAAACCAGAUCAUGAAACAUGGCUAAAUCUGAAUUUGCCACCAGACUAGACUGUAUCCCCUAGCAAGAAAAAUCUUCCCCCACAAAGAGAGGCCGAGGGAGAGAAAAAACCUUCCAGAUCUUUCUUGUUCUUUUCUUCUCUCCCCUUUUCUUUCCCCUCCGUUUUUCCCCUUCCUUGCCAAACGACCGGUGGUGACUUGAAUAUGGCACGCACCAUGCUUUUGUAAGUCAAUGGUUUUAAUUUACUCGUUUCAAAGGGUAAUAAACAGAGAAUAAUUGGAACUAUAUAUAUAUAUAUAUAUAGAAGAAGAUGUGAAACUAAUUAAGGCCAAACAAAUAAAUCUGAUCCAAUAAUCAAUACACAAGAAAGGAAAAUCAAAAUAUAUAGAACAUGAUAUCUUACAUAAAAAGCAUGGAUGGAGGCCUAUGGUACAUGAUAAAUGAACGAAAAGAAUGGAAAAGCAGAAAAUACCAGGACUAAAAAAGAAGAAGAAGAAGAAAACAAGACAGUAGUGGUCAAAACAACAGACCGUACAGAGAGGUAAAACCUAUGUAUAAAUAAUAUAUGGUGUGACAAAACUAGCGUUUCUGGGUAGUCUUCUGAUACUUUUCUUUGAUCCAUUGGAAGCCAACAGAGGUCCCUUCUUUCACCUUCUUGAACCCAAUUGAAGCAACCUGUUUGGUCUUUCCAAGCCCUUCUCCAACCUUCUGCUUGUAUUUGGCAGUCGAAUUGCUGCUGCUGCCGUCCUUGUUAUGAUAGACAACAGGAUCUUUGUUGUAGUCCCAUUGAUCAGCCCAUGAUGUCUCAUAAGAACUGUUUCCGGCCAUGAUUCUUAACAACAGACGAUGAAAGAUUGAUUGCAGGCAGAGAAAGGAUGGAAGAAUAUUUGUUUAGAAGAGGGAGGGAGGGAGGGAGGGAUCUAUGAAAUUGGAAUCUGUGAGGUUUUCUUGUUUAUGAGUUGAAUUCGUGUGCUGCCUGUUUUAUAUUCCUAACGCGGUCCAACCUGGGAAGCGUGGGGGAUUAGAAAUCUGUACUAUUCUUUUAAUUUCACAACACUAUUUGACAAAUAUAUCCUUUUCUUUUCUAUCAUAUUUUUUUAAUUUUUUAUUUCAAAACAUAUUAAAUUAUUUUUUUUAAUUUUUUUUUAACAUUAACCUAACAAAAUUAUCUAAAAAUAUAAAAAAAAAUUAAAAUUUAAAAAAACAAUAGCAAAAGACUUAUUUUAUCUUAAAAAAAAAUGUUGUUUUAAGAAACUUAAUCAAGAAUAUCAUGUUUUACCAACAUUCAUAAGGGUUUUGUCCAAAAAAAAAAUUGUAAUAAGUUUAAGUUUUUUUUUAUUUUUUAUUUAAGUUAAGAUUAAAAAAUACGCGUGUUUUUCAUGGACAAAAGAAAAAAAAACCAUUAAUUUAUGAGGAUCUUUUUUGGCCGUCUGUUUCUACCCCUUCCCUUGGGGACUCAACACGUGGCCAAAUCAAGUAUUGAAUAUUAUUCCUAAUUAAAUAUUCUAAAAUUCAACAAAAAAUAAAAUAUAUCAUCACAGCCACCAUACCUGUACAAGAUUGGCAUUAAACCCCGCAAUAUAAAAGAUGCAUGUAGAGCAAGCAUAUAUUUUGAUAAAAAAAAAAAAGAACUAUAAAUAUAAUAAAUUAUUUAUAUACAAGUCAAAUAUAAAGAUCAUUAGAUUGGAGAAUAUAUUUUUUUUUUUAAAAAAAAAAAAGCCCCUCCACGGGACAAAAUACAAUUUAUGUGCAAUAUUCAAGAAGAAAAUUAUUUUUAAUUUAUGUGCCAAGUCUGAAGAUUCUAGAAGCGUUGAAAACAUUGUUUUCUUGGGAUAAUCAGCGCAGCUUUUCUGCGAGUAUUUAAAAUGAACAGAGUUUCAAUAAAAGUGUCGCAAAACAGAGAAUCCAGGGGCAGUGAAGUAAAUGCAGAAAUCAGCUUGUGCUUCUGGAAGCAUCGAGAAACCUGGGCGAUUCUCACCAUCAACGCCUCCGAGUCAAGUUGGGAGGUGUGACGUGGCGUUGGUUUUGAAAGAAGAGGUCUCCUCCCUUCGUGGUGGCUCAUGCAUUGAUUCCUAGAAGCUUCGUGGCCCAUCCACUCGCAGGUCAAAAGUUCUCCCCAUUGAAGAUACCCAAAAAGGACUUCCCCGGUUCCUAUCUCUCAGAAACAUCAUCAUAUUUAAAUAUCAUUUAUUGUUAUUUUUAUCUAUAUUCUUUGUAAAAUAAACUUUGUUUCUCGGAAAUUCCCACUUUCAAACAUUAGUUCGCUCCAUGAGAAAGUCAACCUUGGUUAUCUUGUUUUCAUUUUUUUAUUUCUUUUGAAGCAGCUAACGAUGACGUCGUUUUAAGACCAAGACGUUCCCAUGUAAACCAUGAAUUAAACAUAUACUAUAAGGCCUCGUUAGCAAUUAACAUUGACAUAUCAAUACCUUUUGCAACCGAUAAAGGAGGGUAGGCACGCGUGAAUAAAGUUGAGCCAACUAAUAUAAAAUUCUCCGAUUGGAUAUGUUAAUAAAUUGAUAAUUUUUAAAUUUUAUUAAAAUUUUACCGAUCAAAUUAGGGGAUCCACUUUUAAAACUGUUUGGAAAAGAAAUUUAAUCUCCAUCCAUAUAUAAAUUGAUCCCUUAGAUAUCUUUUAUCUCUCUCUCUCUCUCUCUCUCUCUCUCACACACACACACACGAUAUCAGCCUUGGAUUACCAUGUAUUUUCUUGUAAUUCAAUGUGGAUUGGAGCAGUAUAUUUUAUGUGAUUUGACUCUUUAGAGUCCAAAUUAGCCUCCAAUUGCAUAUUUUUUUAGAGGGGAAUUGAAUUGAAAACUAUAGAACUGAAGUUAAAAUCUUGGGUAAUAUGAGGGGCAGAUUAAAAGUUUCAUUGAAAGAAUCAUUUUAAUUUUCUAUAUUUUUUAGGUAUAAAGUGACCAGUCUCUUGAAUUUUAAGACAAUACAUUUUGGUACCUAACUUCAUUUUUUUUUUCAGCCCUUUUUUAUUGGGAGGAGAAAGAGUGAAUCGUCAGAUUCCAGCCUAGAGAGAGAAAGUGGUCGUUAUGAAGGAUUUUAGCCACCAAAACAGUUGAUUUUUGUGUCAAAAGGUUUCAUAUGAUGAGGGAGAUUAUGUUUAGGUGUUGUUUUUACCUUUAAAACAACAUAUCUGAACUUAGGAAUAAUUUUUGUUCCAGGUGGAUUUUGGGUUUUUGGGCUUUUUAGUGGCCAUAGAUUGGUUUAAAAAGGUCUCUAGGAUGUUUUCUAGGUGUUUUGGGUAAAAAAUAGAUUAAAAAUGAGAUUUUUAGUUGAAAAAUUGACGAACCCUGUUUUUCCUACCACCAUAGUAGCCAGUUUUUGGGUUGAAGUAGGUGAUGCGUUAAACUUUUUUAAAAAAGGCCCGCACUUGGGCCUGACAUUGCAGGCCCGAGCGCGGGACAAUUACUUCAUUGGGCUAGGCGUUGGGCUUGGCUUACCAGGCCGAAAAGCGUCUGGCUUGAUUUUUUUUUAAAUUCUUUUUUUCUCCAGUUUGUUUUAAAAAUUAUGCAUUAUUUGUGUAUAUUGUUUCAAAUAAAUUUUUGGUUUAUAUUUUAAUUAGAUUGAGAUUAUUUUUAAAUGAUAUUAGGUAUAUUUAGUUUUUAGAGAGGUGAGUAUGAUUCAUUUGUGAUUUUUUUCUUAAUUUUAUAUAGAUUAAAUUUUUAUUUUGAAUAUUGAUUUUUUUAUAAAAUUUUUCAUAUGUGUAACCUUGUAUUGUGUUUUUUUUUUAAUUAUUGUUCAAUAAAUUUUAUGUAUGUGUCGGUUUCUAUUAUAAAUUUUAUGUGUUUUCUACCACAAAUUUAUUUUGAUAGAGGAAUUUAUUAAACAUGACCAAGUAAAUUACCCAUGUUACGAUGUGGGAUAUCUUGAUCUUUAUUUUUUUCUUGGUUUUCUUAAUUUUAUUUUUGUUUAUUGUUUAUAAUUUUCUUUUCAUUACUUUACAUAAUGGUUAUUAGGUUGUUUAAUUAGAUGCGUGUAUAAGUGCUUGCCCAAGAAAGUUUAAAGGUUUUAGGUGCUCUAAGGUUACUUUCUUUUAAGGGAAAAAUUUACUUUCUAAGGGAGUGUUUGAGGUAUGUAUUAUACUCAUUUUAUACACUGGGUUCAAACACAUAGAUGGAUACAUAAAAUGUUUUUACAAAAACUUAACUAAGUUAUUCAGGUCUUUGUAGUAACAAGGAGUUGACAAAUAUUUGUUACUCUUUACUUGCUAACAAUUGAUGAGACUUCACUUCUCACUUAAAAGUUAGGAUUCCACACUUUUUUUGUUCAUCAUGCCACUUUUUAUUUUGAGUUGCUCAAACAAUGUCUAUGUUAAAUUGAUGUCCCUUUAUAAUUUAUAAUUUGAUUCUUAUAUGAAAUUCAAGACAAUUUAAUUAAGUUUUUUAUAUAUUACUUAUAUGUUGCUUGAAGGUCAAAUCAUAUAUUUUUUAGUGCUAUCAGCUCUUGAUUGCAUGGUUAAAAAAUGCUUUUUUUCCCUUUCAAUUGUUUUAUAAUUAAAAACAGCGUGUGUUUCUAGAAGUAGCCUGUGACAACACUUGGGUAACCUACCCAAUAAAAAGAUAAAAAACGACGUGGUAUUCAAACUGUGCACGUAUUUGAAAAAUUAUUAUGGCUGGUUCAAUUCCAUCCAAAAUUAUUCACAUGCAAUCCGAAUUUAGACACAUACCUGGUUCACAUUUUGAAUAUGCAAAUAACACGAAGUCAUUACUAACAACACUAAAAGAAUUGGGCUUUUUUUAGGUGAAUAGUGAAUCACCUCCCUCCUUUAUUUUUUCGUUUUCGUUCUCUUUUUUUUUCAUCAUCAAUUAUUUUUAUUUAAUACUAUUGUGACUUUAUUCCAUGAGAUAUGAUUUUAAAUUGUAGUAUAUGAUAAACUUUUAAAGUAAAAGGACAUCAAUGUAUAACAUGUAAAAAAUAUGUGUUCAAUCUCAAAGUUAUUUAGAUUUUUUAUUUUGAUUCAAAAGUUUAUUUUGUUUAUUUUUUUUAUUUUUCAGUCCCUAGAUUUCAGAGAAAAGAGAAAAAUUCGCUAGGAAACGACAAGGUUAUCGGCUGAUCACAAUUCAACUACUAAAAAAAGAAUUUUUGUGUCAAUGAAUUUCUCUUCUUGAUAUGAGUUUAUUAGAGAUAGUUUUCAUUAGAUAAAAUUUUAUAUUAUAGUAGGAAGAUAAGAUUUUAAAGUACGAAGACCAUAAUGUAAAACAUAAAGAAAAUGGGUGGUCAAUCUCAAAGUUUUUUAUAAUUUUUAUUUUGAUCCAAAAAUUUAUUUUAUUUAUUUUUCAGUUCUUGAAUUUAAUAGAAGAUUGAGAAACUCAAUAGUAAAUAGUAAGGUUGUUGAUUGGCCACAAUCCAACUAAAAAAAUAUUUUUGUGUCAAUGAACUUCUCUUCUUGAGAGAAGUUCAUUAGAGGUGGUUUUUCUCUUUAAACAUGUCAGGAAAUGCAUAACAAGUUCAAUUUUGGUUUUUGAAUUUUGUUGUUUUGUGAGUGAUUUUGGGGUUGUUGGGUGGUUUAUAUAGGCUUUAUAGUGUUUUUGAGGUGUUUUCAAUGAAAUUGAGUUGAAAAAUAGAUUAUGAAGACAAAAAUCCCCCUUGAUUUUCCGGUCACUAAAGUGAUGGUCAGAUUCUGGAUAACUGCCUAGUAAGUUACAAUUCACCUAGUUUUUUUAUAUAAAAAAAAACUAAAAGAAAAAAGAAGCGGAUAAGCAUAAGCUUGGGUUUCGCCUUGACUUUUAUCUUAAGAUCAGGUGGGUGAGCCUGACCUAUCAGUGCAUGAUGUUUUUUUUUUUUUUUUAAUUAAUACCCUCCCUAUGUUUUAUGUAUUUUUUUUAUUUUACAUUAAUUUUUAUUUAAAUCUCAAUUAAUACCCCCUCUCUAAUAUCUUAAAAAAAAAUCUAGUUAAUCUUUUUAAAAUAUUAGUUAUUUUCUAAAAAAAGAAUUUUUUAUUUUUAUAAUGUUUCAAAGAGAUUAUUAUAAUUUAAUUAUAUAUAUAUAUAUAAUAUAAAUAAAAUUUAUUUGCAUGAAGUAUUUGUAAAAAUAAAUAUUAUUUGUUCUUUGUAAGAAAACAUAACCUAUCAAAUAAAAAAAUAAAAGUCCGGAUUAAAUAUUUGUGUACUUAAUUCUCUUUUUUUUAAAGAAAAUAUUAGCUUUUCAUUAAGUAUUUAGUUAACAUUAAUAAAUCUUUCAUAGUUUAUCGAUUCAUUUUUUUUUAACUUAUUUCAAUAAGUGUAAAUAGCAUUAUUGCGUUUUUCAAUUUAAAAAAAAAAUCAUGACACAAUAAAAUAUAUCUAUAAUAUUAUAUCAUUCUUUUAUUAUUUUUGAAAUUAACUUGAAAUUCUCAUAGCAUGAAUGACAAAACUAGUUUCAAACAAGGCAUUAAACAAUUUGCCUUUCCUCCAAGUAUUCUCAUGCACAUGGUCAUUUAUGAACUAUUGUUAUUAAACCUAACAUGAUCUAGUAAAUCAACCUAGUAUCUUACCAACCAUAAACUUAUUUCAAGUUAGGUUUCAUAUUAAAUUGAUCAAGAGUUGACGUGAUUAAAAUUAGAGUAAGAUUCGUAAUUUACUUUUAAACAACAUUAUUUUAACUCUUUAAAAAUUAAAAAAAAAAUAAUUAAAAUGAUUCUAUUCUAGAUUCAUUAGAAUUUAUCUUAAUUAACUCAUCAAACUUGCAAUCCAAGUCAAAUUAGAUUUUUAUUCAUGCUAUAAAUGACUAUUUCCCUCGGGUCAGAGAAUUUAGUUAGCUCAUGUUCGACCAUCUCAUCCCCUGCUUAUCCUAGUGCCCCUCAGCCAUUAAAAGUAAGGUUAUUUCCCACCUUUUAUCUGCAGGGCGGCGAAAGGGUUAGUUCACUGACUCCAAACUAGCUACAAACUAGAAGCUGUGCGGAUCUUGGUGCAGUUUCCAUCAUGGUAAGACAUUUCCCAUCUGGCUUAACUACGUUGUCAUGUUAGCCUACUGACAUUAGGUAACUCACUCCUAUAGUUGGAUCAUUGCCUCGUAUGUUACAUGACCUGCAUUGAUUUAUAUUUAUAAUUCGUAAACAAGCAGAUUACAGCUUAGUUUGAUGCAAAUCGCAAGAUUCUCUGAUGAUGUCCAAAAAGUUCAUAUAGUUUGUAACAUUGUGCUAUGGCAGCUUCACUUAAUGAUCAUAUGUAUCCGGAUUGCCAAGGUAUUUGUGAUAGAGCCACCGUGAUAUGUUCAGAGCAUUUCCGUUACUCUCCACCGGGAAUAUCUUCCGACUUUUCUGCCAUUUGUUUGUAAGCUUUAUCCAUUCUCUUCUCCAAGCCUUCAACUGGAAACCAUGGCCAUUUUCCAAACUCUGGGUUAAGAAAUUGAAAUAUAUAGCUGCUCGGGGACCAUAAUAAUCUUUUAGAAGACCGCUCCAGUACUUGUUCCCUGCAAGAACGGGAACAGAGGUUUUCUUAAAACUCCAUUGAAAUACUGUUAAAAAGCCUACAAGUUUUCAAUCAUCCAGUGAUAACAACUUCCAAUGACAUGUCCAUCCGGAGAGGAUGGGCAUGGAGCCUCCAAAUUUGAUUUGAGGCUAAUUUUUCAAGCAACGAAGGUAAAAAGAUACACCAAGGUAGUGUUGAUCCCCUUACCAUAGUCACGAAGAAGACUUGCUUCCACCUCUGUGUUGUCAUACCACAUAGUUAUCUGAGUUCUUGCAUUCCAUUCAAACUGCAGUUUCAGAGCACAUUGAAUUACUAAAAAACACAGACGACUCUUGAAAUUGUUUGAGAUCAAAUAGGGCUAUAAUUUGAAAGGCUACUAACUUGUAUUUGCUGUUCUUCAUCUUGAGCAAGUUGCUUUGCACUUUCUAACCAUGGACCCAGAAGAAAUCCUUCAUGGCAUGCCAGGAGUGUGUCUAUGUCUUCCACAAGGUCUAGAAACAUCUGACUCUGGUGAGCAACUCCAUGGCUGUCUUUUAAUCGGUAGGCUUCAAUGACCUUCAAGAACAGCUCAUUUGCAUAUUUUGCCAACACUUGUCUUGUCAGGUCAACUAAGUCAUAACUGACAUGGAAAUAAAUAUACAUUUAGAAAAGGAUGGGAAAAUAGUGAAAACUCUAAAAUAAUUUAAGAAUUACACAAAUGGAUAAACCAUCCAGCAAAAGGUUUUUGAAACCUCAAAAUGCUAACCUGUAAGUGCUGCUUCCAGAUAAUUCAUCCCCUCCUGCAAUGAAAAGUUCCAAAGCACGCACAACUUCAGUGGUUGAAUACCAUAGGUGAGGAUGUUCAUAUGAAUCAGUGUUUUUUAUUAGGGCCGCUCUUCUUGAUACUAGUUUUACAUCGGUGUGAUGCCUUCCUUGCAGCAUCGAAACAAGAUUUGGAUUAACAUCAGGGAAUGCUACAAUUACAUCCCGGUUUUUGUCCUGGUCCAACAAUGCUUAAGGCUGUCAGAAUUCAAACAACAGAGUGCACUAGGAGUUUUUCACAUGCAAAAUAUCAAUUUGGCACUUUAAUCGGACCGGGUUCUAAGUCACAGACUCAAGGUUAAAAAGACCACGUUUGUAAUUUCGAAUCAGAAUCACGACAUUUGUGGAUACAAUAAACUUUUCUUGAACUGAGGGAAAUGAUGAAAAUGUAUAAACAUCCACAAAGAAAAUGAGUGAAAUUACAAAAGCAUAUGUAUAGGAGGACAUAUAAAUGAACAGAAAUAAAAGGAUUAAAUAUAAGUUGCAUAUUAUGCACAUUUGUGAAAGCCAAAGAUAGGUAGAGCCAUUACCAUAUUAUGAUGAAUAAUACAUCCAAAUGUACUCCAUAGACUGUAGACAAGUUGGGGUACUUACAUAGGCACCAUCAGUGCAAUUGUAAACUGUGUGGUACAGUAUAUUCCAGGCAUUUUGUAUUGUUGGAACUGAUCAACCAUAUCGUCUUGCUGAAUACAAAUCAAUCCAUUCCUAAAAGAAAGACAAGAUAGUUGUGAUUUUAAUUGGAAGUGUGAAUUUCCCUACGCCUGAUCCAUUCUUAUUUAUUUUCCCAUAUGCCAACAUAUCUAGAAAAAAGAGGUGGAGAAACUUUCUUAUUUCAGAAAAAAGUCUUCUAUUCCUUCAUAAUUUCAAAUUUUAAAAAUUAGAAACAAAGCUUUCAGAGGAUCAUGAAAUGUACCACAAUUUUAUGAAACAUUUAAAGGAAAGCGCUUGUAAAUUGACAUAUCAAAGAUGAACUAAUUCAAUUGUAAUAAGAUAAGAGGAACUCUAAAAAGACUAGUAUUUGACACAAUAAUAACUACAGUAUAGUGUUCAGUGAUGCAUUCAAACAACAUAAAAAGCAAUAACCAAACUUAACAAGAAAGCAAGGAUGAUAGUGUUCAUGGCUUAAGGUUGAGUUUAGCAAACAUACAAACUUUUUAUAUUGCAAGUCGGAGACAUAAAUGUACAAAUAUGAAAUGGUGGCGACAGUGGAGAACUUUCCAUUACCUUGACAUCAACCUUGUUCUUUUGAAAUGCCAUUUCAGACAUGAGGUCAUAAACAACUGGGUUUUGUUCUAUACCUUCCAUUGACAUUCCAACACCAACCUUCACAGAAGCAACUAUAUAGAAUAAGAUAAAAGAUGUAAUAAAAUGGUACAAUAAUUAGUUAAAAUUGUAACAUGACACGAUGAAUUGUUUUGUCAGAGAGAGAGAGAGAGAGAUGAACUCUAGCAAUAGUUAUAUGCUUCUUUUGGUUUGACAGCUUUGACCAACAGGCAUCAGCAAAACUAUGCAAGGUCAUACAUAUGCACCGUUCGUAUUAUAAAAGGGGAGUUAGUGCAUAUGCCUAUUCAAUUUGUUUUUAAAAUGACAAAUUGUAAUUCACUAGAAAGUGACAGAUAAAAUUUACAUUAAACAAUGAAGAAUAUUUGCAAGGUAAAUCAAGUGUAUCACUCGCCAAAUUCUGCAUAUACAGACCUUUAUCUUAAACACCAUCAAAUUGUUCAAGCAAUGCAACAAUACAACCCAUUAUGUUACACAAUAAUCUAAUUGAUCAGUUUCAGUUGCAUGAAUUCUAAUUUUUCUGAACCAUCAAUAGAGUGCUUCAUUGGCUCUGUGCAUCUAAUAAUGAAGGGUAUUAUAUUAUGGUAUAUCUAGGUUUCACAAUGUAAACAAACAGAAUCCUGCUUUUCUCGCUCUUAUAAUUGGAAUCUUUUGUCUGCAUUUUCAUGUGUUGUUGCCAUCCAUUGUAAUUCAAUAAAUUAGAAGACUCACAUGUUGUAAUUAAACAACAAAUCAAACAAGUUUGCCAAACACAUAAACAGUAUGAAAUUGCUUCCCAUUUACCCACAAGCCCAUCUAAUUAGAAAAUGUGUUAAUCUAUUCUCUCUCCCAGAUCUUGUACUUUUUUCUUUUACUUUCUCCGCUUUCUUUAGUUUAAGAAUCUUAAAAUCUAAUCUUAUUAGAUUGAGGGAGGUGUAGUUGUGUACGUGGAAAGCUUGUAGAGAGAACUUAGGAGUGUUAGAGAAGGAAAAUAAAUUUAACACGUUGAACUAAUCAUGAAUAUAAAGAAUAUUGUCAACUGUCAACCUUAUGUAAGAGCAAGAAAUGCUAUGUGUAACCCUGAAGGGUGUAGCUCAACUAGUCAGGCACUAGGUUUGCUCCCUAGAGGUCACUAGUUCGAGUCCCACAAAUCUCAGGGUUACUAGAAGCUUACAUGAUCGUUAACUUCAAGGCCCGUGGGAUUAGUCGAGGUGCGCGCAUGCUAGCCCGGACACCCACGUUAAUCAAAAAAAGAAAAAGAAAAAGAAAUGCUACGUGUAUAAUUACUUGUGGAGGGAGAGAGCCAAACAGGAUGCUUGAAAGAGGUUCAAUUUUUUUCAAUGCUAUGAAUGGCUAAGUUGAAGGAUCACGGAUAAUGGGUGGGCCAUCAACAGAUUUCAUCAGGUACUAACAUUGUUUAUUAAUAGUAGCUUACAAUUGUAAUACAAAUGAAAGUUGCAAAGUGUUUUUAAAUUACAGUGCUUUUUGUUAAAGGGUGAAACUUUAAGAUAAUAUAACCUAAAUUUUCCUUAUGUUUCAAAUGGAAAGAUCAAAGCCACAUAACAUCUCAAUUCUUAUUAGCAAUCAAGCUUUGAAGGAAUCAACUUUACCAUUGUGGAGUUCUCACUGGUACGAGCUUCAACCGGUCCAGAAGCUACCGAAUCUAAAUACCCAUACAUCUCCAAGUUUCCUGCAAAGUUGUGCAGCAUACACCUGCCAAGUGGAGAAACAACAACUUAAAAACAAUAUAAAUAUAGAAGAGGAAAAGGAAAAGAAAACAUCAGAAAUUCAUUCUUAGGAUAUAUAUCAGGAAUUAAAUAAUCACUGAACAUAGAUAUAACAGAUUUAUUCACAGGUUAGUACAUAACAGAAAAUAAAAUAACAGAAUUAUAAGCAGCUUGAUUUUUAGAGAUCAACAGAGUUUUACUUCAAUGAGGAUAUGAGUUGUUUCACAGGUGCACAACCGAAGUGUAAGAUACUAGAUAUUGCUAUAUAUACAUGCUACCAUGAGAAAAACCAUAGUCCUAACUACCUGCAUAAAGUAGCAAUAAAUGACUCAAUGGCCAUGGAUGUGACGGUCAAUAACAUGGUUUAUAAAUUCUGUACUGCAUUUUCAGAUAGCAUGUAUUAUGUGUUCUUUCACAAUACUCUGCAUUUAUAACAUAGACCAAAAAAAAGGUCUCAAUUUAUGCUUCCAGGCCAAACUCAAGCCCAAAUGAAAAUAGUGAUGACUAAUGAUAAUACAGCAGAUUUUGCAAUUGAUGAAAUCAGGAUAUUUCUACGUCUUGUAAGCAAAUAUCUUCAGCUAAGAAUCACAGAUAUCAUCAUCAGUUAGAAAAGGAACAGUUACUUACCAGAUGUAAGGGACACCAUAAAAUUGCUCUGAAGUAUUCCAUAUGGGUUUCACUUCGGCAAACAGAUCAAGGACUACCAGCCUCCCUAUAGGAACUGAAUGUAGAAGCGCCUGAAAAAGAGCAAAGGAUACCAUCAACCAAAAGCACUCAUCAAUAAUAAAAAAAAAGCAACUGAACAUUUCCAAAUCAUAUCUAUAAGAUUCCAUGAAAGAAAAUAAUAUAUAUAUAUAUAUAUAUAGUUGCAUAGUAAACUAAUCAGUAAUCAUCUGUAUCCCUUCAACAUUUUCCAUAAUGAAGCUUUGCACAAUCAAUAUCCUAAGUUGGAUGGGAUAAUUAAAAAACAAAGAGAAGAUCUAAGCUUUUUUUUUCCUGAGCAAAAUGUACGAAAUGAGAACAUUUCACAUCGCAUCAAGAACACUUCAGUCUGUUUAAGAGAUAACCCAAGAUAGCCACAAUGAUCUAAGGCUGUGAUAUCAUGCACAUUACAAAAUUGAUUCAUAUAUAGUCAGAACAUACAAAUGAGAAACCCUGAUUAAGUCCCAACUAACAUGCCAUUUUCUUUUUUUUAUUAAAUUUUUCUCUACUUUGUUUUUCUGAACUUUCCUUCUAUACUUGAGAAUUUAAAAUUGCAGAUAUUAGAAAGAUUGCUUAAAGUUCAAUGUUUUCUGUACACACUCAAACAUCAUCAUUAACAGGAAUUAUAUCCUUGUUCACUUUGGUUUAACAUGGCUUUAAUGCUUAUUUAAAAAAUAAAAUACUCAAGAGAUUGAAUGGUAGUGUUCUUAACUAUAGAACAUAGAGUGCCUAGAAUAGCAAAGCAAUCAAAUUACAAUAUAACCUUCGUUUGUGGAGGUCUCCAGAAAGGAUCAUAUGAAAAUAACCACCCCUGCAGAAUUAAAGCAAAUAAAUCAGAAUUCCAGAACAAAUGGAGCUAACGUUGAUUAAGAAGCAAUUUUGGAACUUAAAUUAUAGAGAUGUCAUACUUGUAGCAAAUAUAUAAUGACAAAAUGCACUAUCAACAUUGAAUUAAGUAUCACUGAAGCUAGAUAAACAGUUUGUGAUGAUUGAUAACUAAACAUUCGAUAUUCCUUCACCUGCAUCAGCCAGACAGCAUUACUGUCACCACUUUGCAUUCCCUCAAAUAUUGAUCCACCUAAUGAAGAUAUGUACUCUGGGUCAUCAACAGGUGGAGUAUUCUCAUCAAAAGUGUCACUGCAGUUAUUCAAACAAUCAAUACACGGAUACUUUAAGAUAGAAUAAUUUUCUGUAAACCUGAUCUGUUAUUGCAUUUGCUGCACUGCAAUUCCAACAUGAAAGAGCCAAUGACAAAACAAAAGGAUGGAUGGAUUCAUGAUUUUAAUGCAGGACUUUGAAAACUGUCAAAAUGGAUAGCUGUCAAAAUGGAUAGCUUAUAAUAUAUAACUUGCAAACUGAAAACCAGUUGUAUGAAUAGGAAAGCAAAGAAAAUAUUACCAGUUGUAUAUGUGGCUGGUACUUCCAUACUCUGACCCAUAAGAUAAUUGCAAAGAUCACAAAUUUAGAAUUCUUGCAUUUUUUAUGAACAUAAGGAAUAUAAUUCUGGAAUAACUUUGGUGAUUCAGAUAAGCUCACCUGUCAAUUGUUGCUCAAUGAAUGCUCUUCCAAUCUCAAUAAACAAGGGAUCUGUUGCAUCAAGGAGAUACGUGCAGCACCAUCUAACAUCACUCCUAACUGAAAACCUGAAGGAGGAUGUAGAAUAUGGGUCAUGGAUUCAUAGAUCCAUCAAAGAAAUACAUGAAGUGCAUCAACACAACUCUGCAGUCCUAAAUCCUAGAUGAUGCUGGGUAUGGUUUGUGAAUCUCUUCCUGCCAUCCCACAGCAAAAAUGCCAUGUACAUUUUGGCACUUGAUUAAUCUUUUCCAGGACACAAGGUUGAGUUACCCAAUUUCCUAUAUUAACCUAGGACUGGAGAAAGCACAAUGUAUCUGAUAAUUGCAAUAUAUGUGCAUGUAAUGAGCAUGAAAUCAGCAAAAGAAUGAAUAGAAAGCUUGAGAAUUUCUAGUGGGCUUCUUGGACAUGAUCCUAACCAGUUCUUUUGUAUUUUAAUUAUAAAGAUAUCCAAACCCUGAGUUUAAGAAACUAUAGAAUUCUUGCAUUUCAUUACCAGAACUUAAAAGUGAAGUCCAUGCAUAUGUUAAACUGGCACAAAGAUGUACUAACCAAUUCCCCAAGCGUGUUAUUUUUGCUGAAGGAAAUAUAUUCCUUAAUGCUGCAGGAACAUUUCCAGAAAAGGCUGGAAGAACUGGACAGCAGAAUAGCAAUAAUUGCAAACGUUAUAUCGAUAGAAGUUCAAAAAUUAAAGCAAUUAUUUGAUAAAUAUAUGUGAAUUUCCUCAACUUUUUUGUUUUUAAUUUUUCAAUUUGGUAUUUUUUUGAAGUGGCAUUUUGAAAUGCAAAUAGUUCUACUAAUUUUUAUCUUCGCAGAAUUAGGGCAAAAGAAAGAAAAGCAAGAUAUUUCCUCUUAUUGAGGAAUUUAACAUCCACUUUGAAUAAUGCUACAGAAAGAUUAAUUUGAAUUUAUACCACAACUAGAAACCUUAAGAGUACAAGUAUAUGACUAUUGAUACCUGGAGUCAUUCCAAGUUCAUACAUUCUGGCGAGAAUUUUCUUCUGCAGAACUAGUUGUUGAUCAAACCAACUUUGUGGUAGUGGUCCUCCCCACCUGUAAACAAAAUAGUAUUUGUAAUUAUGCUCGUCACUAUUGAACCAGUUUCAUUUCUAGACAUUAUUGAGAAUGUUCUUGCCCAAAACAAUAAUAAUCAUAAAAAUAAGUUCCCCAGUGCGAAUUCUGCAUUCUGAUUUUGAUGAUAUAAAAUAGUUUCUUCCUGAAAUUAAGGGUUUAAAAGCAAUAAUAUCCUACAAUUAGGAAUUUGCAAAAAAUAGAGGAAUAUCAACAUUUUGAACAUCACACAUAAAGUUAGAUAAUUAAACGUGUAGAAAGAAGAUUUUCACAAAUUACUGUAAAUUCUUUUAAACAGUCAAGCAAGAAAUAUAAGCUCACCUGUGCAAAUUUGCCAUGCGUGACCAUGCAAGAAAUGCAGGGCCUCCAAAGAAAUCAUCCAAAUCUUCUUUACUAAUAUUAAAUUUCUGCUAAAGUGAAAAGUCUAUUUAGAAGAGCAGAAAUCAAAGUGCCACAUCAAAUAUAAUAACUCCAACGCAAUUCACAACUAUGUGAAUAACUAAUAUGGUCAUUUUGUUAUUAACCAACAAAAAGAAUAUAAUGAAACAUAUUGGAAUCCAGAACUAAUGUAAAAAGAAACAAUAUGAAACAAUGUAAGACACAGCUCUCACAGAUUAACUCAACAUAUACUGAAGAAAAAUAUAAUUCAUAUGAUGUGUUUUUAUUGAUAAAUGUGUGUUCAACAAAAGGGAUUGCAAUAUAGAUCAAUACACUUAAUUUUUAUCUUUUCCAAUAUACUAACUAUAUGCAAAACAAUUAUUAGUGCAAUAAACAAGUUCACAAAGGUUAUAGUUGAAUAAUGAGACUUACAUGUAUCAGGAUCCUGGUUCCUUAUUGUAAUUAUUAUUUUCAGUACAGAUCAUUCAUGAUCCCAAUAUCAUAGAAUGUAGUGGCAUAAAAAAAUCAGUAGUAAUGAAGCUUCCAUGAUUAAAAAAAGGGAAAAUAAAACAAAUAAAAUCUCUAGAGCUCUUUUGGAAGAAUAUGGAGAUUAAUAAGAGGAAUGGCACCUGGAAAACUUUUUGCCAAAUAGCUUCCUGUCCUGUAAAUGCUAGUGGCAAGUUGAUGCCUUGAAGAGCCAUCCAAUCAAUUUCCUUUUCCCAUCUUUUCCAAUCCCACCAAGCAAAAGAAUCUUCCAAAGAAACAUAUAUUAAAUUUAUAUAAUAUUUAUCAGACCACAACGCAAAAAGCUAAAUCCACCUGAAUUAAUGACAUAGCUAUCACUCUGGAUAUUUAGUAGAAAAUUCAAUCAAUGCAGAAACUCACAGCUAGAUGUGACAGCGUUCUGGUAAUAAUUCCAAGGAACAGGUCUCUGAACCAAGAUACUAUCAUCUUGAAGACGUGGAAGAGAACCCAAUUUAGGUAUCGAAUUGAGCUGCACACCUCCUGUUUUGUCCCAAGAUAUAUGCGAACCACACCAAUACUUCAAAUACCAAUGCAAACCAGCCAACACUUCUACUCCAGUUACCCCGGAAAUUCUAGCAUUGAGCACCCAGAAAAAGAAAAAAAAUUCCAAGUUAUCACAAAGGAAGUCAUAAUUUCUCAAUAAUUCAACGAACUUGAUGAAUUUUAUUUCCUUCACAUCAAUGAAAAUGACUACCACAAAAACAGACAUAAGUUUUUUUUGGCAAAAAUUAAUAAAAGCAGUAAAGAGUCUUUAGCAUACAGAAUCUGAGGAGCUCCGCGCCUUGUAAACGAGGGAUGAUUUUUUAUAAUGAAGCAAGAUUCCCCUCCACAUUGCUCCUAACAUUAAUACAAUUAAAUAAAUUAUAUAUCUUGCUCAAAAAGCUUAAAAAAAAUAUUGAACUUCUUCAAAAUUAACUAUAACAACAACAAUGAUAAUCUCUCGGUGUUACUUUAGUGAAAUCCAUCAAAUAACAAAUAAAUUCGAUAAGAAAUCGAAGUACCUUAGAUACAAUUCGAAACUCGAAGCUGGAAGAGUGAGAAGGAAGGAGGCGUUGCAGAACACCGCGAGCGGCGGCAACUUGGACAGAAGGAAGAGCUCGUUCGCGGUCCUGGAUUUCGAGAAUUUUGGAAAUGUAACCGACGCCGAUCGUGGAAGAUUGAGCGAAAGAGAAGAAGAGAAGGAAGGAUGCGAGGAGGACGAGAGAAACGGCGGCAACUGGAGGGGAGUCCAUAGGGAACAAUGGAGAUGAAGAGAGUGAUAAACCCAAAGGGAUUUAUUAUAGAGAAGAUGGGCAUUGCAGUGAAGGGAGUAAGGAGAUUCUGUGAAAGAGUAAGAGACAAAAUGGAUUGCCGGCCAGAAGUGUAAAGAACUGUUUGCUUUGUUUUUUCGAAUUCGAAAUUUGACAUUUUGGCUUCUACUUUCAUUUGUGUUUUUUAUAGGUUGACUAAUAGUCAGCAUGGGCUUAGAUUCAAGUUGCUUCUAUGGACUUAUGUGCCCCUGUUGACUUGGGCCUUUAAGCUUACCUUUUCAUGAGAAAUUUUGUUAUGCAUGUGAAAAAAUAAAAAUAAAAUAAAAUAGAGAAUACACACUUGUUAUCAGGAUUAUCAUGAUUUUCAUUUUAUGUGUGUUUUAUAAUUAUGUUGCGCAUAAUAUAUGGUAAUUUAUCUUUUCCCAAAUAACAUUUUUUUUUAAGAAUAAUUGUGUAAAUAUAUAUUUAUACUCAACAACAAAAUUAUUAAAACUUUAAAUUGAACUUAACCUUUCCACCUUUGAUUUUUUAAAAAAAUAAUUUUUCAAGGCUCAUGGCUCAUAAAUUCUUGCAAAACAAAUCUCCUAUCAGGAUAUAAAAUCUUCUAGUACCUAAAUUAAUAAAUGUGUAAGAGAAAAAAAAACGUUUAGCAAAGAUAACAAAAACGUGGGAAAGUAUAGGUUGUGAUUAUUAUGUGUGGUUUUGUAUUAUGGUCUAUGUGUUGUUACCAGGUGAUCUAAGAUAUUUAUAUAUCUUAGGUCAUAUGAAAUUUCCUCGUGAAGGAUGGAGUUCUCAAACAUAUAAUGUAGAGUAAUCAUGAAAAAUAAUUAAUUUUACCACAUGGUUAGCUUGUAAAACAAUUUGUUCAUGUAAAUGUUGUACUAUCAAUUUAUGAGACAAAGUAGGUGCUAUAAUGAUAAUUGGUGAGAUAGGAUAGCCAUGAUACUAGCAAUUAGUGAGACAAAAAGGCAUCAUACUGACAAUUCAUACAACCAUAUUGAUAACUUGUAGAAUGAAGAAUCGUGUGCAAACUUUAUAAUAUUAGCUAGUGGUUGCAUGACCUAAGAUAUGUGUGUAACGAUAUUUUUUCUCUUUUUUCAUUUCAUGUUGUUUGAUCAAUCUAAUAUUGAAACUAAAUCAAAGAGUUAUUGAAGAAUCAAGGAUUUAAUUGGGGGAAGGGAAGAAAAAUUACAUGAGUCGGUAUGUGAAACAAGAUUGCCACCUUGUGGCAAUGUGUGCAACGUCAUUAUGGUUUUGAUGGUAGUCUUCCUUUCUGUUAUUGGAUUCAUCUCAAUGAGCUCUUUCUCUUGGUGUUGUAUGUGUAGAUGACAAAGUCAUGGUGGCGUUUCAACAACAUGUCUUUUUCUCAUCUUUUUUUUCUUUUACUUUUAUAUCUUCUCUUGUGUUUCUGGUCGGUCUCUUCUCUUUCUCUCUUUGCUCUUUAAGCUAGAACAACAAUUUUUCUUCCAUAGCCUAUCAACUGUUGUUCCUUUUUAAUUUUUUUUUUUAAUUUUUAACAACUUGACAAAACAAUAGUUGCUUGGUUUUGUUUUAGCCUUUUGGCUUAUAAAUCACAAACGUUUUCACUUUAGUUGAAUUGUUCAUGAAAAUAAUAAAACAUGUUUUGUUUGUCUAAGAUUCGAGUGUUCUAUUUAGUCGAACUCGACGAAGUCAAGCUUGAGUGGUAAUGCACAGUAAACUUAUAUCUUGUAUUGACCAAAUAGUUGGAGGAUUUUAACUUCAAAGAUUUAUAAGUGGACUCGCUAGUGUUGUUAAGUAUAUUUUUAUGUAUCUUUCCUUAAAAAACAAUAGAUAAUCACGCCUACAAAAUAUGAUAAAUAAGCUACAUAAUACACUAAUGUUUGCAAAUAGAAAAAACUACACCAACUAUAUAUUACUUAGAAAAAAUAAUUGAAAAAAAUAACACACUUUUUGCAUGAGGUGAUGCGAGUCUUAGUGGUGGAUUAAGAAAUGUUGAACUAAUUUAUAGGGUCAGUUGACCCCAUCAAUUAGGGGAAAAAAGUAAUUAGAUAAUAGCUGAAUUUUUAAUUAAAUGAAAGAUUUUUUUAAUGGUUUCACUAAUUUGAUCUUGUUGAUAAGGAUAAAAAUGUUGAUCUAAUAAGUAGUCUUGAUGAUUGAUCAUGUGUCAAUAUAUUAAUCGACUAUUGAUUUUUUUAUUAAUAUACUAUAUGUUCUUUAUUUCUUUCUUGAGAAAAACUACAAUUAAAACCUUAAUAUUGAGUAAAUGUAAAUAAUAACCUUGUAAAUCAAAUAAAAUACAUGGUUCUCAACUUGGCUCAAACAAAUUAAAAAAAAAGAAUUGUAAUACUAAACUAAUCUGAAUAAAAUGCAAGUAUGCAAUAUAAAAUUAAAGAAAAAAUUGUAAGCAAAAGCAAAGAAAAGAAAAGCAAUGAAUAAAGGAUAAAUUAUAUAUAUAAAAAAGAAAUAUAAGUAAAUUGUGUAUACGAGACUGACCAUUGUUUCUAAUAAUUGGUUGAUUUUUUUAUAUUAUUACAAAGAUUGAAUCCCUGACAUUUUAAUGUUAAAAUUAAUUGAAUAAAUUGAUUAUGCAUGAAGUGGUAAAUGAACAUCGUUAUCCAAAAAUAUCAAUCAUGUUUUUCUGUUGACAUGUCAACUAAUUUAAUUAUUUCAAAUAAAGUGUGUUCUGGCUUUUUGGCACGAUGCUUAGAACUCUAUAAAUUGCAAUGUUUAUACCAUAAUUAAUUCACUAAUUUUGUAAUUAAUACCUAGCUCGUCAUCUCUUUCAUAAAAUCUUCAAUCCUCAUUCAAUAGAAACCAUAGGUUCUUAGAAAAGAACCAUGAACCCUAUGCUUUUUCUCUCUCUCAAAUCCUAGCAAUGACAUCUUCAAGUUCUGGUCCAUAAAAACUUACCAUUAUGAUCCAUUUUCAAAAUUAUAAUGACCGUAUUCCUUACAUAAAUUAGUGUAUUAUCACAAUGCACUAGAAAAUAUGUCUAAAGAAUAUUUUCAUCUAUACCAAGAAAUAAGCCCCAUGGAAUGAGACAAUUUGUUUACCUUAAUUCUUGAAUAAGAAAUGCUUCCUUUACAAGACUAUCAUACGAACCUCAACAAUUUGUUUACCUCAUUAAUUAAGUCUAUUCAUAUAUAACCCAACAAAAUAGAUCAACACCUUUGUCGUAAUCUUAUAGACAAUACUAUUCAUAUUAUCUAUGGAAUUUGAACUUGAAUUAUAUUUAUGAUUUUGCUAUCCCUUUAAUCUCUUAUUUUAGCAUAUCGGUUUACACCUAACUAUUAUUAUUAUUUUAUAUUUUUUUUUGUCACGCUCAUCAAUGUUUGAUCUUCUGCUUUUCAAUCCAAUCUUCGUCUUUUUGCUUUUUAUGCUCUUAAUGGUGAAUGUGAAUCGAUCAUUCAAUAUCUUUUUCCUUAUUUUAUUUCGUCUACAAAAGUAAUGAAACACUCAAAGAUUUCUAAAAUCUUUUAAAAAUAAAUAAAUAUUUUUUUUAGAAAAAAAUCAUUUUCAAAGAAAAAAGGUUUUAAGUUACAAUCAGGCAAGAAUUUAAUUUAUAACUAGUCAUAAAAUAAUACGAGCAUGCAAUUAAGGAUCUAAUUGAAGAGAAAUUAAAGAAAAAAAGGUAAUUGUAAGAAUUAGAUGGUUAGUGACCAAAACAAAAGUGCUAGAAAACUUUUGAAGGCCUUAUUAAUUCAAUCACGAGCUCAAUUGAAGAAAAAACAAAAUUCAAAAUUUAGGCUCAAUUAGACCAAAAAUAAAAGGAUUAAAGGUCAAAAGACUAAAAUGAAAGGAAAUGGAAUUAAAAGAGCACUUUUGGUUUCAAUAAGGGACCUGAUUAUAGAGAAAUUUCAAAUAAAUAGUCAAAUUUGGCUGAAAUUACAUAAUUUAAGGAACCAGUGACCACACUAUAAAAUACAUCAAAAUAUAGGGACCAAAUAGAGAAUGAUCAAGGGAAAAAUUGAAAGGAUUUGUUUUUAAAAAAAUAAAACCCAGUUUAGGAAUGAAUUGAAGAUUUUUAAAAACCAAAGAAUGAAAUAGAAAGUGCGCAAAAUUUUUAGAUCUAAAUUAGACUAAUGAAAAUGACAUCAUUUUGUUUCAAUUCUACAAACCUAAUUUACCCCAAGAUAAAAAUGAUGUUGUGUUCUUUUAAAUAAAUAAAAAACAAGUUUUAUUUGAAAUUUGUCAUUUCAAUAUUCAAACAUGAAAAAAAAUCAAAUAAUCAAAAGAAGAAAAAAAAUGUUGUUUUAGGUAGUAUUCUUCAAUAUCUUCUUCCCGCAUCCAACUAGUUCACGAGAGAAAGCCUUAUGCAAGUACUACUUUUUAGGUCAUUUAAUGUCUUUUCUCUCUCAUCAAAUCAGACAAAAGACACUCCCCUUACGGUCCUGAUCAUGUACUUCACCCUUAGCUCUUUUUUCAUCUAUUUGUGACCUUAAAGACCUCUACAAUGCUAGUCAAAGACCACUUCCUAACCAAUCAAAACCUACAAGACAAACGUGUACCUUAUUAAUUUGUAACUUAUGAAAGGAUAGAUGUGAAUUGCAACUAAUAACGAGGAAAUAUUCUUAGAAAUCAAAGGUCUUAAUCUUGCUAGAUCAAGACCCUUAUACUCUUAUUUUCACCUAUAAAAAAAAACAUCUUAAAAACCCUCACCCAAGCAUUAAUAAAAGAGAAAAAAAUGGAAGGGGUGAAAAAAGAAACAAAGAAAAGAGAGGGAAUAUAUAAAAUAAAAAGAAAGAGGUGAGAGGAGAAACAUGGCAAAAAAGAGAGGUUUUGUCUCUUAAAAAAGAAACUAACAAGCAUAUGUCAUCAUCUUCGGGAAUAAUAACAACCUACCCCUAUAAUUGCAGCUGGUUUAUCAUUUUUUUUGUCCAAACAAAUCAAGAACAAUAACAAUCCUUUUAAAAGAGUAUUACAAUGUUAUCAAGCCCAACAACUCCAAAAAAUGGUAGCAUUGAAGGGUAACAGAAAUAGUAGCAACCUUUAAAAUCAACAUUAACCAUCUUUUGUCUAGUGAUCAUGAGGUAUACUCUAGAAGUUGAGAUGUUCUAAGACUUGUAAUCAUAACCCUAAGAAGUUAUAGCAAUAGGCCCAAACCUCAUCAACAACUUCAAAUGACAUUGAUCAGAAAAAUCCAUGGAAAACCAGGUGAGCUUCAAUUUUUUUUAAUACAUUUUAUUUUUUUUUGUUUUUUGUUUUUGCAUAAUAAUGUAAUCAUGGUUGGUAAAAUUUAGAAAUAUGAAGUAUAAAUCAUGGGUUUAUCAAGGGAAAAAACCUACCAAUAUGGCAUUAUUUGAAGUGUAAUGCAUGAUGCAAAUGUGUUGUCUCUAAUUAAUAAAUGUAUACUAAAAUGGGUGUAAGAAAUAUGAGAUAUAAGUGUUAUGAACUUAUAAUCAUGAAAAAAAAAAUUGAAAUGAUUAGUAAUCUUUGGUCUUUUGUUAUGGAAGCCAUAAAGAAUGUGUUUUAGGGUGUUGUGUUUGAUAUUAACUAGGUUUGCUAUUAGGGUUAGUAAUUAAGGCCUUUUUAUUAUUUUUAUUAUAUUGAAAAUCUAGAUUUGAUAUGCAUUAGAGUUUAACCAAAGUCCCAUAACUCUAUUAAAAGCAAUCUUUGGUGUUUUGAUGAUGAAAGUUGGUAUUUUUCAAGAAAGAAAGGUUGUGGUAAUUUCUUUACUUAAAUGAAUUUGGACUUUAAAUGUUGGUUGAAUCCUAAAGAUUCUAGAGUUCUAAUAUUGUUGUAAAUAGUAAGCAUGAGUGUCUUGUAAUUUUAGAGAAUAUGACAACUUAUGGUUCUUUUAAUCUAGGGGUUUUGACAAUUCAAGUUAUUUAACUUAAUAAUAGAUGUUAAUUUAGGGUGCCUUAAUUUUAAUGAUACAAGUUUUCUUGGCUUAUUUUGUUAAUGUUUGUCGCACGUGGACAAGCGAUGUCGGGGGGUCGUUGGAAUCACCACCUAAUUAUUUGAUUCAAGGUCGUUAAGAAACCCAAGUGUACUAGCUUUAAUCAAAGAUUCCAAGGUAAAGAAUUGGUUGUGGCUAGAAAAUGUAUUAGCACCUUUAGUGCACCACCCUACAUGAGGUAAGCUGUAUUAUGUGGUUUGAAUGUGGUUUAAAGGUUUUAAUGGAUUCCUAACCAAUAGUUUGUCUAUGACUUGGGGUGAAGAUUUAUUCGUGUGAAUAAAUCUUGUAUUUUGAGUUUAUUAUAGGCUCGUGUAUCCAAAUAAAUUCUUAUGAAAAUGAUCAAUGUAAGUGCCCUGACAGAGUUCACUAUCCUGGAAGGCAGAAGGGGUUUUCCACAACUUGUGUGUUGUGGUAAAAAUAUACUCUAAAUUAAAAUUGGUGAAAAUUUAGAAUAACUCUGAGAAUUUUCUAGUUAAAUUGUCUUUUCAUGUCUUCUAUCACUCAAUUCUUGAACGUUUCUUUCUCAAGAGGGAACCUCCACAUCCCCUCAUGCAUAAGCUCAUCCUGUUCUGCUAUAUUUUUUAAUCAUGGUUAUUUCAGCACAUAGCAAAUAAAUAACCAUUAAGAUCAAUGAACUUUGAUAUGAAGCAAUAUAGACAAAAACAACAAGUUAGAAAGACAGAAUUGAAGUCGAAUAUAGUUGUUACACAUAACUCUAGUCAUAAUUUUAUUAUUGAUUUUUUUUAAUUAGUCUAUAUCUUAAGAGGUUUCAAUUCUUUAAAUAAAUUCAAAAAUUAAUUUUAUAAAAUAAAAAACCUUAAAGUAAAACAUUUUUUUUUAAAAUUAGAUAAAAAAAUAAAAAAACUAAGAAAACAAAUAGUUUUUAAUAAAAAUCCUCCUGAAUCAUUGUAUCAUAGUUCACCGUACUGAUUGACUUUCUCUUCAAGAGAUUUUUCUAGUCUAAUUGGUACAUAUGGUCUUUCGGGCCAAGGUUGUCGUAGCGGGAUGAGUUUCAAAAAAGGAAAGCUCGGUUGAUGAGGACAAAACUUAGCUCGCAUUUCUUUCUUUUACUGUUUUUACUUUUUAUGGAUAGACGAAUCAUUUCCCAAUUUGUACCUUUCUAUGGAAACAUCUGAUUUUUCUCUACAGUGUUUUCUUCUAUAUAUUUUCUGCCUCCCUGUGUUUCUCCCCCCUCUCUCAAGCAAGCAAGAGAAUCAUGUCAGACCACCAUGCUAGUUACUCAGAUUAUGAUUCUCAAUCACGCUCCGACGACCACCUUCAAACAAACCUGCCUGCACUUUAUUCACAGCCAAGCCUCCCAUCACUACCUUCCCUCACCUCAAACCCCGAUCACUACCAAGAAAUCCUAUCCACCACCCACCACCACUGCCUCACCACUCUUAAAGGCCACACCUCUUAUAUAUCCUCACUAAACCUUGUUGGGAAGUUCCUUUACAGCGGCUCCGGCAAGGAAAUCCGAUUGUGGAAGGGAAACUCUUUAGAUUCUGAAAUAGAUCAUGAAAACCUAAGCAACAACGUUGUGGCUGUGGGAAAAGGUGCGGUGAAGUCCCUUGUUGUUCUGGAAGAUAAACUCUUUAGUGCUCAUCAAGAUCACAAAAUCCGAGUAUGGAAAAUCAAUAACCAGGAAUCUGAUAAGCAGAAAUACACACGUUUAGCCACUUUACCAACACUUGGUGACCGUGCCUUCAAAAGUCUGUUGCCCAAGAAUCAAGUUCAGAUUCGCAGGCACAAAACAUGCACAUGGGUUCAUCAUGUUGACACAGUAUCUGCAAUAGCCUUGUCGAGUGAUGAGUCCCUUCUCUACUCCGUUUCAUGGGAUCGGACAAUUAAAAUAUGGAGAACUAAUAACUUCAAGUGCUUGGAGUCGGUAGCCAACGCACAUGAUGAUGCUAUAAAUGCAGUGGCAUUGUCGAAUGAUGACAGUGUUUAUACCGGAUCGGCCGACAAGAAUAUCAAAGUGUGGAGGAAAAGUUCAAAAGAGAGCAAACAUUCCUUAGUUGCUACGCUAGAAAAACACAACUCUGGGAUUAAUGCCUUGGCACUAAGCACUGAUGGGUCUGUUUUAUACUCUGGUGCAUGUGACCGAUCAAUAGUAGUAUGGGGGAAGGACGGUGGUGGCAAUAUGGUGGUUGUGGGAGCCCUAAGGGGCCAUUCACAGUCCAUAUUGUGCUUAGCUGUUGUGUCUGAUUUGUUGUUUAGUGGUUCCGCAGAUAAAACUAUUAGAAUUUGGAGAGGUUCUGACAAAAGUUACUCUUGCUUGGCAGUUUUAGAAGGGCAUAGAGGCCCUGUCAAGUGCUUGACAGCAACGAUUGACCAUGACAACACAACCGAUGCAUCGUAUCUUCUUUACAGUGGGAGUUUGGACUGUGAUAUCAGAGUGUGGCAAAUCAACGUCCCUCUCCUAUAGUAGAUUUCUUUAACUUGGAAUCGCGGCUGUUUUGUAAAAUACAAUAUAUGAGAAGUCUGCUAUAGUUCCUUUUUGUUUUCCUCUCCUUAAUUUUCUGCUCUCAUUUCCCCCUCCUUUGAGGUCAUUUCUCGAGUUGAAUUGUUGUAUGGGAAGCCAUGUUGAUCUUUCAAUCGAUCAUAGUAUAAUUAUAAAGGGUUGAUAUGCUUGUGUGUAAACUCUACAGGAGUUUUUCUAUACUUGUGAGACUUCAAUUGUGCUCCUGCUCCGAUGUUAGUAACAGUGCAUAUAAAUGUAAAGGCAUAACAAGAUACUUAAAUCCUACUAUUAUAAUUCUGUGCUCAAAAUAUGAGUUGCUGUCGUGUAGGUGGUGACAACUCAAAAGUCCCAAUUCCUUCCCUGAAAAUUUCUCUAACUUGUUAGGAGUUAGUGUUACAACAUAGUACUGCCAUGCAGGGGCGGAGCUAGGAUUAUUUGUUAGGGGGCCAAAAAAUAUAAUAUAUUUUUUUAAUUUAUUAUAUAUAAGUUGUAAAAAUAAAAUAAAAACUGCUUGAUUUAGUUUUAUUUAAAGAACGUAUUACAAAAUAUAUAAUAAUCUUUGUACUUAUUAAAUACAAACAUACAAAGUAUAUAAGAAACAUUAACUAAAACGAAGCAUUAUUUAUGUUUAAUAAACUUUAAAAUAAAAUAAUAAAUAAUAAUUCUUACAUAUUUAUUUUAAUUGUGCUCGUCGUUCUUUCAUAGAAUAGAAAUCAUCGAUUAUCAUAUCAAUUGAGAAUCUUUCAGCAAUUUCUUUUUCUAUAUAGACAAUCAAAUAAUUUGCAAGAAAAUCAUCCUCCAUCCGAUUGCGAAGUCUUGUUUUAACAAUCUUCAUCGCUGAAAAAGCUCGUUCAGUAGUUGCUGUCGAAACAGGAAGAGUCAAGAUAAGUCGAAUCAACCUGUCAAUGAGUGGAUAAAUUGUUGAUUUUUCUGUUUCAACCAAUCCUUGACAUAAAUCUGCAAUCGAUGACAUAUUCUUUAACUUUGGAUGAUUUGGUACAUCAAGCUCAUAAUGUUGCAACUGAAAUCUCAAAUGAAUUUUUUCUUGGUCAGAAAAAUCUUCAUGAUAGAACUGUCAACAAGUAAGCAUAUAUCUUCAACAUUGAAUAAUUUAUAGCUAUUUCUAGGAUCUAAAGCUGUGCUUAAUUUAAGAAGCUCGAUCGCCUGCUCAUUGAAUCUGUUAUUUAGCUCUUGCAAUUGCUGAUCAAUGAUAGCUGUAAAUAUAUCAACUCGGUAGUGAUGCUCAACUGUUACUGAUUUUGUUUUACGACGAGAUCGUCCCACACUAGAAAAACAAGCAUCCAUAUCAGGAACUUCAAUGUCUUGAUGCUUACAAAAUAUUGUCACUUCUUCUAAAAGAGUUUCCCAACCAUCGUCUCUUAACUUCUGAAUUAAAAUCUUUGUGCUAGUCACCAAAUGCAUAGCAUUUAAAAUGUCUUGAGAUUUUUGUUGCAAUGCUUGACAAAGCACAUCAGUAAUUCCCAUAACAUUCUUCAUUAUAUGUAAGAAUAAUGCAAAAUCAAAUGACAUUAGCAACUUAAAUGAAAAGGCCGCAUCACCACGUUGAGAAUAAGUAGAUCCAUCUAAAGCAAUGUUUUCAAGAACCAAGCAAGUUGCCCCAUACAUUUUUAUCAAACUGCAAAUUGAUUUGAAAUGUGAACUCCAUCUGCUAUCUCCAGGUCGUUGCAAACCACCUACUUGAUUAACUCCUUUACCCGUUUCAAUCUCACCAAUAUCAACUAGAUGCUCAAUUGUAGCUGCUUGAAAAGCCUGUAACUCAUCAUUACGCUUGCAAGAAGCACUAACAAUGUUAAUAAUAAAGAUCAAAUUCUGAAAGAAAGUGUGAACAUCAGAUAUUUCUCUAGCUGCAGCAAUAAGAGCUAAUUGUAACUGAUGAGCUAAGCAAUGUACAUAAUAUGCAUAAGGGCAAUCAUUAAUGAAUAAAGCUUGCAAACCAUUCCACUCUCCACGCAUAUUACUAGCCCCAUCAUACCCUUGACCCCUAAUAUUUUGAACAUCAAGAUUGUGAUGAGAUAAAACAAAGGAAAUCUCUUCCUUAAGAGUUGAAGCAGUUGUAUCUUUGACAUGAACUAUAUCCAAAAAUCGUUCUCGUAUAAAUCCACUUCUAUCAACAAACCUAAUAACAAGGGACGAGGAUGUUUUUCACCAGUCAGCGGAUAUUCAGACAUCAAAGGUUGAUAUGGCCCCAAAUUAAUGUAUGCCCUUCGAAUUUCAUCCUGUUGAUUAACCGGGUAUUCCCAAAUUUGAGGACGAUUGCUUGGAUCUCUAAUUAAAUGAGCAAUGCCGAUUCUAGUAGGGGUGGUUCACUAGUCAAUGCAGGCUCUUCGUAAACUGAAGCACAUUGGGGCUGCUCAACCAUAACUUCAACAUUACACAUUGGAGUUGGUUCACUAGGCUGUGAGUUAUCAAUAUUUUUCCUUUUUUUCUCAAAAAAAGAAUCAAUUCUUCUUAUUUUGUUCAUGGUUUAACCUAAAAUCAAAACAUAUAUUGUGAGAAAAAAUUGAUAAUUUUGGUGGCUCUACUAAAAACAAAACAUAAAAAAAAUCCAAGUGCAAUCAAAACAAACCCAUAAAAUAUAUCAAAUUAAUUAGAAAAAUAAAACAACACUAUAACAAGAAUUCAAAAAAAAUUGGUAAAACUAGCAGAUAUAUAAAAAAAAACAAAAAAAACAUAAUUAUAUAUAAAAAAUAUUAUCAAAUUCUUAACAAAUAUCCUAAAAUAAAAUAAAAAUAAAUUUUAAAUUUAGAUUAUCAAUAAUUAAUUAUCUUGUUUUAUUUGAUGAAAGAUGUAAGUUUACUGGCUGCUUUAGCUUUUCCACCCGCAGCCUGCCGUUUAUAUUCUUAUAUCUAUCUUUUAUUUUAUAUUAGGGUUUUAAAAAGUGACAGCACUUUAUAUUCUUUCAUGUAGGGGUUAAAACAAAGCAUAACUACACUGUUACUAAUAUAUUUACUAUCAGGAGGGCCCACCUAUUUAAAACAAAACUCAUUCCUUCUUCUCACGUUUAGUGUCCAGGAAAUGAAACAAAUCAAAUAUUUUGCAGGGGCCCGGCCCCUGCUUGCCCCCCUCUAAUUCCGCCACUGCUGCCAUGGGAAGCCUCCCAGCAUGAGAAAGGGAGCAAGGUUUACCCCUUCCAGCUUGCCUACUUUCUGAGCACAUAUAAGCCUAGCUAGCUGUAUCACAAAUUCUUUGAAUGGUGUGUUCUAUAAUUUAUGCAGAGAAUUAUAAUUGGCUUGUGGGACUCAAUGAGACAGAGAACAAAAAGAUCGUAGAUUAAUACUUCAAAUUAUAGAUUGCUGACACUAAAUUUUCUAUCCAUUUCCCAAAACUGCCAAAACAUUCAACAUCGCGAACUCCUCUAGCCCACUCAAUAAGAAGAUUUCUGCAUGAGUGGAGAGGCAAAAGCAGAUUUCAUGCUCAAAACAACCGGAAAGCAGAAGUUAAAAGAUAGUCGUUAACGUCGACUCCAUACGCUAUUGUCCAAAGGAGUAAUAUAACACACACAAGAAAUCUUUUAGGCAGCUGGGUUUUUUUUUUUUUCUUUGCGCUUUGCAACAGUAGUUAUCCAUCCCAGGAACCCAAAUAUGGAAAUUGAAAGAUAAAGUAAAAAAGGAAAACGAAGACUGUAUAUAAUUCAAGCGAAGGUGUUUUGUCCAUGGCAUCUAGCUAGCUGCCAUAAAAGAAAGAACCAAUAGCAGAAAAAGUAAGCACAGCAAAUGCCAUCACUCCCAUUUAAGAAACCAGUCCCUUUCUUACAAGGAAGCCAGAAAGAAAAUGGUAGAAAAUGAAAGAUGAGAAACAUUCCAAACAAACAAACAAACAUUUUGGACCUUACACUAUUCUGAAUGAAAACGACAAAAAGAUUAAGCAUUAGAUGCACAAGUUGCUUUUUUCUCAUGUAAUUAACUUAACAAGAUAAGGCAUAGAUUAACUUAACAAGAUAAGGCAUAGAUUUUCUUCAGUAAGUUACAUGUGGAGGAGAGAUUAGGUAAAAGUCGUUUUUCCUAUAUGGUCACUAUUCUGACCUGCUCUUCCUCCUGGUAGGCUGCUUUUAAAAGCCAUCCCUUUAUUAGGCAUAGGAUAUUAGUGGGAUCUGGAGAUCUAACUUUCAUCUGAUAAAUGAUAAAUCCCUGAAACAUAAUAAAAAAAAUAAAAAAAAAUAUAACAUUAUCCUUCUACUCAAUCUCCUGUAAAUUUCUACCUCCCUAGACUUGGAUAUCGUGUCUACAUAUGCAAUCUCACCACGUGGAAGCGCAAGAUCAUCAAACGAAAUGCGAAAAUACUUUUAUCCUAACUACGAAAUAAAUACAUGCAAGCAGUCAACUUAUGCCCACAAACGAUGGCAUCUACCUGACUAUAUCAGUAUUCCAAAAAAAAAUUUAAUUUUUUUUGAAAAUAAUAUUCGAUUUAAGUUUUAUAAAUCUUAGGGUUACUAGAGACUGGUUAUUAACUUCAUGAUCUGUGAAAUUAAUUGAGAUGCGCGUAAGCUGAUUCAGAUAUCUGCGUUAAUAAAAAAAAUUCAAAAAAAUUUCAAUCCUGAAUGGUGUAGUUCAUCUGAUCAGGUUCUGAAUUUGCUCAUUAGAGAUUACCAAUUCAAGUUUUACAAAUUUCAGAAUCAUUAAAAAUUUAUCUAGUCGGUAACUUUAUAUUCUCGAUAACCACAGUUUUUUUUUUUUAAAAAAAGAACAUUAAAAAGUCUCAAAAACAUUUUAAUGCUGAAAUCAAUACGGCUGCAUCAUGUAAUGCCCUGACAUCUGGCAUGGAAGAUGUCAUAGUUGAAACAUAUUGGACAUGGCAUCAUGUGUCACCCCACCAUUACGCAAAUCAGAGAGAAACUACCAUAUCAGUGCAUCAUUGAAUCGCAGUGAAGGAUUAUCCUCGUAGCUAUCCUAUGUGGGAUAUUUCGUUGAUGUUUACCUUUUCUUGUACGUCAUGUUAAAAGUAAAAACCACAUGCAAACUGAAAAUUAACACUGCUUCUUACAAGUUAGUUUUGCUUAAAAUGUUCCUUUUAGUUUAUUAGGUAUAGUUAGAGUAAAAUAGAGUUGACAAUUCCAACUUAUUUCGCAAAACAUAAGAUUUACCUGAUGCAUGCGCAUGUGCAUAUUUGCAUCGUGCAAACAGAGGAUUCGAUGAGCAACAAGCAGCAAGAAAAAGUUCAUUAAUAUGCACGCAGGAAAUAUUCAUUAAUGCCUUGCCUAAUGAGAAAAAUUGAUUCUAAAUUGCAAGACACCUAAAGAGUUUUACGCACCCAAAGAGAUUCUCCUUUCGUCCUUGCUGUGCAGUUCUUUUCAGCUGCUUGAACUCGUACUGAAACAUUUUAGUUCAUGAUUCAGGCUUGUUCAACAAGAAAACAGCUCUCAAGGUAACCACAGAAAGGGAGCAUCGCUUUUGUCUUAAUUUUCAGUUUUCACACGAUUUACACCAGACAUAUAGUUCCUCAACUUUGGAGACAUUAUUUCUCAAUCAAAACUAUAUAAAAAAACUCCAAAAUGAAAGCCAAGUUACUCUGUUCAUAUGAGCAAAUAUUACAAGCUUUAGUCAAUGCCUUAAAUAAACAUUGUACAAUAUCAAGCAGAAGUACAACUUGUCAUAUAUACAUAUCAAAGGAUUAAUUAAAUAAUUGAAUGAACAUUGUUUAAUGCACAAAUUGCUUCACUUAUCAAAUAUCGAGCUACUACAACACUGCUGCCUACUUAUUGAAAUAGCAGAAAAGAUCAUCUGAAAGUACAGGUUACCACAUAUGCAGUGUGUGUGGAAUGCAAGAAGCAAAAUAGAAUGGGCAUCACAGUGGUAAUUUUGCUGGGGUACCCGGAUCACGAGGGUAUUUCCUUGGUGUGGGACGAUCUUUUGAACAUAUGAUGGCAGUUCUCUGUCCAUAUGGGCUGCGUGAUUCAACUGGAUACAGCAGCAAAGGUGUGUUAAUAUCAGCUCAGUGAGGAAGCGUACAUUCACAACACAAAGGCAGUUAUCAAAAUUGAAAUCUUAAUAAAAGGGAAAAUUUGGCCUUAAAUUCUACAAAAAAAGGUUGACAAUCCUUUUGCAGACAGCAUGUUGGAUCGUCAAACUUAAUAAAAAAUUAUGUGUUCACUGUGUAGUGCAAGCGACUCCACUUCUCAGGUAAGAGGCAUCAAUUCUGGCCAAGACAAAGCAAAACUGAUGACCUUUAUACAGUGUUAAAGUCAGUGAUCAAAAUUAUAAUAAAGACAUCCAAAGCUACUCAAUUAAGCUACUGGUCAGUACAAUCUGAUCAAGGCAGCAGCUUCAUGCCCUUACUUGAUCAAAAUUAUAAUAAAGAUAACCUAUCAGAUUCAUUUCCUAAUACAACUGGUAGCCUGUAUUUAGCAUAAUGAAAUAUAAAAAAAGGAAUAUUUUUACCAAGUAGAAUAUGUAUCUGAUAAUGCAGCAAGAGUACCUGAGCACAGUUGCAAUGUUGAUGAGCCCAUCAAUUUGAGUGACCUUUCUGCAUUUCUUACUUCCUCCUGGAAAGGUACAUUUCGGAAGAUUAUUGAUUGCUAGUGUUUAUGAAAAACAGAAAUAUACAAUGGGCGAUUCUUACUGAGAUUAGAACCAUUAAAAAGCACAAAAGUACUUGAAGGUGUUGGAAAUCAGAUUAUUGUAAUAAUCACUAUGCAAUAUCAUGUAAAAGUUCUGAACUCAAUCAACUUUUUUGUCAGUCUAUCAGCAAGCUUUUUAUUAUUGCACUAGUGUAUCAUUAAGCAGAGUCCUUCUAGGAUUUAUAAAACCCAAUCUUUGGCUUCUAUGGUGAGUGAAAUAUGAAAUCACAGAUUCGAAGGUACCAACUAACAAACAGAAAGACAAGGAUAUGAACUAAAAAUAUCUUGCUGAAGAAACUUAUGUUCAGAACUUCAAAUUCUAGAAAACAACUAUUCACAAUACACAUGGGCUUCCUCUUUAUAAGUAAACCGUUUAGUUUCUUUUCCAUGUCAAUACAAUAUAGAAUAUCAAUUUGUCAACAUACUGUACAUAAUAAAUUAAUUUAAAGUAAAAUAUAAAAGUGGGUUGACGAUUACAGUCUAAAAAAGAUACGUACCUGAGGAUCAUGGCCUUUUGCAGCUAUGAACAACCCACCAACGCGAACCAAAGGAAGACAAUACUCCGCUGAAAAUCAAAAGAAACAAGCACUUUUAGGUUUAACAGUAAGCUUCCUUAGGAAACAAAAGGCUACUGCAACAGGAUACAGGAGGCGGAAGACAUUAAAGGUAGAAAUUUUUUUAAUUACCUAAAAUUCUCAUUUCUGCCACUGCUCUGGCUACUGCAACAUCAAAUUUCUCUCUGAAGGAAACAUUCUGCCCUAAAUUCUGUCCUAUAACAAGAAUAAAUAAUGAGCAAAACACCUAAGAACAUAAAGUCAAAUACAAAACUUGACAGCUAAAAUGUGUGUGCAGUUACACUAAAAAUGUGAUUAUUCAGACAAGAAAGCAUAUCAAGAUUCAAACUCAGAAAACAACAAGCAAUACCUCUGCUCUUCCCCUCACAACUUCAACAUUUGACAAACCAGUAACACUAAUUGCAUGUUCCAAGAAAUCACAUCGCUUGUUCAUCGACUCCAAAAGCGUUACUUUCCAUGCUACAUGGAAAUUACAAUACCAAUGGCAUCACAUAAAACAAAGCCCACUUCAAGGAACAAACAAAAAGAAAGGAAAACAAAAGAAAAAGGAAAAAAAAGAGAGGCUAACCAGGACAAGCAAUAGCCAAAACCAAUCCAGGAAGACCGGCACCGGUACCAACAUCAACAAGCUUGAUACUGUCAAUUGAAGCAUUGCAGUGUGAAACAUAAGAGUCCUGUAUAGGUGGUAGUAUUGCAAGUGAAUCCUCAAUAUGCCUCUCCAUUACUUCAUCCACAUCAGUAACCGCAGUCAGGUUCAUUUUCUGCAGAAUUAUCAGAAUUCAAAACCCAAAAAGAAACCAAACACUAAAAUCUUAGUUUUAGCUAACUUUUAUGUUCUUGUUUGCGUAUGGCCCCACCUGGUUCCACUGAAGAAGAGUAUCAACAUACAGGCGGAUUUGUUUUUUUUGGCGGCAACUGAAGGAAUCGAAACAAGAAGAAUUAUGAGUUCCAAUGGAGGCGGCGGCAGUUAGCGAUUUUGCCUUGAUUCUGUGAAGAGGAAAUGCUUUUGGUUCUAUGACGGAAAAGUGUUUGACAAAAGUCCCAAGCGAAAGCGGGAAUGGAACAGCAGGAGGUUUGCAGCGCCAAACCAGCAUUUUUCUUUUCUCGCGCGCUUUGUCGACGCCGCCUUAAAUAGAAGCGCUUAUAAUCUGGUCACAAACUGAUACUAGAAUUGCACUGUCUUCACCAUGUGCCCGCGCUAGGUAUGUAGGUUCUUUUGUUUUUUUUUUUUGUUUUCUUAUAUAUAUAUAUAAAUUAGAAAAGUAACAUCCAUAUUUUUAAUAAGAAUAAUUAAAAAUAUUGGAGAGAAAGAAAAGUGAAACAAUGCCAGCCUUUAAAAAGUUAUGUUUUGUCGUAAAAUAUUAUAAAAGUUGAGUGAAUAUUCUUGAGUUGUUAAUUCUUGAUUGGAUGCUUGUGAGAGCAAAGAAAGGAAACGUUUAGAUAUGGAAAGAGAAUUUCCGGUUACAUUUUUAUAUUUUAAAAAUAUAUUUUUUUAAAAAUAAAUUUGUUAUAUGUUUUUAUUUUUUUAUUAUUUUCAAAUUAUUUUGAUGUGAUACGUUAAAAAUAAAUAAUUAUUAUUUUAAUAUUUUUUCAAACAAAAAUAUUUUAAAAUAUAAUUAUUAUCACAUUUCUAAACCUCUUUUAAACUAUAUAUUAUAUUUGAAAUCAACCCUUGUUUUUUUUUUUUUUAUUAACUUGGGUGUACGGGUUAAUAUGCGCGCACCUCGACUAAUCUCACGGUCUCUGAAGUUAAUGACCAUAUAAGCCUCCAGUGGUCAUCAUAUUAACAACCACAUGGCUCGAACUUGAAACUACAGGGGGAAUAAAUUUCUUGAUCCCAAAUUUUUAUUACUAGAUCACCUACUAGAUGAUUAUCCCUUGCUGAGAAGUGUGUUUCGUAAAAGAGAAGAAGAGGUGUUAUGUUCAAAUGUCCUAAAUAGUAAUGGUAAAGAAUUAGAUUGAAAAAUUAAUGCCUUCCAAUAUUGAUUCUUUAUAUAUUUUAAAGAAUAAACUAAAACAGAGAAGAAAAUCAGUAUACAUGAAAUCAGCUUCUUCUUUUUUACUAUCUAACUUUUUAUCUUUGCAAUUUCAUCCUCUCAAUUUGUAUUAGCAUUUUUUUUUUGUUUAAAUUUCUUUCAGUUUGUAUUAUCUCACGGAUCCAACGUUUUGAAAAAAUAUCCGAAGAUUAAUUUGGCAUCAAUUCGGUGAAAUCAGACUUUAGUUUUAGUUAAAUAUAACAAUUAAAAAAAUAAGCAUCAACUUUAACAAAAAAAAAAACUAAUAUACAGACCCCAUUGCUAUUUUGUCACGAAAAAAUUAGUUUAAUCUUUGAAGUUAUGAUUUAUUUAUCGUUUAGUCCUUAUUAUUUUAGCAAUUGAUGUUUUGGUACAAAAUAUUAUUUUUUUACAUUUCAAUCCUUGUACAUUGAAAGAGAAAGAAGAAUGAAAGUCAGCCAAAAAAUAUUGAGGAAAGGGGAAGUUCUUGAAUGGCCACAUUUUAAUUACUAAAAAUAUUGAUAUUUGUGCCUAUAAAUUCAUCUUUUAAAAGAGGGUUAAUGAAGGUGUUAUCUUCCUAUAAACAUAACCGAAAAAGUAUAUAUGUGUUCAAAAAACAUUAUUCAUUUAAUUUUUUAGAGUAAUUUUAGGGUAAUUUCAUUGUUAUCAUAAUUUGUUUAUAAUUUCUUUCCUCUUAUAUUUUAUAUGAAUGAGUUGAAUUUCCAUUGGGAUCUUAUAAAACAAAAAUCAAAAUCAUUUGUUAUUAAAAAUAAGAUUUAACCUCUAAUAUAAAAUAAGUAAAAUCAUGUAAAAUAAAAAAAAAUUACUCUUAACAUAAUUUGGUCUGUAUUGUAAUUACUUGUUAUAGUUUAAAAAAAUUAUUAUUUAUAUCAUGGAUUUUAUACGACGAUAAUAUUUAAUAUCCUUAUAAAAAUAAAAAUUAAUAAAAAAUAUCUAAUUACUUACUAGAGUGUCAUUAUUUUUCAUUUUAUGAUUAAAAAACCUUUAUAUUAAAUAUUAUAAGUUUUCCAUUGAAUUAAAAAAAAAAAAAAUCUUUCUUCCCUUGCAUUACCCUUCCACUUAUCUUAUUCCCUUAUAAACCAAACCUAACUACCACCUUCCCUUCCCUUUGAUACCUCACCAGCCACCAUCUUUAAUCAUAAACCCACAAUCCAACCAAACUCCAUAGCCAUCGUUGAUUUUCUUGUCAACUCUUGCAGCCUUCCCUUGCAAUUGGCUCUUUCAGCUUCCUAGAAGCUCUAACCAAAUGAUGAGAAUAGCAUCUAAUCUAAAACACCAAACCUGGAGUCCAAUUUAAAAGUCUUGGUCUUGGCAAAUCCCGUUCCUGCUUGAAACCCUCAAUUCCUUCUUAAUCCAGCACGAUGAAGCUUCCUUUUAGGUUUUCAAUGUGUCAGGAAAGAAUAGUAUUCUCGAGAAAUUUUUUAUUCAAACGUGAAGUUUACCCAAACAUAAAGUACCUCAAGCUUUGGAAAAUCACCAACAAAUUCUGGGACUGGGUUUUCCAACUUGUGUUGAAAUAGAUUGAUUAGAUCUAUAUUUUUCAAAUGUAAAAAACUUUGUGGUAUCUCCUUAGUGAGGUUGUUGAUUGAAAGAUCAAGUGAUUUCAAGCUAAUUAGACAUCUCAUCACUAAUGUUCUGAUGCCUACAAUAUCGAAUAAUGAAAUUGUCUCUUGAAAUCAAAAAAUAUUUAGAUUUAAUUAUAAAAUUAUGAUUAGAGUGUCCAAGAAUUGCCACCUAGUAUUAUGGUUACUAGAAAACAUAAUGAUCUGUGAAAGUUUAGGUAAGAGGAUUAGUUAUGUAAAGAAAAAACACAUCACCUUAGUGCACCUUAUCUAUAGUAAGCUAUAUUGUUGAUUGACUGUUAAUCUAAGACAUGUUUGUAUUUGUUGGUUCCAUCUAAGGUUUAAGAUAGAUUUCUCUUCAUAAGAAAGUCUCUACUUUAUUGGGUUAAAUCCUAACCAUUCUAAAGCCUAUUUUUUAGCAAAGCAUUUAUUUUCUAUUUUUAUAUCUAUAAUACCUGGAGAUAUACUUUACAUUGUAAUUUUAUACCCUCAAAUAUUAAAGUCUACAACUAAAUCCUAAUACUAUAAAUAUUAAUUAAACAAAUUAAUUGUUGUGGGAUUUUUGGUAUUUUAGCCAAAUCCUAAUGGACAAUCAUAAACUAGUUAUGAUAUCCAUUUUAUAUUUUAAAAAUAUUGAUAAAAAUGUAAUUUUGUUUUUUUAGAAAAUAUGCAUGAAAAACCUUUAGAAUUUGACCGUAUGCAUGAAAAUAAAACAUAUUUUCUUUUGUGUUUUUGUAAUGAGAAACUUUUUUGAAUUUUUAUAAUUUUUGAAAUUUUGGAGAAAACCAAGUAUUUUUAAUACCGGGUCCGUAUCUUACAAUUCAAGUUUACAGCAAAAUAUUAAAUGAAAUUCUUGAAAAAUAUAUAUUUUUUUGUUUUCUAAAAUAAAGGAAUUUUUUUAAUUUUGAAUUUUAUUUUUUUUGAGAAAAAUAAGAUAUUUUUAAUACCGGAUCCGUAUCUUAAAGUGUAAAUCUACAGUCUCAUAUUAGGCAAAAACUAUUGGAAAAACACGUGAGGGACCCACAAAUAUUUUCAAAAUGAUCCUUGAAUUUUCUUAGAAAUUUUUAAAGUUCUUAAGGGCUUGUUUGGCUAGACUCUAAAAUAAGGAUAAAUUAAAACUAAAAGAAAAGGCUUAUGGCAUGUUUACUAAACAUGCCCUUAGUCUAAAAUCAGAGGCAUUAAAAAUACCUUAAGGACAUGUUUGGAAAACACGUCCUAAGUAGCUAAACAAGACCUUAUGUCAUAAGGAAAUAAAUGACAUGCCAAAUAUGCCCUUUAGUCUAAGUUGGGCUUAGGCCUAACCCAACCCAAUUUAUUGGGGCGAAAGAUAGCCCAACAUGCCUUUUUUUUUAUGACUUGGGCUAGACCCAACCUAACCAUACAGGUUGGGCUUAAUCCAGCCCAUGUAACUUGGUCAUUUGCCCAACUUAGUCACCAAGUUAUGUAAAGCUUGCAAAACAUAAAUUAAUUCACAUUCUCCAUGCUUUUAACAAAACAAAAAAGGAGAUUAAAAUGCAGGAGAGAAGGAAAGUUAUUUGGGUUGGAUGUGGUGUUGUUAGUCAUUAGUUGGUGGCUUAGUUUUUUGCGGUGGUGCUCUUGUCGCUGGUGGUUGUUUGAAUGUGGAGGAAUAACCAAAGGUUGAAGGAGAAGUUGUUGUGCUGCUGUUGGAGUAAUGAAAAAACAAUGGAGUUGGCUGCAAUUGUAAGGAGAGGAUGGUGGUUGCUUUUGGUUGGAAUUGGGGAAGGUUAGUGGGUCUGGUUUUUAGGUCAAACCAUUUUGUCUCAUUAUACGGGGUGCUUUCUUCUUUCUUUCUCUUUGGUUUUCUUCAUUUUUUCUCUCACUAUUUUUUUUCUUUGUUUCUCCCCCUUUAUAGCUGUUAUGGAGUUGGUAUUUAUAGGGGGUGGGUGGCAUCAAGUGGAGAUGCAUCAUGACUAUUCAUCAUUCUCAAACCUCAUCACCCAUUGAUGCAAAACCAAGACUCAAAAACUUUGUUAAAAAGGCUGCUUUUGUAGAUGUCUUUAGACCAGCUUUGUAGACAUAUUAGGGUAGGGGUAGGACUGAAACAAGGUUGGCAGGAUCCUUCUUUGUUAGAAAAGCAGGGAGAGCAAGUAUUUUCGGACAUUGGGAUCAAACUGAAGAGGAAAAACGGCGCCCAAAACCCCUUUUAUAUAGGCUAUUCUUGCCUAUUUUGGGAAGAAAAUAAUGAACAGUAGCCAGACGACAUGUCGCCUGACUUUUAUAUUUUUUUUAACUUGGUGUUGACCAAAACGACGUCGUUUUGAACCAAAACACGUCGUUUUGGUCAAAAUAUAGCCAAAACACACUAUUUCAUUUAAAUACAAUGACUCAUUUAAAUACAAUGACACAAUUUCAGUGUUUUGGCUUGAAUUUGGUCAUUAAUCCCUUUUUUAAUUUCAACCCCUAAUAUUCUAAUUUAUUCAAUUAAGACCUUAAUUGAAUUUUGAUUAGAAUCAAUUCAAUUUCACCCUUAUAAAGCUUCAAAAAUACCCCAUGAUUUAAUAGUGUUUUUCAACAUGGUCCUUGAUCUUAAGUGUUUUCAAUUUCAUCCCUAAUUAACCUUCAAACUUCUAAUUUCUUCAAUUUCGCUACUGAAUUAGAUCCCUAAUUUCACUCACAUUUUGAAAAAAGGUCUUUAAUUUUGAAUUUCUUCAAUUUGGCCUUAAUUGACCCUCAAACUUUGAUUUUUUUUUUAAUUUUGUCCCUAAUUUCAUCUAAUUGAGUUUGGAAAAAUUAAAUCUGGUCAUCUAAAAUUCUAAUCUUAUCAAUUAAACUCAAAUUAAGCUUCCAAACUUAUUUUUUUUCCACCAAUUAAGUCCAUAAUAAAAUUAAUUUGACCCAUUAAAAAUAUAAUUAAGUCAUUGCACCUAAUUAAAUCUUUUAAUUUGACCUAAAAUAAUUCUUAAACUUAAUUAAAUAUUUAAUUGGGUACAUGAUUAAAUCAAAUUGGCCUAUUAAAAAUCUAAUUAAGCCUCAGACUUAAUUUUUAUACAAAUUCGUCCAAUAAUCAUUUAAUUUGACCUUGAAUAUGCAUUGUCUUUUUAGUCUUGGGUACAAUGGGGUACAAUUAGACUUAUAAUUUUGUCCAAAACUCCACCUUAGUUCCUCCAUACAUUUGAAACCAUUCUCAACGUACUCUUUAAGUUGCCAGUCUUUUGUUUUUUAUUUUAAAAGAAAAUGAUAAUUUUGAAAAAAAAACCCUGAAAAUUAGGUUAUGACAACUAAGAUUAUAAUAACCUAUGUCAAGAGGUUCAAGAUUACUCAAUGAUUUAAAUUAAGGUGGAAUACCUCCUAUAAUGGUUAAAGUACCCAAUGUAAAAGCUCUUAAGAUUCUUUAACUUAGACAAGCUUAAAGGUACUUUGCUUGAAAGCCUAUUACCUUUUAAGGUGUAUCAUGCUAAGAGUAUUUUUUUAGGGAAAUUCCCAUAAUUAACAUUGUUGGAAAUAUUCAAAAUCCUUAGAGAUGUCAAUAUGACUAUCUCACAGGAAUUUCCCACGUGAGAUUAUCACUUUUCAAAUCAAAGAAUUAGUGUUGCUUUUGAAAAAUUAAAGAAGCAACGCACAAGCAAGACAUGAUGGCUUAGAAACUUAGGUAUUAAGGAUUUAAGGUCAAUUAAGUUAGGGUGUUUUUGUGAGUUUUUGUUCGAUUUAUGGUUGCUUGUUGUUUUUUGUGGUAGAACUAUUGUUUGAUGAAGAUUUUUAGGUUUCCAAGUUAAUGUAGAUUUGAUUUUUGAGUUUGAUUAAGGUUUCAUAAUCAAUUUCUCCAAUUUUUUUUUUUAAUUUUAUGGUAAAGUUGUACUAUUGAAUAUAUUAUAUACAUGAGUAAUUUGGUCAAUUUGUCAUAUUUAAAAUAGGAUGUAAAUGAUAAUUUUUCAAACUAUAACGAGCAAUAGCAAUAUGGAUCAAACUACAAUAUGCUAAAUAUAAUUUUUCUAUAAUAAAAUGGAUAGCUGGUGUCAAACAUUUGUGUUUACAUCAAUCUUUUGCUUUUUUUUUAUUAACGUGGGUGUCCGGGCCAGCUUGCGCGCAUCUCGACUAAUUCCACGGGCCCUGAAGUUAACGACUAUGUAAGCAUCCAGUUGCCCCGAGCGAACUCAAACUCGUGACCAUUAGGGAGCAAACCCAAGACCUGACCAGUUGAGCAAACCCAAUAAAGCUUUUGUUUUUGUUAGGAAAGGUAGCUUCCCAUCUUAUUAUUUAAUGAGUUUUAUUUUUUAUUUUAUUUAUUUUAUUAAAUGUAAUUGUACUAGGGUUAAAAUUGAAUUAUCCUUAUCUUCCAUAGACAUUUUAUAUAAGGUUAGGAUUUUAUGCUUGCAUGAAAUUUUAUCUCUAUAACAUUAUAAAUAGGUUAUCCAGUAGUUGAAAAUGAUGGUAAGACCCAUAUACAUAAUUUAUUCAUAACUUUUUGCUAUCUAUUGCUUUCUUUUACUUAUCAUAAUUUAUUUUUUUUAUUUACAACUUUAUUUAUCAGCUUUGUAUUUUUCUCUAGUUUAGUUUUUGACAUUACCUUUUUUGAGAUUAAGUUUGUUAAUUUUAUAUUUAGGACUCCACACUCCACUUCGAUUAGCAAGAUUGUUAUUUGCUUUUGCUUGAGAUUAAGUUUGUUAAUUUUAUAUUUAGGACUCCACACUCCACUUCGAUUAGCAAGAUUGUUAUUUGCUUUUGCUUGAGAUUAAGUUUGUUAAUUUUAUUUUCUCCUCGUUGAAAGGAAGAAAAUGUGGCAUAUUGAUCAUAUAAUUAAUGAUCGAUCAAUAUGUUGAUGAUGUCAAUAAAUAUAUUGACGAUGAUCGAUGAAAUUGAUUAUUUGAUAAAUCAAUAUAUUGGCAUGCUAGGUAGGAAAAACUUAUUAUUUUAACAAAUUACUUUAGUGGUCAUCAACAGAUCGACACACCUGGUAUAAAAAAAAUUAGUAUUUUAAAAAAUUACUUUAGUAAUCACAAACAGAUUGGCACACCUAGUUAUAAUGCUAGAAAAUUAAACUAGAAAAAAAUAUAGUUAUAAUGACUAAUGAUUAGUUAAUUCACGCAUCUUAUAGAGGCAAUCCUUAUGAACACGAGGAGUUUGAAAUCAACUCACAAACACAAAGUCUAAUAUAGAAGCCUCCAUCAAACAUUCCAUAGCAUGACUUUUGAUCAUCUAAUUCUUCAUAUUAAUAAAGAAUUGCACUUGGACAUAAUCAUAAUAUCCAUAUUCAAUCUAUAAUGAUUUCACCUUUCCUGACAACAUUGCCUCUACCAAUGUCUGAUAGAUAAGUUGGUGUUUUUAUAUAUCUAACACAACCUCAUGUUUAUCUUUUUUUAGGGACCUAAAAGGCAUGAUCAGAUGGUCACAACCAGUUUGAUCAAAUUGUAAUCAACCAAUAGUGGCUACUCUUAAAGGUGUGUGUGUGUGUGUGUGUCUAUAUAUAUAUAUAUAUAUAUAUAUAUAUAUAUAUAUAUAUAUAUAUAUAUAUAUAUAUUUAAACUUGUCUAAUGUUAAUUUAAAGGCUAAGUAUAGCCAAUAUGAUUUAUCAUAAUAAUGUUGUGAUAGUUAUCAAGACAAUCUAAGCCAUAGACAAUAAACUAAAUCAAAUAUAAACUAAAUCAAAUAUAGAAUGAGCUAAGGCAGAGUCAAUCGAGCAUUGUUUUUGUCCAAAUACCUAUUAGACAAGUCCUAUGAAUAAUAUUUUUUUUUUAAAAAAAUUAGAGUCCUCUAGAUCUUAUUAGACAAUAUAAAGUUGUUUAGUGUUUUAUGAAGAUUACUUGAAGAUCAAUUAUGUCUUAAAGUUUGAUCAAGAUUGAGUCAUUUAUCGACUAGAUUAUUCUAAUAGUAAUUCACAUGAAUCACUAGAUCAUAAAUCACUUAAAUCCUUCUAGGAGAGAGGGAUUGAUAUGCUUUAAGUGCUAGCUUUUUUCUUUUCUUUUUGUUCUUUGCUAUUAGAUCUACUCUAUUGUAUUUUGUGCUUUGAACUCCCCUUAUUCACAUGAAAAAAAUAAGGUAUAUCAUUCUAUUCAUAGAAAAAACCUAAUAUCCUUAUUAAUGAAAAAAAUAUCACUUUAGGUUUGAAAAAUAUCACAUUUUAUUUCAAGACAACUCUUAAAAAUUUAUAUAAUCAAGUCUCUACUUGAGUUUCUAGAUCUAGAAUUACAUUAUAAUCCUCAAUUUUUAAAACUUAUUUAUAAUUAAAUCCUACUUGAUUAUCAUCAUGGUAUAAUUUCUUACCAUUAAUUUUUAAUAUGUAUGACUCAUUAAAUUCCUAAUAUGUUAGCCUAAAUAUAAAUUAGAAUUCUAAUUAAAACAUGAUUAUUAUUAAUUCAAUAAAUUGAUUGAUUUAUAUUUGAAGAUGAAAUAUAGCACAUAAUAACGUGACAUAAACUUUCAAAUAUUAGGAAAUUCAUUUGUGACUUGAUUUAGUCUUUCAAUGACUAAUUUAUUAGUUUAACUAUUAUCCCUUUAUCUAUCAUGUUUGAUUUAGAUAUUUGAUCAUUAUGUGUCUACUCUAUCAAGUCAUAUUUAUUCUUUAUGCCAUAGCCAUUAAUUUUUUGAAUAAGAUUUGAAAUUUUUUCAAAUCUCUUUUUAUCUUGCGCAAUGAUAUUAUAAUCAAUAUUAUUUAAAAAUAUAUACAAUAUUUUUUCUAAUUCAUCUAAGGUGAUCAUUAUUAUUCAUAAUUAGUCUCUUAACUGGUUUGAGUUUGUAUUUUUUCAAUUCACUUAUUUCCAUGUAUUAUAAAAGAAAGGAUAAAAAAUAUCAUUAGAGUAAAUAAUAAAGUGUAUUUAGUAGUUAACUCAAUCCAUAAUAAAUAGAAUGAGCUACUAUGCACACCAUUAUCCAACAAUUUUGUAGUUCUUUUGUUUGGGCGACCUUUACCAAAAAAAUACAGCGAGGGGAAGAUACUUAACAAAAAUCAAAUUCAUACAUAUACAUAAUUAUAUGUUAUUUAAUGGCAAUGAAUCGGGACCUUUUAUUCAGUAAGUAUAAUAUUAACAUUUUGUUGUUUUCAAACAAUAUUUCUCUUAUACUCUCAUAAAUUGAUAGAUUGAAAAAUUCCUCAUAGGCAAUAUCAUUAAUUUUUACUAUCUCAAAAGUCAUAUUUGAUUGAGUCUUAAAUUUUUCAAUUACAACUUGAACAAUUUGCCACGUGGUUCAAAACACAUGUAAGCACUAAAUAAUUCUUAUAUCUUAUAAUACUUGGUUUUAAUAAACCUUUCUUUUAAAUUAUUAAUGGUUGCAAUCAUGUACCCGAUUUAUCAAUUAAAAGGGAAUGCUAGUGGUAGUUUGAAUUUACUAUGUUUAGGUCUUGAAAAAAAGAUCAAGUGUUAUAACAAGUAUUUCAUCAAUGAAUAUGUUUUUCAUAUUAAAAAUUAUGGUUAAGUUAGAAAGACCUAUAAUAGUGGAGAUUGUGUUGAAAUAUUAACUUCUAAUAAGUUUGAAGUUAAUUAUUAUAAGAAGUUUGAAGAGGUGAUUGAAUUGUAAUAUCAUAUCGAGCUUAAUAAAGUCUUUUUAUUCAAAUGUUAUUAAUACAAUACUAUUAAUAAAGGAAUAAUAGUAGAUUCCCACCAUGGUUUGGUCAAAAUUAAUACAAAGGCUAGACUUUGCAACAUCAACAAUAUCUUUGUUUUUUUCCAAGCAAUGCACGCAAGUUUAUUACAUAUACACUCUUUUAAGAAAUGAUUAUUCUAGGGUUGAUUGGUUAUCCAUAGUGAAAAUCAAACCUAGGGGCGUAACGAUGAAGUAACUACAAAAAAUGAUGUCUUUCAAAUUGAUAAGUUAGUUGAUGCACAUCGAGUUGCUCUGUCUACCGACUUAGAAGAAAAUUCAUAUUUUUCAUGUUAAGAAUAUUUUCGUUGAUAUUGACAUUGAGAAGUUAAAUGAUGUAUUGAGAGCAAAUGGACAUGCAGAAAUCGAUGGAGAUGAUGAUAAUAACGAGCAUCAAUUCAAUGAAGAAGAUUAUUAUAGACAUGAAGAUGAUGAAAUUAAAGAUGAUGAUGAUGAUGAUGAAAAAGAAGAAGAAGAAGAAGAAGAAGAUAAUUCUGAUUAAAUUGUAAAAACAUCAAUAUAUAAUGAAAUUAACUUUAAUGUAAUCUUUUUGGUUAUUCAUUUACAAUGAACUGUUAUUAAGACUAAUGGAACAUUUAUUGUUGUAAUUUUAUUAUUAUAAUCAGAAAUGAUAUUAACAUGUCGUGGUUUUAUUGAAUUGCCAGGUUAGGUUUUACUGAAUUCCUAGGUUGGAUAGACAUGGAAUACAAAAACAAUGUGGAAAAAAAACAUGUUUUCUACUAAUAGAAUUACCGAUAAAAUGUCAAAUACCAAUGGAAUCACAUAUGGAUUAAGUCCCUUUAAGAGUUCUAGAGAGUUGAAAAACAAUUAUAGGACCAUGCCAUUGAGACUUAUAGACAGAAUCAUCAAUGAAUUAAAUCCUUUAAGGAGUUUCAGAAAGUUGAAGAACAAUUACAAAACCAUGCCACUAAGACUUACAGAUGGAAUCAUCGACGAAUUAAAUCCCUUAAAGAUUUCUAGAGAGUUAAAAAAAAAUACAGGACCAUGCCCACUAAGACUUACAAACAAAACUGCAAGGAUUAAAAAGAUUUUGAGUCAAUUAAGGGUGCAUGUGCUAAAUGAAAGAACAAGGACUAAAUUAAAAUCUGUCAAAUCCCAAAUUUAAAACCCUAAUUUCUAGGGUUUAAUCUGAACGACACGUCACUUAGGUUUAAUGAAGGUAUUGGGUGACACAUCGUUCGUCUUCUGUUCAUCUCUUUCCUUGGCAGUUUUGGAUGAUCGGGUUGACACCUUUUAAGACCUCGUUGUAAAGUUCUAGAUCUCCAAAUGGAACGGGGCUUUUUGCAAAUGGAAAAAUAACAUCUCCUCUACAACCCCUUCCAUAAAAUUGGACGUUUACAUCCCAAUUCUUCCAUUGAAAUAUUUAACAUCUUGUCCCUGAUUAACCAUCACUACAUUUUCAUAUUCUAGGCGGAUUGAGUUGGUAUUUUUAAGCAAAUAAAUGUGGAGCUACAGACCUCUAAAUUGAGUGAAAUGGAUAAAAAAAAGAGUGUGCAUCUCCUCUACCAAGUUUAGGUGGUCUCCGAUGAUGUUUACAUCAGAGUUACUCCUACAUAGCGUUGAAAAUGACCAAUUCAGUUAGCCUUGAUUGAGAUACUCAUUUGUGCAAAAGCACCCAACUUUUUCAUAGACUUAAAAACUCUUAGAGGGUUCUUAUCAAGGGCCUUAAAUCUUUAAUACAUGAUUUGAAGGUGAGGAAGGCAUGCAUUUAUCUCUAAUAAAGCAAAAACCACCAAGGCAAAAUCACCAUCCCCAAAAACCAGUGAAGGACAAAGGUUCCAACUGUUAACAUUUGUCCAGAGCUCUAUCAUUUUUAUCAAAGGGCUAAACUUUGAUUACUCUAUGUCGAAAUCCAUCAAAAACCCUAGAAAAGACCCUAUAAAUACCCCCUGUAAAAUCUGAAAAAAAUAAAAAAAAAAUAAAAGAGGAGAGAAAAAAACAUGAGGAUAUACUCUAUAAAAAUACCCUUAGUAUGAAUGUUAAAAGACUUAACAUAGAAGGUCUAGCAAGCUUUAGAAAGAAUAUAAAGUAAAAAGAAAAUGAGGAAGGAAAAGAGAAGGGAAGUAACAGCUUAUAGCCAACAAGCUUGGAGAAGGUAUAACCAUGUGAAAACUACAGGGUGAAAUCCAUAUGGCCUACCCAUUCAUACUUUUAUGUGGAUUGAUGAAUGAAAAUAUUAUUUUGAUUGAUUAAUCAUGUUUUAAAGUUGUUGUUAAUAUUUGCUGGAUGUUUAAAAGAUGUUUGGAUGUUCUUUUUGUUGAAAUGCAAUAGUUUUUGGAAUCUACAAAAUAUGGUGGUAAGUUUGUGAUUAUUUUUUCUAGGUUACUAAUGUAUUUUUUUGGUUCCUAAGUUUGGUUUGGGUCCCUAGUAUUUAAAGAGUUAGUUUUGGAUUGAUAUUUGAUGUUUUUUGUUGGCUUUCAUUGGGGCUGUAGUUUUGGAAGGAAGAAUAUAAUGAGUGAUUUUGAUGACCUUUUGUUUUUGUUGUUUAUUUUGAGUCAAACAUGUUUGUUUUUGAUAAUGUGGUUUAUGAGGACAAAAAACUGAAAGUUUAGAGGCCUAAAAGGCCAAUUUCUAGGUUUGGUAGUAGCUUAGAAAUUUACGAGUAACCUAAGUUCAUGUUCUUCGUGUUCAUCCGAAGAAUAUUGUCUCGAGUGCUAGUUUUAUGUUUCGUUUUAAUCUGAUUUUGGUUUCUGCAAGUUCAUUGUCAUCAUUAAUCAAUAAUCUAGGGUUUUAUGCAUCAUUAACAUGUUUUUAUGGGUUUUAAUCCUAGAGUUUUGAUUUUGAAUCGAAACCUAUUUUUGACAUAAAACGUGAUGUUAGAGUAAUAAUCCAAGCGAAUGGAUACUUGAUUCUUGGUAUAUGCUUGUUUAUGAACAAACCUUUGCCUUAUAUGUUUUUUGUGUGUUUUUUAGUUUUAAUUUUGUUUUAGUUUAAAUCACUAUUUUGGUUUAAUUUUGGGUUAAAGCUUGGUUUUUGGUUCGUUUUAUGGAUGAACCACUGUUUUUGGGUCGACCCGGUCAGGUCAAAAUCAGGUUAAUAAAAUUUAUUUACAAUCUAUCAAUUCUUUUUUAAUAAAACAAAAUUCAUAACCUAUAAAAAAUUCAUUUUUUUUGCUUUUUUUUUAAGUUUUUAAGGUUUCCAACAUGCAUGAAACUUUUGUAUGAAUUGUUUGUAUAUAUGGUAAUUUUUAAAUUAAAAUUUGUGUUAAUAGCAUUGCUAUAAAAGUUUUAUUUGUAUUUAAUAUAAUAUGAUGACAAUUUGUAUAUUUAUAUAAUCUAAAAAUAUAAUGUCUGAAAAAUAUUAUGUAUGAAGGAUACGGUUUUAUGUAAUCUAAAAGGUGAAAAUGGGUGAAUAUUAGUCAUAAAUAAAAUCACCUGGUUCGUAGCUUUAUUUAUUGAUGCGAAUUUACAGGUUAUGAAAUUUUGGAAAAUCUUCUAUACAUGAAAAGUGCUGCCAAUUUGUUUUUAAAUAAGAUAUAAUGAGAAUGUUAUUAUAUUUUUUAUGUUUAACUUGUUUAUACGAUGAAAAGAAGGUUAUUGGUGAGUAAUAUGGAUAUGAGUAUUGUUGGUUCUUUUAGCGGCACUUUUUAGGACCAUAAGUUGCUAGGUGCUGACCAUGAUAAGACACUUGAGGCAUAGGCACCAUCUCUCGGCGCAAGCUCGCCGAGUGUGAUGUUGCCUUAUAGAGGAGGUGUGCCUUCAGAGUAGGAUGUAUACACUAAUAAGUACAUUGUUUAGAGGAAGCCCAAUCACAAUAUGUAAAUUUGUUUCCUUUUCUUGCAUGAUUAAAAAAUAAAAAAUAAUAGAUAAAUUUUGAAUAAUUAAUUUCAAUAAACAAAUAAAAUUUCAGGUUUAUAAAUAUAGAGGCUGCUCGCAUAAUAACAUCAACGAUGAAAUCUUCGAUAAAAAUGUCUUUGUUUCAAUGUAGUCAGGUUUUUAAAUUUCAAAAAGUUCUAUUUUUUUAAAUGUUCAAAUUUUAUUUUUUGUUAUCUUAACCGAUAAUUUUUUUUUCUAUCAUAUAGGUUGUGUGGUUUCUGUUACGAGGCAAAAAAAUCAAAGAGAUAUGCAAAAGAAAGAGGUAUUCCAAGUUGGGAAGAUGUCACCAUGUGGAGGGAAUUCAGACAUUCGAACGUCUUGAAGGCAAUCGAGGAAGCUUAUAUCAAUCACAUGACAUUUGAGUAUUUCAUGCGGUGAUCCCAGUCCAGUGCGAAGAACUAUAACAAGAAGAUUCAUUGUUCAAUUACCCACACACCGACAGAUCUAUUUCGUUCAUUUCAUAUGUGAAAUAGAUGGUAGGAUUCUAUUUUAUUACAUACAUUUAAAAAAAAAUGUUUUAUAUGAAAAUGUUUAACUAACAAUAGCUUCAUUUUGCAGGUUACGGUUCUUUGACGCGAUCCAAGACCGAUGAAGCUUUUUGUUGAAAUUCACAUGUGAAAUAAGGACUGUUAGAAAGGGGUGUAACAGCUCGUGGAUAGAUGAGUUCAAAUGUUCGUGGUAAGUUGGAUUAAUUUUUUUUCUUAAGUUAUUAUUUUUAAAAAAAUUUCUGACUUUUUUUUUAUUUUCAAGAAACAUAUAAUACCUGAUUGCAUGAGAGAUACAUGGACGAUCUUUCGACCCAUCCAGUUUUGUGGUUGGAGGUUGGAUUGUCUGAUGAACCCGAUAGAAAUAAAGUUUAUGGUAUCUCAAACACUAUAAUCGAGGAUAUGCGGAUGGGCCGUAGUGUAUUAACCAUUGGUUCCUCGCAAUAGAGUUUGAGCUCCUAAUCUCCAACCAUCCAGGCAAUUGUGUGAGAACAAGUUGAAACUCAAACAACCCAGCUUAGUGCUGAGAUGACCCAACUUAGGUCCAAGACAGUUGAACUUAGGCGAUUAUAUGAAGAUUUGUUGUCAAGCCUCGGUGGUUCAUGUGGUCUACCUCGUUUCCCACUUGGUCCCGGUGAAGAUAUGCAUCUACCUCCUCCUCCUCCUCCAGCUUCUGUCUUCUAGAUAAAUUGUAUCAAUAUAUUUUUUAAAUUAAUAAUAAAAAAAUUGGUUAUUUAUUUAUUUUUAGUUCUUGUAAUUUUUUUUCUAUUUUGUUUAUUUUAAUUAUUUUAAAAAACUAUUACAUAAAUUACUAAUGAAAUUACUGAUAGAAUGACAAUUAUAGAUGGAAUGACCGAUGGAAUAUGUCCCCUAGGAAGUUCCAGAUAGUAGGGAAAAAAUUACAAGUCUUUGCCACUGCAAUUACAGACAAAAUUACCAACGAACUAAACUCAUCAGAAAGUUCUAGAGAGUUGGAAAAAAAUUACAAGAAUUGCCACUAACAUUAUAUGAUUCACUGACUGAUUAAUUCUAUCAUAAUAUUAAUUCAAUCAUAGAUGAGAUUACCAACGAUUUAUUCUACUGGUGAUUUGUCAUACAAACUACCGGAAUUACCAAUGGAAUGAUAACGAUUAUUUUUUUUUGUUUGGCGUGCUUUUUUCAUCUGUAACUUCAUCGGGGAUUAAAUUUCCAGUAUAAUAACCUAUAUAAUAAAAAUCAUCGAUGAUAAGUUUUCCAAUAACCAGUUACCGUCCAUAAUUCCGUUAAUAAAUUUGUUUCUGACAGAAUAUUCCAUCGAUAUUAUGCAAUAUUCUGGUUGUAAAACUAUGGUAUUAAUAAAUGUUUUCCGUAGGAUAUUGAGACUUUAUUUUCAUAUAUAAACAAGUUUUUUUUCUUUUUAGAAUCAUGUUGGAACAAUUUAUUUGAUAGUUUUAUAAAUGGAUAUGUUUUUUAAAAUAUUUUUAUAUUUAUGAAUAUAUUUAGAUGUUGUUAAUUAUAUGGUUAUAGGUUAAUAAUGUUUUUGUUUACGUAUGAUUAACUAGAUAUAUUAAAUUAUUGAUUCUAAAAAAAUUAAAAUUAUUCAUUCAAUCAAGUAUAUAUAGUAGAUAAAAAAAUAGAUGCAUAUAACGGCUAUCCGAAUGGGUAUUUAAAAUUCAAUAGUUCGGAUAUGGUUAUCCAAAUUCUUACCCGAUAGAUAAUGAUUAGAUUAUGAUUAUUAAUCUUUCAUUUAAAUAUAGUUAUGGUUAUAUUAACAUCCAAAACGGUGAGUAUCUAUUAUCAUACUACUCGUGUCGUUCAUGGAUCAAUACUUCCAUGUCUCAUAUAACAUUUUCAGACAACCUUAAACUGGUCACUAAAAUAUAGCUCAAGUGUCGUUUGAGUUCCAAAUUUCUCUUCUUAGUUGAAUCUUGAAUUUAUUAUUUUAUUUUUCAUUAGAUAUUUCCAUGGAUACCUUUCACAACUUUUUAAUGGAAAACAUCAAAUCCGUACUAAAUGGCAUUAUUCUUAGUGAACGAACACAUAACCCAUUAGCAAAUAUGGAUAAAGGGAUUCAAUUGGGAAUUUUAUACGUAGUUAGGGGAUAUGAAAUUUGAGGUAACAUCUCAGAUACUUCAACGGGACAUUGGGGAGGAAAUAACAAGAACAUGAAGAACACAAAAGUAGUAGGCAGUACUGUAUAGUAAGUAGUAUACUAUAUGGGAUCCACCUUAGCUCCAUGUGCCCAUGAAUCUCACUAGUUAUUGAGAUCAUAGCAGUCAAAACACCCCUUCCUAAUAGCAAUGAUGAUAAAGCAGGUUUUUGGAACCGAACAGUACACUUUUCACUAUUUUGUCAUAGCGGCCACACCACCUACUGCCUGAGUGGAAUCACACAAAGAGAAAGCGAAGUGGACCCAAACAGCAACUACCACAUCAUGUUAAUUUAGCAGUAAAUCAGUAUCCAUGGAUAGAUAGGUUUUGUUUCUAUAAAAUAAUGGGAUGGUAUUUCUAUUUUCUAUGAUUAAUUGAGAUUCUUGUAGUACCCCCAACUCAUCGGUCUUGCUUUGACAACUCUUAUAGUCAGGCAAAGAUGGUUUCAAUUAUGGUGGUGGAGCAUUAAGGACACUGAUGUAGCAUUGUCACAGAAAAUGGCAAGAAGUCCUGAAAAGAGAACGAAAAGAUUAGGUGCCAGCAUGUGUGUGAUCGAUGCAGACUUGGGAGACACGAAAUACUGUCAACUUUUGAUCUUUGGUUUUAGACUUUGUUUGAUGCUAAAAGGAAUUGAAUCUCCGGAACAAUUUCACCUUUCUUUAGAGCCACUUUUUAAUGAACUAGCUAGCUACUUUGGUUUUCCCAUAUAAUAUUUUGCACUUGUGUGUAAAGGAGAAAGCGAAGAAAAGACUGGCCAUGCGGGGGUGACUUUAUCGGGGUCAAACAUGAAGUGAUGCCCUGCGGCCUGCCGCAGGGGCAAAGGGGGCUUACAUUGCGAUUUCUUGCCCUACCAAAGCACAUUUAUCUGGUACUCCUAACUAAUUUUUUUUGUUACAACCUUUGCUAAUAUGCUCUCUGGGGAUAGCACUUGUCAAGGAAAAAAAACUAGGAGAUGACUUUGAAAGAAACUAGGGUUUUUUCGCCGGGGCAUUUGAAGGUUUUCUUUUUUCCUUUUUUUUUUUUUAUUUCUUGGGGACAUUCACUGAGUUUUAAAAUACAUAAGAGAGUAGCUUCGUCUUUUCUCUCAUAUUUUAGCUCAAGAAUAUUAUGAGCUCUCUAAAACUUUGUAUUUUUAGAAAUUUAACAUUUUAUGGAACAAGAAAAACACAGAACAUCUCAAACUUUCAUAAAAAUAUAAGAUAUUCAAAGCAAAUUUAACAAUAUAUAUAUUACAUGAAACCCCGAAUUCUAGCUUCUUGAGGAUCUUAAUUUCCUUUACAUCAAAACGCACCCCAGAUUAAAGGGUAGCUGAGGAGCUAUAAUUAUAAAGAAAGGGAUUAAAUUAAAUAGAGAAAAGAAAUUAAUUUGAUAUAUAUUUUUUUUUUAUCAUGAUCAGGGUCUAUGUAGGCAUGAGUGGGUGCCUUUUUUUUCCUUUUCCUUUUCUUUUUCCCUUGCAAAUUGAUACCUAAGCUUGGAAACACCAGUGAGCUAUGAGGUAACGGAAGUCCAAAUGUUUCGAUCAAGUUUUGAAGUUCAAACCUAAGCUUGAAGUAAGGUAGACAGAAGUGGUGCAUGUGUAGGUUACGAACUUAAUUAUAAUCUCAUGUAAUAAUCCCAAAUUCACCUAAGGAUAAUUGAAGGAGAAAAGAAACAUCAAUAAGUAUGUGAUGAAAGGGAGUAGAAUGGGAAAAUUAGAGAUCAAAAGAUGAUAUAUCUUUUAGGCAUAAAAAAGAAGAAAAAGUAGUAUCUAGCUAGCUAGAUCUUCAAAUCGGUUAGAGUAUAUUGAGCUGGUGAUACUAUUCAAAAUAUGCUUACAUGGGAAUCUUUUGCUUUGCUGUAAUCCUUGAUUCAAAAUCCCAAAAGCCAGAAUUAGAAGACCAGCUCGAAAAAUUUCUCAUUGACCGAAAGAGAAAUGCAUUUGAGGAACAGCUAAAAAACAUUUUUGUCGUCAGUCCUAUUUUUUACCAGAGUGCUUUUGCAGGGAAGCCUAAUGCACCCACAAGGCCACAUAUUCCCCCUCGAAAUACCACAAACUCUCGCCCCCACAGAUGUUCUUUCGUUUUUAAUCUCUCUCAAGCUCUCGAGAUCCAUAUAUAUAUAUAUAUAUAUAUAUAUAUGAUGCUACUGUCAUUCUUUGCUUCUGGGCCUGCCAAUGUCUUAUCUUUAACUAGACCCAAUAAAGCUUAGUGUUGGUAAUUCAUGUGUUCCAUAUACAGUCAGAAACAGCCUUUUACUGUAGUGAAUAAAAUAACUAACAAAGGAUAAAGCAGAAGAAAUUUUCAUCUAUGACACCGAUUCCUGCAUGCCAAAGGCUAAAGUCCAAUCAUUUACCUUUAUACCAAGCUCUUGAUUAGCAAAACUCCUCUUCUUUCUACAAUGUCAAGGCGACAGCUUGCUUGCACCUUGUGUGAUUGGGGGAUGUAGCCGAAAUCAAAACACGUGAUGUGCAUCUGAUAAUUGUUUCCAGUAAAAAAAACACAAUAAAGGGUCCUUUUCUUUUCUUAGAGAAGUAGAGAGCUGGGGCAUGAAAAAGCUAGCACCAUGGGUUUCGUGAUAAUUCUCUCCAUAGAGAGAGAGAAAGGGAAAGGGUGAGUCUUUAUCUCUCUCUUGAAUUUCUCUGAGGAAUUGGCACGCAAUACCUUGGAUUUUUCUUCAACCUUUCAACCACAUAGCCCAACAUCAAUCAUCAUGCCCUCCUCCUCCUCCUCGCCCCUCUCACUCUCUCUUCACCACCAUCAUCAUUACCCCCUCAUCACCUCCACUACCUCAUCCCACCACGACUCCUUUAUCACUCACCACCAACUUCACAUCCCAAAACCAAAACGAGGAAAGGCACAAGAAGAAGAAGACGAAGAAGAAGAAAAGGAAAGCAAGAAAAAAAAGGUUCCCUCUUUUGAGAAAAACAAACCAGUUGCCUUUCAGCUAGAAAUGUCUUUACUAUAGAUAUUGAAGGGUCUUUUUCACCAAAGGAUCCAACAUCUUCUCGGGGAAUCAAGCGUCUCGGUCCGAUCUUUAAUUUGCUAGAUCAAGCAAAUCUCUACAAGGGUUUUCAUUUUGUUUCUUUUUUCCAUGUUCAUCACUCGCUAAAUAUAUAACUAGUUUGCUUUUAAUAUGUCAAACUUCUAUUAAGUACUACUUAUGGUAUUUUUAUGAUUUUAUAUAUUUUUGAUGAAACCAUGUUGAUGCUUUUUGGCUAUGUUUGUGUUUGUAAUUUUGAAUAGAUCUUAAUUAAUCAUUCUGAUCACAUCUCUAUCUACCUAUGUUUGUUUAAAUGUUUAAAAUUACAUCAACUUUUUUCUUCGAUUCUAGCUUGUUUCAUGAUAUCUAUGUAGGUGGAAUUUAUUGCUGCUCACAAAGAUAUAUGAUUUGCAGUAAGUGGCUUUCUCUUCUUGUUGAAACCAUCAACAAUCGCACACAGUGCAAACUUUCCAUUCUCAAUGACCUAUAAGCAAAAUUUUAACAUGUCAUGCUGCAAGCUCAUGGUACACAUAAUAAAUUAGGGUUUGCUUCUUUCAUGCAUGAAAGAUCAUUAUAGCUCCUUUCCUAACAUCCUUACUUGAUCUUCUUAAGGUCAUCUAUAUAUGGUAUUCAUCAGUUCUAUAACCAAGUCCAUGGGAGCUUAUAGUACGCAUAUGCCUAUGCCUUCAAUAUGUGUGUGUGCAUGUGUGUGUGUGUGUGUGUGUGUGAGAGAGAGAGAGAGAGAGAGAGAGAGAGAGAGUAUGCAUAUGCCUAUGCCUUCAAUAUGUGUGCGUGUGCGUGUGCGAGUGUGUGUGUGUGUGUGUGCGAGAGAGAGAGAGAGAGAGAGAGUCUGUGUGUAUGAUGUGCUUGUCUCUGUCUAUAGAUGUGCUAACAUUACAUAUGUCAACUAGAGUUAUAGCUUGUCCAGAAAUCUUGCAUUUCUAGCCUGCAUAAGGCCUUGGGGAUGUAUAUCUUUUUUUGUUUUUGUUUUUUUCAGUACUCAGUUGGAAAAUUAGGAGAAGAGCAUUGUUAAUCCAGGAACCAGGUACUGAUCAAUUUAUACCUCAUUCCCCGGUUUUCCAUGUCUGAGGAAUUUCAUUUUCCAUUUUGUCUCUUUAGCACAGGCAUUCUCUUCUCUAACAUUCUGACUUUGAUCUGAAAUUUCCUUGUACUCACAUAACACUUUUCACAUGGAAAAUGAUAUGUCCUAGCAGGAUUCUUCCAUAAUUAGAACAAACAAUCCACAGCCUUCGCGUGCAUUAACAGUUGCAGUCAAAUCUUCAAAAAUGCUUAGAGUCCACAUUGCAUCUCUUGAGAUUUACUAAAAGACAACAGCUUGUUGAUGGCUGCUAUUGCUAAGUCUUUGCAUAAAAUUAGUAGCAGCAAAUAUCUAACAUAAAGAGAAAUAUUUGGAAUACAUAUAUACAUGCAUCCCUACAUAUGCAUAUAUGUAUUUUUCAGUACAUUUAAACAUAAGCACAAAACUUUCUUAACUAUCAUAGGUUGACCCACCAAGCCCCGCUAGCUUUAAUAAUAAUACUCGUUUGACCAAGCAAUAUGUAUAAAAGUUAAACAUUAUAAACAAUAUAAUUGGUAUGGUAUUGAUUAGUUUGACGCCAUUGAAGCCUGUUCAUUGAGAUGUCUACUCAAAGCUUCUGUACCUACGCACGCCAUGAUGCCUAUAGAGUCAACAAAAAAAAAGUGGCUUGCAUGUUGUUCUUCGAAUAUUAGGAAUCUAAGUGCUUGACAAAGAAUUUAGUGCUUUGCAAAACUAUAAUAUCAUCAGAGAACUUAUCUCCAAUAAGUAGACUGCAAGAGUUUCUGCAAAUUGAAACGAUGCGCGCAGUAGCUCCGUUCAUCAAAAUCUAGGCUUUAAUUCAUUCAUACCUCAAUCUCCAUCAACAACUAUUUAUCACAAUAUAUAUUGCUUCUUAAUUUGACGUUUAUUGUAUUUAUAGUUUGCAUUAUUGAUAUUGUAAUUUCUUUAUUAUAUUUCUUUUGGAAUUUGUUUUCAAUUUCUAUUCAUCAAUUUUCUUUUUCGGUUAAGAUACACCGUUUUCAUGUUUAUUUGUUGAAAACUCAGUAAGUUUUCAUUUUCCCCUUCCUUUUUCUUUUGCAUAUAUGGUAGAGACGUGACUUUAUCAAAGUCCUCGCUAUGUACAAAACGUGACAUGAUUCCUGAAGAUGAAAUUUGGUCACCAUAAAUUACAGUCUAUGUUGAUAAAAAAUUAUUUUUAAUAACCAGGAGCUAUGGUGACGGCUACUAGCUGAGCAGUAUGGUCAUAUGGUUUUUAAUCAACAUAGGCUACAACAUCACAUAAAAAAAAAGUGUUUUCGGUACCAAAAAAAUUGGUCACAAGAACCACGAAGUGUUGCAGUGUUCAUCACAUUUGCAAUGGUAGAUUAAUCCUCACACAUGACAUAUGAAAUCGUAGACUUUUCAUGAUUGUGUUAUAGGCUACUGGGGUGAUGGCAUGGGUUGUUCCUGAUAAAAAUUAGCCCGGAUAAAAGACUCUUAAAUACUUAAAUUGAUAAAUGUAGACGAAGAAAAUAAUAUAUAGAAAAAGAAAAAAAAAUCAAGUUAUAGAAAGUGUAUAUUUAGGUAAUAUGUAUAUGUAGUAGUUAGUUAGAAAUAGCCUGGCUCUAGUUGUGAAUGUUCUGGCUUUUAUGUGGCUAGAACAUACGUGGCAUGGUCUAGUACCUUUGCAUGACCAAUAGCCUUGGCUUUUGGGGUUUUAUGGUUAUUUAUAGCUUUGUCAGCCCAAAAGAUGAAAUAUUUGGCUCUUGCUUGAUAAUUGAGUGUAUUUAUACACGUAGUUCUUGAACUUCUUCAUGUAGAAUGAGAUGUGUCAUUAAUUGAGAAUGUAUGUGCUUUCAGUUUUGUCCAUGCUUUUAGGGAACAAAACUAUUGGCUAACUAUGGUGGCACAUUGAUUGUUGUGUCAUACCAUUGUUGUGCCAUGGAGAUCAUUGGUGGAAAUGUUAGUGAUGGACAAUGUCAUUAGUGUAGAAAAUGAUGUCUUCUCUUUAUAGAAAAGGUUGUCUAUAUGUAGAAAACUUAUAUGGAUGAAGAUUAUAUGUGUGGCUCCUAGAAACCUAAAAAAAUGCAUAAAAAAGUAUGUUGGGUAGGAUUAGACAGACUAAGGUCAUUAUGAGUGUCGAUAUGAAAUUCUUGUUGUUUGGGCUAGAAACAUUAAUGGCCCCAACGACUAAAUUUUCUUUUUUUAAUUUAUGUGUUAUUAUUUGCCCCCUAAAUCUUUUAAAUAAUCAUGUUUGGAAGAUUUUAACCAGCAAAAAUAGAAAAAGAAAAUUCUUCUUGUAUAAACAUUACCUCGGUGGCUAUGUUUGCAUGAGAAAUUUUGCCUUUAUGGUUGUGCUUUCAUGAAACAUGAAUGUUUUCCUUUUAUAGCUUUUGUUAACAUGAGAGUUUUUCUUGUAAUGGAGAGGAAGUUUUAUCAAUUUCCAGUAGAAAAUAGUAUUAUUUGGAAAAUAAAAAAUGCUUGGUGAUCCCGAAAGAAAUGCUAAAAUAUAAUGUAAAAAGGUUUUGCAUGUUGAGAUUUUAAUAAAUCUUGUCAUGGAGAUUUUGAUAUAAUAGAGACAAAGCGAUCUUGUCAUGGAUAUAUUUCAAUGAGUCAUGGAGAUUUCAAUGGAGACAUGAAGAUUUUCCUAGUGAUAUUUUUUUAUGGAGAUAUAUUUGAAGACAUGGAGAUCUCGCUGUAGAGAUUUUAAUGAAUUCAUGAAGACUGUGAUGGUUGCAUAGAGACAUGGAGAAAACAUCAUUAUUUUUAUUUAAAAUUUCAAAAGAUAGAGAUGCAAUUUUGAAAAUUAUCUAAUCUCAUGUAGUGCAUUAUGAGGAUUUUUUUCUUGUUUUUUUCAUGUUGCAUCUCUUUCUUCAUAAAUUAUUGAAUGUAUCAUGUAAAGAUCAAUCUCUAGGGUAUGACAUUCUUCAAUGUUAUAACCAUGGUCAUAAUGAAAGUGAGAGAACUUGUUAAGAUUCUUUAUGUUUAUGCUACUAUUAAUUAGAGGUGGAUACUGCAUAAAAUACUUUCCCUGAAUAACAGCAAACACCUCAAUAUCUGUAGUGGUAAAAGGUGUGGUAAAAAAACUCAGCGAAUGUUAAGCAAUCAUAGUCAGAAUAAAAAUAAUAGAACUUGUUAAGAUUCCUUAUAUUUAUGCCACUAUUCAUUAGAGGUGGAUACUGCAUAAAAUGCUUUCCCUGAAUAAUAGCAAACAUCUCAAUAUCUGUAGUGGUAAAAGGUGUGGUCAGAAGCUCAGUGAAUGUUAGGCAAUCAUGAAUGGAUCCCUUGGUGCUCCUAUUGGAUAAUGCCCUAUAAUUAAUGGUGUUGUAGAGAUUCUGCUAUUUGAAAAUCAGAGUGUCCCUAUCUGAUGACACUUGCUUCUUCUAUCUGAAUAUGUUUCUUCAUUUCUUGUUUUACAUUCAAGAGAGUCAUGUUAAGGAGAGUAUACAUGAGUUAUUAUAAUGAGUAGUUAUAGACUUUACAAAUCAAGGCCUUAGUGAUAAUUAUUUCGAGUAGAUUUUUCAUGUUUAACAUUUUUUUAUUGAAUCUAUAGAGAUAUGCUCUAGUGCUCUCAUCUUUUUAUAGUUGAUGGUAAAAAGCUCAGACGUACUCUUUUUAGUUAUAAUGCUAAUACUGAAAAAGAGAUCAUCAUAACACAUAGAUCAUGAAAGUUAAUGAUGGAGCUAGGUUUUAGAUCGUGAUACCACACCCUAGUAUAUCAAUGAAAUGUUGUUAGAAAAACCUUGCACAUGGCGUCACUCUUUUGUGUCACAAGUUUUAAGAUUCUUAUGAUGUUUUAGAUGUGCUAUCUAGGAUAUAUAAGACCAUCAUAAUUAUCCAAGUAGGCAUGUACAAAUGCAUAUUUUUUAGAGAGGUAAGGGUAUAACACUCGAUAAAAAAAUAAAGUCUUCCACUUGGUAAGAAUAGUGUUCAUUCUUGAAAGUUUAUACAAUCAUUAAUCAUAUAUUGUGUUUAGGUCUUUUUCAUCAUGGAAUAUACGAGUAAUAGUUAAAGGAGGAUUGAUAGAUAUAGCCAUAUAUGUGGCAAGAAUCUAUAAAGGUGUGUUAUUUAUAGCGAGAGUGGCUUCUUUGUAAAGUUGGAAUAUCAUGCAUACUUUGCAUGUCAUUUUAUCUUGUUCCUUCAUGAAACUGAAGUGGUGUUUAUGCCUCUAGUGCAUAUGGUGUUGUUGCAUGCUAUAUUUCUUAUUGAUGGAAUAAAAGAGUGUGAAGCCAUUUUUGUAAGGCUAAAACAAUAUAUUUUUUUUUUAGCACUUGCACUUUUGCAUGGGCAAUGGCUUUGGCUUCUGGCUUUUUAUUACUAUCUAUAACUCUUCCUUCCUAAAGGAUGGGAUUUGGCUCUUGCCUAAUGAUUGAGUGUAUUUAUACUAACAAAUCUUGAACUUUAUUCAUGUAGAAGGAGACAUAUCAUGGAAUGAUAAAUUGGUAUGCUUGUCAGUUCUAUCCAUGCUUUUAGUAUAGGAAAAAACUAUUGGUUAUUAUGUAUUCUAUGGUGGUUGUGUCAUGCACGCUAUUGGUGAAAAUGUUAGUGAUAGGCAAUGUUAUUAGCAUAGAAAAUGGUGUCUACUCUGCAUAGGAAAAGUUGUGUGCACGAAAAUUUUAUGUGUAUGACUCCUAGAAACCUGAAAAACAUAUAGAAGGGUGUGCAAGGAUAUGAUUGGAUAGAUUGAGAUCAAUAUUAAUGUUAGAUAGGAAUUCUAGCCAUUUGAGCUAGCCUAAACAACUAAUUUGUUUUAUUUAAUUUGUGUAUUAUAAACAAACAUACAUAUAUUCCAGCCAAGUGACUUGCCAUGACUUCUAAAAAUAUAAACGUUUGAAAAGACUUGUUAGGAGGUUUUUCAAGUCUUUUUUAAAAAAAAUUCUUAUAAAAGGUUAUGUGUUUUUAGAAACACUAGAUUUAUCAUAACAACCGAAAAUUAAAUAUAUAAUUAUAACAUUAUCUUAAAUAAACUAACUAAACCAAUCAAAGCAUUUAUUUAAAGUAUUUAAUAUAUAAAAGAAGGAAUAACAAUAUAUUUUCAUUCAUAUCUAUUCUAUUAAAAAAAUAUUACCUUUAAAUAUAAAUUUGAUAAAUUUAUUCAAAUAAAAUAAAAAAUAUCAUGAUAAAUUUAAAUUUAAAUAAUACAUAAUCAAAACAGGUGAAAAAUAUUUAUAAUCACAAUUACAAAGAUUUGAAACAUUAAACUAUACUUUUUUUUUACUUUUAUCUUUUUGUUUCUUCAAAUAAUUCUACAUUAUAGAAUGAGAAAUUCAGAAUAAGUUAUAGCAAUAAAUAAUGAAAAAAAUAUAUAAAAUAUAAUUGGAGAAUAUGGAGCAGUAAAUAGCAUGUAUUUCUGUUGUCCAAUUGUAUAUUAUUUUUCUUAUUUUUGCUAAGAAAAAAAGAGAAAAAUUAAUUAAAAGAAACAAGGACUAAAAGAGAAAAAGAGAAAAAAAAACUUGAAAAACUAACAAUAGUCCAAAUUAGAAACUCAAUAUUAUAUAUUUCUUUCUUUUUUAAAUUCAAAUCUAGUUAAGAGUUAUCCUCUUUUUUUUUUUUUUUUUUUUUUGUAUGAGAAGUCCUAUAGACAAAAAGAUGAAAGUCUAGAGAUGGAACAAUAAAGCCUAAAAAACAAAGUGUCAAGGAAUUUUCAAACUAUUUAACUAGAUGAUUUGCAUUAAAAAAUUAUUCAAUUCCUUCAAAUACAUGAAAAUCAAUACACAACAUAUGUGGCAUAUUGCAGAACACCCAUAAGAUUUCUCUCGACAGUAUAAAAGCUUUUAUAUGAUUAUAUUGUUAUAAAAUGGUGAAUCUUUUAUUCUAACAAUAACAAAUGUAUAAUAAAUAAAAAAGAGAAAACUAAAUAUGAUAUUCUUAAUUAGGGUACAGAAAACAAAAAAACAUGUGUACACUACUAGAAAAUUAAAAAAAAACUAAAACAUCGAUGGAAAAUAUUCCAUCACAGUUUACUAGGGGAAAAUACUAUAGAAAUUUUUCAUCAAUAACUUCAGAUGGAAACGGUGAUGGAAAUAAAAAUAAUUCCAUUAGCAUGUGUCAUAUCACCAAAGAAAAUAUCGUUAAUGAUUUUAAGAAAAAUUAUAACUGGACAGAGUCAGGAGGCUCUCCACAACACAUUUUCCUCUCCUAUAAAAACUUAAAAAAAAAAAAAACCCAAAACCCUCUCCUUUUCUCUCCCUAAAACCUAACAAUCACCUCUUCAAAUCUGACCACAACAACAUGCAAGAACCAACAUAACAGAUCUAUCAAAACCUAAGCUUCCUAUUUUUUUUUUGUUUCUUUUCUUGUUAAGCUUCACUCCACUAAGUAAACAAACCCACUCAUUUAUGUUUUAAUUUAAUCUAUUAAAAUUUAUUUGUAGUAUUUGUAAUUUACUUGUAUAUUUGAGUGUUUUACUUGUUUUAUAAUGAUAAUUUUAUUGUAUUAAUGUAGGGUUUGUAUUUUAGGGUUUGUUUGAGAUUUGGGUAAAAUAAAUUUAAUUUGUCACUUGAUAAGAUUGAGUGUGAUUUUAUAACUUAUUUGUGUUAGAAUUAAGAAAUGAUGAGUAAUUUAAUGGGUACCAAUUAUGUUUUUGUCAAUUUUAUGGUUAAGUUGAAAAUUCAAGGAAAAAUAAUUUUGUUUUGAAUUGAUAAUAAUUAAAUUAUAUUAAUUUAUAUUGAAUAAGUUUGAAUUGAAGAAAUGAUGGAUAAUUAGUUGGGUCCAAUUAAAAUUUGUCAAUUUAGGGUUUUGUUGAAGAUUUAGGAAAAAUUAAAUUAAUUGAUGUUAUUUAUUCUUUAACUAAAUAAAUAAUAGGUUGUUAGUUGGGUACCAAUUAUUUUUUAUAGAUUUUAUGGUUCGGUUGAAAAUCUAUAAAAAAUUAAAUUUGUGUGGAAUUGAUAACAAAUUAGAGUUAAGUAUGCUUCAACUUAUGAAGUAUUUGAUAGUUAUUAGAUUAUAUUUUUUUUUUAAAUUGAGAGAAUUGAGUUACCUUGAAAUUAAAUAAAUGAUGGGUUAUCAAGUUGUUAUUGUGAGUUAUUAUUUUUUUAUGAAUAGUUGAAUUUGUUAUUAGUAUGUUAUAUUAUCAUUUUAGUAUGAGUAAGAUAUUUGUUGGUGCUUUAUAAUGCAUUACAAGUAUAUUUGUUGGAUAAUUUUGUUGUAUGUUUUUCUGAUUUGUGUUCAUUGUUUUCUUUUAGAUACCAAGUUUUCAAGAAAAAACAUGUCUAAGUCCAAUAAGAGCACUCCUAUUUUAUCAAGUAGUAGUGUUGGUGAUCGUGCUAUGAAUUUAGGUGAGGAUUAUGAAGAGACAUCUUUUAUAGAAGUUACUGAUCAAGGUUCAACCAUUGAGGAUCAUAGAUCGAGCAUCCCUUCAUUGAUAGAGCUCAUUUUAGGUAAAUGGAUAGCAUAAUGAAAUGGUGACCUCCCAAUGUAAUUAUUUUGUCUUAUGAUAUUAUUUGUUUUUAUUGAGUUAUUUUUUAAGUUUUAAAAUUAUAUGAAAACGACUUUAUUAAAUUGAUUUUCAUGUUCUUCAAUAUUUCAGCUAUUUGUUUCAUUACAUCUAAAGUGAAGUGGUCAUUUGAAGAACUAUUGUUUCAAUGGAGUCAACUUGUUGACAUCCUGAAUAGAUGCAUAUGGUAAAUGUUUGGUGGGUAAAGUUUAAGGCUAGAUAGAUAAUCUCAAAUUCUAUUAACUAGUUUUUAAAAAUAUAAAAACUAAUUCAUAUAUGAAAUCAAUUAAGAAAGCUAUUUUCAGAAGCAUUCUUUGAAGUUUAUCGCUAAAAGAACGGAAGUGUUCAUUUUAAGUUUUUUGAUAGUUAAUUGGUUUAAGAUUAUUUAUCUGCAUCAAUAAUUGAUAUGUAAUUGAAUUUCAAAAGUUGGAUUUUUUUUCAUUUUAUAGGAAAGAUAUUACCCCAACAUGAUUGAGAGAUUUGGUGAAGACUCUUCCACCCAUCUUCCUUACGAUCCUCAUGUAUAGUUGAUGAUUGUUGUAAGUGAUGGAACCGAUAGGAAUCAGGUUUAUAGUUUGUCUAUGGCAUCGACCUGAGAAUCAAAAGAGGAUCAUAUUAUUUCAACCUUAAGUACACCGUAUGUCGAUCCAAGCUAUUCAUCAUUGGAAUUUGAUGAGAUUGAGUAGAAAAAGGUUUAGGAACGAAUGAUUGUUCAGAUGGAGAAGAUGAGUGCACAACUCUUAUAACAAAAUAGAAUGUAUUGGGCUCAAUUAAGUGUAGCUAUGGAUGUACCUUUUCCUCCCUCUCCUGUACCUUCCACUUUGACAUUUUUUUCCUCCCCCUCCACCCCACCUUUAACAACUCUGAUGUGAUGUACCAGGUAUUUCAAUUAGAAUUUUAAUAGUUUCUGACUAGGUAACUCUUAUUGUUCAUUUCAAAAAAAAAAAAUUAAUGUUUGUGUAUGAAAUUAUAUCUAUUUCAUUGUUGUACACUAUUUAUAUGAAUUUGGUACUAAAUCUUUCAACUAUGAAAACUCACAUGUUUGUGUAAUCUUGUUAGGUUGCUAGCUAUGAUUUUUGUUGUUAUUGUGAUUUUUGUAAGCAAUUGUUGGUUUGGGGAUUAUAAAACCCUAAACAUUAAAAAAAAAAUUUGAAAACUUCUAUAGAAUCGUCAACGCAACGUCAAUUCCAUCGGUAUUUAUGUUGAAAAUUCAACCUUUUUCAUUUUAUUAUUUUGUUGAUAAAAGCUUAUUUUUAAGCGUGAAUGUCCUAUCAACAAUUCCAUUAACAUUUGAAAUUGCCAACAAAAUAAAAGCCUUGACUAGUUAGUUUCUGAUGAUAGUAUUUCAUCGCUAAUAUUUCUAUUGGCAAUCUCCAACACUGACAGAUUUUCCUUAUAUUUUUGGUAGUGGUAUAAUUUUGAAUUUGUUAACAUUAUUUCUCCUUCAUUCCCUUAAUAAAUGUCCAUCCGCCCUUCCAAUUUUUUAGGAACUAAAAAAACAAAUUAGUUAUUUUUGUUUUUAAAAAAUAUAUUAUUCUUAGUUAUUUAUAUUAGUCAAUGCUAUUAAUUUUUAGAAAAUUUGAAAAAUAAUAAAGAAGUGAGUUAAAUUAUAUAAUCAUUAUAUUUGAGCUUAAGCACACUUAAUUGAGGUCGCAAGAAAUAAAUAAUAAGUUAUUUAUUUAGGUACUGAAGGAAUAUAACUUUAAUAACCAAAAUCAUAAAAAUAAUUAUUAGAAGGUUGUUCAAAGUAAGAAAAUGAAUAAUUAAAAAAAAAAAAGACAAGGAAAUAUAAAAGACAAAGACCUUGGCUUAAUACCUAACCUAACCCGGUGUUUGGGAAUACGGUAGUGGUUGCUUUUUAAAAUGUUUUUCGGUCGAAAAUACAUCAAAAUAAAAAAAAAAUUAUUUUAAAAAAAUUAUUUUUGAUAUCAGCACAUCAAAAUGAUCUGAAAAUAUCAAAAAAAAAUAUUAAUUUGAGGUAAAGAAAAAAAUAAAAUUUAAUUUAAUUUUUUUAAAUAUACUUUUAAAAUGCAAAAAGAAAUAGAGGCAUACAUUGAGCGAAACGAGGAUAUAUGUUUUUUACAUCUAAAACUUUAAAAAUAUAUAUUUCUUAAAUCAUAUAAUGUAAUUGUAUAUUUUUUAUGUUUACAAAUUUGUUUUGUGAUGAGAGCUUUCAUGUGAAAGUGGCAUCAAUCGGUUUUAUAAUUGUGAUUUCUCUUUAUUUUUUUUCUGUCUUCUUAUAUUGUAAUGAUUAUUAUUUUUAAAUUUGUAACGUAACAAUGUGGAUAAUUAAUACAAAAUCAAUGGAUAAGAUUUAGAAGUAAGGAUAUGGAUUGGAGGAUAUUAAUUGGAUAUUAAUUGUGAAACCCCUGGAAAUUUAUAAUUUAAAUAUGUAGAUGUGUAAAUCCUCAUGUAAACGUAAGACUGAAAGUGGUAAUAUUUCAAUGAGUGAUGGAUACCAAGAUUAGAAAUAAUAGAUAAAUAAUGAUAUAUAAUGGAAGGGAUGACCUUUAUAAAAUGAAUUUUGGUUUAAAAUUCAUAAGGACAGAGAAACUGGUAACGUGUUUUGAUGGAUGAAAUAAUGAGAAAAAUGACAAUAUUUUUAGGAAAUAAGUGAGAUAAUAAAGAAUACAUCAUAAUAAAGGAUAGUACAAUGAAAAAGGUAGGACUGAAGGUACAAGCACCGCUUAAAAAUCAUUGAUGUUAUUUUGAAACGAUAAUAAGCCCGAUAAAUAAAUAAAGGUGGAAAUCCUAAAAUGAAUACAUUCCAAAAUAAUUAAACAACCUUAAAGGUUUAGAAUGAUAAUUGAUAUGAUUUUUUUUUUGUGGAGAUUAAACAAGAAAAAUCUAGAUUGUUUAUGAAAAGUUAUGAACUGAUCAAUUUUAUAUUAGGAAGCAGAGCUCUCAAUCCAAUCGUCGGAUCGGGAUGAAAUUUUAUAUGAAGUCUAUCAAUAUGUUUUCCCACCUUGGUUAAAUAUCUCAUUCCAAUCGGAGUUUGGUAAAGACUAGCGAUUUAAACAGAAAUAAACCAGAUAAUUUACAUGAAAAAUAAAAUAAAAUACAUAAAAGCAUGAAAGAGGGAUAAAAUUGUAAUUAUGAAAAAAAAGGUGCCUAUAAAACUGCAAAGAGGCCACCAGUUUAAAGAAAAAAAAAGAAAAGCAAAAAGAUAGAGAAAAGCGGAUUAGGGGAGAGAGCUGCAGAUUUUGAAGAAAACCAAUAAUGCUCCGGUGGCCAUAUCUCUGGAAUCCACCAUUGGAUCAUGCUUAUUUUUGGAUAUGUUGUUCACAUUACACUCCUCUACUAACUGACCGGAGCGAUUGGAAGGAACAUAAUCCGUUUGACAGAAAUCAUCAUCUGGAAUUUCCUGGAAAACAAAAAGGAAAUGCACCUGCAGGGCAGUUUGGUCGCCGAUCGAUUUCUCUCUCUUCCACCGUUGGAUCAUUCUCAGUUUUGGAUAUGUGGUGCGCCUCUGGACGGUGGAGAUCGAAAAAUAUUUCUCCGGCAAGGUUUCGUGCAUGUUGAACAGUAGCUCGUCCAUUUUCAGGUAAGCUCGGUUUUCUUCCAAUCUAGGGAGAUUUAACCGUUGGAGCAUUAUGAUUUUGAGAUAUAUUAUGCACAACUCUAUGAUAUGUAGUCUGACCGUUGGGUUUGAAACAAUAAUCAGAGGUUGAUGACUUAUUGCCUUUUGAAUCUAUUGCUAGUUUUGGCAAAAUGUAGUAAGCUUGAUUAAAUACAUGUUUUGAUGAAAUUAGAAUUGUGUGGGUGUAGGUUUUAUGGAAGAUGUAAUGGUAAAAUAUGUUCUUGUUAUUAGUAUUAUUAUAGAUUAAUUGUGUAUUCUUUAUAUGAGGGGAAGAAUGAUUAUUGUGUAAGAAUAGUAAGGAAUAUUGCUAUAUGAACAUGUUGAUUGAAUAAAACAUGUUGAUUGAAUAGAAAGCUAACUUGUUGUUUGUGUGGAUAUAAAUAGGGUGGAACCAUGAAGAAAUUGAAAUGAAAGAAAUUUGGAAAAUAAAACAUAUUUAAAGCUAGCCAUAAGUGUUUUUAGCAAAUGGUUAGUUAAUGAAGGUUGUCAUGGAUCCCAAUUAGUAGGGUGAAAUUAUUGUUGUGAUAAUGAUCUAAGAAUAUUAAUUGUUAAGGUUUGCCGCAUAUGUUUAAUCGCAUGAGGAGAAAGCGAAAGAAAAUGAAUAGUUCAUCAUUUUGUUGUAUUAAUAAUAAUAAUAAUAAUAGGAGAAAUCUCAAAAGGAAUGAGUUUUCUUAUUUUGGUCUAAUCUUGCUAUAUUGUAGAGGUAGGGAAAUUGUUUGAAUGUUUUGCUUUAGAAUUGGUUUGAAUUUGUGAUUUAAUGAUGCCAAAUGACCUUGGGUGAUGUUGCUUUUGCAUGAAAAUAAGUUGGAAGUUGUAAAGGAUUUUCAAGGAAUGAAAAUCCUCGUUGUCCAAAAUUUUAGCUAUAAAGAAGAGGUUGUUGUGAUUGUUGAUUUUGAGCCUUAAAACAAAAUAAUUUGAAGUUGGUUUCUUAAUAAAAGUUGUAUCUCUAUGUUUAGCCUUUCAUAGAGAUAAAUCACGCCCAAAACUGAGUUUUACAACUUUAGUUAUGAUUAAGACACUAGAUAGUAUUCUAGGUUAGUUAAUCUUAAUUGAUCGGAAUUAGACAAUUUUUAAUCGUUGCUUGGAAUUGCUGCUGAGUGAUGAUUUUGAUAACAAAAUUAUAAGAAUGAAUAUAAACAUUAAAAUGAGUAAGAGUAUGAGAUCUUAAAGAAAAUUCCUUGUGAUUAGUUUGAGAAUACUAGUUGAAUGAGAAUUAAAUGAAGAUGUGAUGUUGGUUGUAUUGUUGAUAAAAAUUGAAUCUCUGGUGGUACAGGGAAAGCUGUGGGGACUGGACAAUUGCAUGGAGUGGCAGCACGUGCACCUAUUCUAGGUAGGUGAUUCAUCAUCUUAUUUUGUAAUUAUUAGUUUUUCUUAAAUAUUUGUGUUGUGUCUUUAAUUGAUGUUAAAAGAAUGAAGCAAAUGAAUAAGUUGAGUGAUUAUUACAAAUGAGAAUUAUUCGUAAUUUAAGAGAAAUUACCGAAAUUAUUUGGCUAACAAAAAAGGUUAGCCGGGUGCUGGGUAAUUCGUAUGGAAUUACCGGAUUGAUUGUGGCAACCAAGAUGGGUUAGCCAGAUUUCUUGGGUAAUUAAGAGAAUUACCGGGUUUAUUGGUUAACAAGAAAGUUAACUGGAUAAGGGGUAAUUCAUAUGGAAUUACCGGAUUGAUUGGCUAACAAAAGAGGUUAGCUGGAUGAUGGGUAAUUCGUAUGGAAUUACCGGAUUGAUUGGCUAACAAAAGAGGUUAGCCAGAUGAUGGGUAAUUCGUAUGGAAUUACCGGAUUCAUUGGCUAACAAAAGAGGUUAGCCAGAUGCUCGGUAAUACGUAUGGAAUUACCGGAUUGACUUUGGCAACCAAGAUGGGUUAGCCAGAUUUCUUGGACAAUUAAGAGAAUUACCAGGUUUAUUGGUUAACAAGAAAGUUAACUGGAUAAGGGGUAAUUCGUAUGGAAUUAUAGGAUUGAUUGACUAACAAAAGAAGUUAGCUGGAGGCUGAGUAAUUCGUAUGGAAUUACCAGAUGUAUUGGUAACCGAGGAAGGUUAACCAAAAGUGUGGGUAAUUAUAUGAAAUUACCAGAAUUAUUGGCAAUCGAGAUGAGUUAGCCGGAUAGUUAAGUUUUGAAAAGAUUAUGUGAAUUAAUUGAUUAAAGUUAGAAAUAGUAAAUUCUAAAUGUUAUGAGUAAAAUAAUUAAUAUAUGACGAAUAUAUUGAGUAAAUUAAUUAAUGUGGUUAUUGGGUAAACACAAUGACUUGGAGAUUGGAGGGGAAUUGAUAGAUAAUUGGUUACCAUAGUGUUGGUGGCUAAGGAUACAUUACAAUGAUACUUAACACCAUAAUGAUGGUGGAUAAGGGCAUAAAUUGAUACUUGGCAAUGUGAUGAGGGUGAUCAAGGUUAUGUGACGGAUGCUUAGUGACCGUAGUGUCGAUAACUAAGAUUGUGUGCAAAUGAUACUUGGCAACCGUGGUUACAAUGCAUAUGAUGUUAAUAAGAAAAAUAAAAAGGGGUUCGGUACGAAUGGAAGAAUCAAAUGGCAUUGAUUAGCCAUCCAGGUUUGGAUUGCUAAUGGUAUCGAUGAAGUUUCAUCGGUGCCGGUAUUUCUUAAAUUGAUUAGUCUAGCCCAAUAUUAGAAGACUAAUAAUACUAAUGAGAUUUAUUAGUUUCAGCGAUUACCUUCUAGCAACAGAUUCAGAAAAAGGAAAAUAUUGAUUAGUUAUUCCAAAAGAAUGAGAUAAGCUAAUAAUACCAAGAGAGGAAUAUCUUGGUAUCAAGUGAGAAUUGAUUUAUAAAGAGAUGGUGUUCGCAAACCGUUGAGUUAUGUUGAGAUUUCCAAGAUGGAAUUAUUCUUGGCAAAUGAGAUAGGAUAUUAGAUGGAUAUUGGUAAUAGAUGAAAAAUAUAUGUUGUAAAAGAGGUUUAUGUCUAAUUUUAUAUAUCAAAAGAAAUUCCGUAGAGAUUAUUGUCUGCCAUUGUUAUUGCUUGUUACUAUCUUUUAUAUUUAUGUGUACAUGUUAAUUUCUAUUUUCAGGUCCAUCAGGGUCGCGUCAAGGGUAAUGCUAGUUUAGAUAUCUUUUGCUUUUGACUAUGUAAAUUAUAAAACUUGAGAUGUAAUAUUAAUCCGUAAAUUUGAAUGUAUGUCUUUACUCUAAUGGUUUAAACUCUUAGUACCUAUUUGACCAUGCAUAUUUAUAGUUGAAAUUGAAUCUUUCAUUUGAACUAUAUUAUAUGAUGUUAUUGAAUAAGAUGUGUUGUGUUGAUGAUAAUGAGUUGGGUUGAGACCCAGGAUGAUUGGGUCGUGAUUUUGAGUUAUGAGAUGUGAGAUAUUAGAAGUGUAAACAGGGUAUAUAUCGAUAACUUGGGACCUACCAGUAUAGGGGAGACUCUGCUGAAAUUUUGGUAGAAAUUUUGGUGGAACCUAUAUAUCACAAAAAAAAAAAAUUUACCUGAAAAUUUCCAAAAUAUCACGAAAAAGAAUGUACAAAUAUCGGGGUUGUUACAUUAAUUUAGGGAUAAAAUGUAUUUAAAAAAUUAAACGUUUAGUUUAAUAAAAGAAAGAUAUAAGCAUGUGCUAUAUAUAAAUAAACUUAUAAACAUAUAUAUCAUGUUAUCAAAGACUAAAAUAUAUACAAUUUCUAGCAGAGCAUACUAAAUAUAUAUUCAAAAAAACAUAAGCAAAUGAAAAACAAUCCUAGCAUUUAUAGUAAAGAAAAAAAGGUUGAACAAAGAAAAAGAAUUGUAUUUGCUUGUUGAAACACUUUAAAAUUGAUGAAGUUUGUUGUUGUCAAAAAUAAAUUAUUUGUUCUUAAAACUUUAUUACUCAUUUCUUGGUGCAAAGGAUGUUUGCAAUAAAGCUUCCAAGAUUCCAACACCACCAACUUAAUUUAUAUGCACUUCUAAAAAAGGUAUUUGAAUAAAAAAAAUAUGUAACUUAAAUAUCUCUCAAUAAAACGGACCUAAACUCUAGAUUUUAAAGGAAAAUCAAAGUUUAAAAGUGAAAUGAGAAUAAAAUAUUAAAAUAUGAGGUGAGAAAAAAUGUAUAAAAAUCUAAAAAACAUUGUAUGAAACUCUUCCUUCGCCCCCCCCCCCCCCUCCUCUUUUAUUGUGGAUUUUGAAAGCUAAAAAGUUGAAGAAUUAAUUCUGGUAAUAAUCAAAAUUAAUUUCCGCCAUUAGCAACAUUUUAUUAGCUACUAUAAAUCAAGAAUUAAACUUAAAUAUGGUAGCCAUAAAUCUAGAUUUGUUUUAGCAAAAACAAAUUGUUCAGGUUUUGCAGAAAAAUCUUCUACAAUAGACUGUUAACAUUCAUAGGAUGAACAGGACAAAACAAUGAGCUGAAAAAAAUUCUUCAUGCACUAAGCACAAGUCCAAAUUUCAGUUGGCAAAAAAAUAAUUUUUUGGAGCCCAAAAUAUUAUUUCAUAAUAAGUUCAAACCUAGGCCUAGGCUUGAGCACAAGUUAAGCCGGUGUGUGAUUGAGUUUAAGUCUAAAGCUCACUUUACUUAGGACCUUUCCCCUUCAAAAGUUUGGGUGUCAUUUGGGAUCAAUUUUAACUUCUUAGAUUUUCACUUUAUAAACACUAAAAAAGUUUUAUUUCUUUUCUAUGUGUGAUAAAGUUAAUUUCGAGAGUUUUGAGUUUAACCAAAUACACAAACUAAGAGAUCUUUGAGAUUAAUUUCUCAUUCAACCAUAAUUUAUUUAAAUCAUAUUAAUGUUUCAUAUCAAAGAGCUUAUGUUGGAGAUUAGAUUCUAAGAAAACCUUAACCCAAAAAUUGAGUGGAUCUCAUUUUUAAUUUGGCUUUAAAUGUGUUUAUUAACCAUGUUUUAAUAAAAAUUCCAACAAAAAAAAGCUCUAUAUUAACAGAACUCUAAAACGUGUGGGUUUUCUACUGUACAUGAAUGCACUGUGGACUGAGAGAUAAUUCACUAUGGACUUACUGUAUAUGCAUGCACUAUGGACCACGAGACAAUUAACAGUGGACUUGCACAGUUACUUUUCUAUGUAUUAAAACUUGCACGGUUGCUUUGUUAUAUCUUAACACGUAUGGGGAUUUUCUACUGUACAUGCACUGUGGACCAAGGUAUAAUAAACUGUGGAUGGCACUGUAGCUCCUUGGGGGCGUUCCUUGCCUAUAUUUUUAGUCAAGAAUUGUGGUUAGGAUGACUCAUUUGAGUUUUGCCAUUAAGGUGAGAGUGAUGCAGCGGCAGAGGCAACAAUUAAUUAGAUCAGGCCGUCGACACCUGGCGUUUGGGUUGCCAUGUAAGGGGUGUUAGGGCCAGCCACGUGCCCCUAGCUGCGGCCCUAGGCAGCGGACACCUAGCGCUAUGGCUGGCCAAGGCCUCAGCAUGGCGAAUCCACUGCUCCUGCUGUGGACUAAGGGGCGAAGCGGCUCGACGUCAGGAGAGGGGUAGAAGGCUAGAGGCCACAUAAUAAGUGGUAAUUCAUUAAAAGCACGGAUCGAACGAGAAGAAUGGGAUUGGGUUCAGUUAAGGUAACCUAGAGGGUGAAAACUAGAUAGAGAAAUAUCUUUUUGAGUAUUAUAACAUGAAAAUAAAUUAAUAUAAAAAGUAUAAUAUAUAAAAAAAGUAUAAAAAAUAUAAAAAGUAUUCAUAUCAAACAUAAAAGAAAAGAAAAAAAUAUUAUUAUUUCCUUUUUACACGAAUGAAUAUUUUGAUGUGAGUAUAUAAAAAUGGAUUUUAAAACAUAACAAAUAUAUUAUUAUUUGAUAAAUACUGUGAUAAAUAUUAUUAUUAAUAUCAUAUCAACUUUGGUCAAGUAAGUUUCAUAUUAUUAUUAAUGUGAUAAAUAUUAUUAUUAAUGUGAUAAAUAUUAUUAUUUGUAUUAUAAUUAUUAUUCUUUUUAGUUUAAUUAAAUGUAUUAAAUCAGAAGUAAAUCGCAUGAUGACGUAGCAUUUGUAAAAUUUGAUCGCAAUCCCAAUUUUGUUUCUGAUGAUAUUUUACCUGAUGUUGUUGCACGCUCAAAAAGCCAUGAAAACCGUAGUCCUUGUCGGAUAGAUUUCGUAUGUGAUGAAAUUGCAAAUAGUUUAAUGGAAUAAUAAAAAAUACUUUAUAUAAAGUAUUGUUUAUUUCAUGAUAGAAUAGUAGUAGUUAAAUUUAUAAUAUUUCAAUUAAAAGCCAUUAAUAUUAAUAUAUGUUUUUUUUAGUUAUUUUAUAAUCUCAAUUUGAAAAGCAUUCUUAACUAAACACAUUAAAUUAUUUUUUGUUCAACUUCAAUUUUAACCAUAGUUUUAACCAAAUAUAUAUUUUACCAAAUCCACCUCAACUAAAAAUAUUUUUUAUAAAAUAAAUUUUUUAAAAUUACAACUAUAAAAACUAGCUCUGUGCAAAAAAAAAAAAAAAAAAAAAAAAAACCCAUUAUGCAACUUCUACUUCUAUGAUCAAUAUACAAUUUAUAUUUCUAAGUGCAUGGUUGCCACUUAGCGUUAGAUGCUCUGAAGGUAGGGCCCUAUUUGACAGUGUCCCAACACGUUUUGUCCAGGCCUAGCCCACCUUGGCACUCAUUCUCAUACAAUAUGGCGUUAACUUAGUGAUUAGUGAUUAGUGAUUAGAUAGUUAUCUCAAAUGAUUAUAUCUAAGGUUGUAUUUAUUUUUGCAUUCAAAAAAAUAUUUAAUUUUUUUUAUUUUUUAAACAAUAUAUUCUUUAAUUAACAUUCAUCCCAUGUAAGGAAAAAAUUGAUAUAAACUCUAGGAAUAUAUAUAUAUAUAUAUAUAUAUAUAUAUAUAUAUAUAUAUAUAUUUUGAUGAUUUUUAAUUUAAAUAUUGCAGAUUUAACUACUAUUAUUACAUCAUUAAGUAAAUAAUAUUUUAUAUCAAAUAUUUUUUAUUAUUCCAUUAACUUAUCUACAAUUUCAUCACGUAUGAAAUUCAUCUGAUAAGAACUAUAGUUUUCAUGGUUUUUUUAGCGUACAAAAAAAUCAGGUAAAAUACCAUCAGAAACAAAAUUGAAAUUGCGAUCAAAUUUCAUAAAUGUUAUGUCAUCAUGCGAUGUUCUUCUAAUUUAUGUACUGUUAUUAAAUAAUAUUAAAUACUAAUUUUUUGAGUAAAAUACAAUUUUUUAAAAAAUAAUUUUUUUUACCGGGACGCGGUUCAAUAAAUAGUGGAGACACUGUUCAUGUGAACAGUUCCAUGUAGGUAGAAUCAUGGCACUGUUCACGUUAACAGUGCCCAUAUGAAUUUUAAUUCACCUAGCAGUCGAGAGAAACGCAGCUCUCAGCUGCUGUGCGGAACCGCUGGUUUCAACCCAAAAUACAUGGGUCCCACACAACACAGUCAAGUGCUUUUCUUUGUUACUAAAUAUGAUGUUUACGUGGUUGGUUUUAAAAGCUAAAGCUAUCACAUAAACAAACAAACAAAGAAUUUUCUUCUUUGAAAACAAUCUUAAUUAACAUCACUAGAACUUUUUCCCAAUGAUCUAGGCCACUUAUGUGCAUCACAAGUCUUUUUUUCCUUAUUAAUUGUUACUGACUUAUGACUUAAGUAUUGGAUGAUUUCUUCUUGCUAGCCCAACAAGCUUAACCAUUUGAGUUGGUGACAAAAACAAUUUAGAGUUUUUGGAUUGUUAUUAGAUUUUAAUGUUAAAAACUCAAAUUCAUUCAUCUUCCUAUUAAUUUCUUAAGCUCAAGUCAGGAAUUUUAUGGAUAAAUAUUUCUUUAAUUUUUAAUUUUUAUAUUUAUUUAUUUAUUGAGAAAUAGAAUAGAGAAUUAAGUAAGAUGGAUAAAUUUAACAGAUAAAAUAUUUUUGAAAUAAUAAAACUAGAUUGAAGAUUUGGCAACAUUAAUAAAUGGUUUGUUUUUUUGUUUUUUUAAUUUGAAGCCAUAUGACUUCCAUGUGGUCAAGACCUUUCUAUGUGUCAUCUUGCUUUCUUAAGAUUUUUGUAUCGACAGCAUGCGAUGAUUUGUUGCUACUUGACAGAUCGAAAAGGUAAAUUCUUCAAGGCUGGCAUGCUCAUAAGAGUUUGAAUGCUUUGGUUGAUUUGAAAUCCCUUUAUAAAUAUAUAGUCACAAAAAUAAUUCAAAAAUAUGGAAGGACAUUGUCUUGACACGACAGUAAUUUCCUUUGAAAUAAUAAUUAAUUACGAAUUAACAAUAUUAAUUAAUUGCGUCUCGACAUAUUAUAUGCUGUGAUUUUCAUUUUCAAGAAUUUAGGCCUUAAUACAAUAUCUUAAACAACUAUUUACAUGUAUAUUGCAAUAGACAUCUUCAGCCUUAUCAAAUGUUUAUAUUUGUAUUUGCUUGACAGGGCAAGAAGAGUUUUUAUUUUAUUUUUUAUUUUUUACGAAUAGCUAGAAGAAGUUAAUUAAGCUAUUAUAUUUUUUACUUUUUAUUUUUACGAUCACUGGAAUUCAGUUACCUUUCCAUAAUGAAAGUAUAGGUAGAUUAUUAUCAUUACUUACAAAACAUCAUCUUUUAAUUAUUCGGAGAAUGUUAGGUGAUUAAAUUAGAAUCGAUUUAGGAAAAAAUCAAUUAUCCCUUUGAGUAGGGGAUAAUUGUCAUUGUUAAAGCAUAAAGAAAAAAUUGAACCUGGCAUGAUCUUUUUUUUUUCUCCUUCUAUAGUCUAUUAGGUGUUUCUCUUCCUUGUAGGGAAAAGGUUGGUCUAUCCUUACAAUAUAUUUGUCCCAUUAGGAUAAGAUAUAUCCCUAAUCUACAGUCACAUCAAGGUAAAAUAUCUUAGAUCCAUUAUGAUAAAAUAUCUUUGAUCUAUGGUCUCAUCAGGAUAAAAAUAUCUCUAAUCUAUGGUCCCAUCAAGAUAAAUUAUUUUUGAUUUGUCAGGAGGCAUAUAAGCUCAGCGCUUGGCUAAGUCCAAAGACAAUGGGUCUAGCAAUUCACCAACCCAUAGGUGUUUGGGCUCAGCACUUGGCUGAGCCUAGGGAUGAUGGUUCAUCACCCUCUCAUGGUCAACCUUUUAAAGAGUAGUUUCAAACAACCAAACAAAAAAGCAGUAAAUGUUGAUUCAUCAGUAGCCUCCUAAAUCUUUGAGUAUCAUACGCAAAGAUUUUGAAAAGCCUUUACUCGUAGCAAAUAAUACCCUUUUUAUCUUUCCUAUAAGAUCUUUAUAUGUCCCUCCUAGCACUAUUAGGAUCCUUAAUUCUAGGCUUCUUUCUACGGGUAGGAGGUUUGCUUUGGGGAACAAAACGAUGGAUAGCACUUGAGUAGCUUUCUCGAUAUAUGUGAUGAAACGAAAAGUUUUUUUAUCUGGCGGUGAGGAUGUAGGGGUUUUCUCUUUAUAACCCUAGUUGUUCUUACUUUUAUCUUUCCUUUACUUUUACUUCAUUUAAUCUAUAAAAAAAAAGAGAAAAAACUACUCUCAUAGAAGAUACCUUAAGUCACGUCUUCUUUUGACCAGAGAAAAACCUGUAUGCAUCAUCCUCAAAAAAAUUUAAAAGGAUCUUUCUUAUUCUACCAGAAUUAAUGAAGCCAAGAAACACUAGGCUCCAGUUCUUAACAAGAAGUUUAGGUUUCAACCAGAACCUAAACAGAGCAAUAGGGGACAUGGGUCCCUCGGAUUAGGCCCUAAGGUCCGGGGGAUGCCAUAUUGGUGGAGAGGAGAAAAAUCCUCUUGUAGGGGCCUAUUUUCUUCUCUUACUAGAGGUGCUCAAGAGAUGGGGUCUCUUGAGCACAUACUUAAUAAAGCAUUUUUAGGUAUGGGCGGUGGACGAUCUAACCUUAGAUGGAUUUGUGAGGAAUCUGUCUUUUUGAAAACAAGGAUAUGCCAUAUGCAGAUGCCCACCCAUUAGUUUGGGUGUAUUCGUGGUGAAUCAUUAAGAAGCCUUCUAGUAUGAAGAGGUGUCGAAUGGUUUUAAUUUUAGUCUGUUAAAAGCCUUAUGGGCAUUGUUCCUAAAGGAACAGAAAACUCUUUAUCUAGGCAGAGUCCAUUCCAUUUUUUAAAGAAGCACCAAUCGCAUUAGGAAGAACAUGUCAAUCACUUCCAAGGUAAAUUGUGUUAUGGCAAUAAGGAGACUUUUGUUACUUCCAAAGUAAAUGUCCUAUCGCGUUAGAGAGAGUAAAUUCAUGCCAUCUCUUGGAAGAUUAAAUGAAGAGAGCAUAUUUAUCCUCAUUGCUGAUGUAGCGUUUGUCCCAUCCUUGGAAAAAGAUGUGAUUGCACCGGGGAGAACAUUUCAAUCCAUUUCGAGGUAAAUUAUGUCAUAGCACUAGGGAGAUGUUUGUUACUUCCAAAGUAAAUGUGCUAUUGCACUAAGGAGAGUAAAUUCAUCUCAUCUUUGGAAGAUUUGAUGGGAAGAGCGUAUCCAUCCUCGUUGUUGAUGCAGCGUCUAUCCCAUCCUUGAAGAAAUGUGUGAUCGCACUAUGAAGAACAUGUCAAUCUUUUUCAAGGUAAAUUGUGUUGUAGCACUAUAAAGACAUUCAUUACUUCCAAAGUAAAUGUGUUAUCGUACUAAGGAGAGUAAAUUCAUCCCAUCUUUGGAAGAUUUGAUGGAUAGAGCAUAUACAUCCUCGUUGUUGAUGCAACACCCAUCUCAUUCUUGGAGAAAGGUGUGAUUGCACUAGAGAGAAUAUGACAAUCCCUUCUAAGGUAAAUUGUGUCGUAGCACUAGGGGGAUAUUCAUUACUUUCCAAGUAAAUAUGCUAUCACACCAGAGAGAGUAAAUUCAUCUCAUUUUUAAAAGAUUUUGAAACCUAGAGAGUAUAAAGCAUUUGUUUUUUAAUUUUGAACAAUGUAAUUCAUAUACAAGAAACUUAUAUUUCUAGUCAUUGAUCAUAAUACAUUUUUAUCCCGCUUUGGGGCCCUAAAGAGAAAAGGGAAUUGUGUUUCUCUGAUGAAGGUUUGAUGGGUAGUCCUCAAAAGGACUCGUCUCAGAUAAACAUAGUUCUUUUAGUUAUUGUGGAAAUAUGACUGGAAAAAGAUAACAUAACCUCCCUAUAUAGGGAUCAUCUACCUUGUCAGGUCUACAAGCUUGGCAGGAGUCUUUAGCUGGUAGUAACUCCUGAAGUUGCACGGAUUGAAUCAACACUCUGUUGGUAGCCAUUGAAGGCUUUCCAAAACCUCAAAGUUCCAACUUCGAUAGUAAUUAAAGAUGAUAAUGACAAUGAAACCACUUAUUUGCAAUAACUCCUGAAGUUACACGGUUUGAACCAACAUCCCGUUGGUACCUGUUGAAAAUCUUCCAAAACUUUAAGGCUCCAAACCCGAUGGUAAUUAGGAAUAAUAACGGCCUGGCUCUUGAAGUAACCAAUUAUGAGGUCUUGUUUUGUCUAGUGAGCUUAAAGGUCAGGAAUCUUCUAAUUCUGGCAACUUGACCCACCCUUCUAUGGUGAAAGCGCAGGUAGAUCAUUAUCGUUACCUGUAAAAGGUCUUUUUUUUUAUCGAUUUGAAGACUCUUCGACUAUUAAAUUGGAAUCAGUUUAGGGAAAAAUAAAUUAUCCCUUUGAGUGAGGAUUUUUCUUUUAAGAUAGAAUUGAUAUUGUUAAAGCAUAGAUAAAAAAUUGAACCUGACACAAUCAUAUUUUUUUCAUCCUUUUAUAGCCCUCCAAGUGCUUCUCUUUCUUGUAAGGAAAAGGUAAAGGUUGACUUGUCUGCAAAAUAUCUUUAUCCCAUUUGGAUAAAAUAUAUAUGAUCUACGGUUCUAUCAAGAUAAAAAAAAAUAUGAUCUAUCAAGGGGCAUCUAGGCUUAGUGCUUGUCUAAGACUAAGGAUAAUAGGUCGGGGAUGAUAGGUCUAGCAACUCGCCAGACCCACAGACGUCUAGGCAUCCAUAAGCGUCUAGGCUUAGUGUUUGGCUGAGCCCAGGGACGAUAGGUCUCAUAACUUGUUAGACCCACGGGCGUUCGGGCUCGACGCUUAACUGAGCUCAAAAACAAUGAGUUAUAACCCUCUAAUGGUCAGAUUCAAACAACCAAAUAAAAAACAAUGAAUGUUCAUCCAUAUUAUACACACACACACAUGCAUUGCAUUAUACCCAACCUUAUUAUUAAGACAAAACAUUAUUCAUAUAAAAUAAAAUAACAACCCUCACGAUCAUAAUAACAAAUUCUACACAUAUUUGUUUUAAUUUUUUAAAAAAAUAAUUGCAGUCUACAAUCAAUGAAUAAUAAGGAUACGAUAAGAUACAGUGAUUUCCUCUUACAAUAAAAUUGAGUUCAAAUUAUGGAAAGGUAGUAUUUGAAUACAUGACUUUUCCGCAAAUAAAAGCAGAUCAUGCUGCCUCUAGAAUAGUGGCCAAUUGUUGCCAUAUACAUUUUUCUUGAAUGCUCCAAGAUUCCAUUUUUUCAUAAAGUAUAUACUUUGCAAGUGCAAUCGCUUUCCCUUGAAAAAUAAUUCCAAGAUAUAUUAGAAAAAGAAAGAAAGAAAGACGACCCAGCAAACAACAGCGAGAGCCUUAACAGCAAACUCAUUUGCAAAAGCAAUACUUAGAACAUCUUUGACAGCUAACCGGACCAGUUCAUUCAUUAAAAAAAAAAAAAAAAAAGUUGGCAGUAGGUAAUGGCUGAUCUUCCAAAGCUCUCCUCACAGCAGCAGCCUCCAAAGUCUUCUUGCCUCGCCAGCACAUAGUCAGUAGCUACAAACAAGAAUUGUCAGUCUGUUCAUGCCCACAACCGCCGCAUCCUUUCUCAAUCCCAAACACCAAGAGAGCAAAACCCCUUCCAUUUCCCCACCACCACCACAAGCCAUGGGUGGAAAUGGCAAACGGAGAUGGAACAUCUCUUUCUAUUCUCGCUCAAAAACUACUCAAACCCAACAACCUCCUCCUAAAGAAUUCCUCUGUCCCAUUUAUGGAUCCUUAAUGUCCGACCCUGUUGUUGUCUCCUCUGGCCAAACCUUCGAGCGGCUUUCUGUCCAAGUGUGCCGCGAUUUAGGCUUUACCCCCACCCUCGAAGACAACAUCCUCCCUGAUUUCACCACAGUAAUCCCCAAUUUAGCCAUCAAAUCAACGAUUCUCCACUGGUGUGAUACUUCAGGCACCCAGCACCCUGGUGCACCCGAUUACUCCUCUCUCGAGGAAAUUGUCCGCCAAAAAAUGAAAUUAUCGUCAUCGAAGUCGAUGCAAGUAAAUAUGACCCGUCCAGAUAUUAGAGUUUCCGAGAAGGAGCUCCUUGAGGGAGUAGCUGAAAAGCCUCCUGUUCUUUUCUCCCGCGCCAACACUGAGUUGACUCACCGAGUCAACCAUUUCUACUCCAGCUCCUCCGAAGAACCCGUGAUUGUCAAGACAGCCGCCACUCCAGCAGCUAGUCCGCUCACUCCUUUGCCUCUGGUGACUCGGCCAGCGUGCUAUUCUUCCACAUCCUCGUCGGCCAAUUCGAUUACAGAAUCCGAAGACCCUUCUUCGAAUUCUUCGUGCUCGCGUGAAGAAGAUGAGAUAGUGGAAAAGCUUAAAAGUGUUGAUGUACGUGAUCAAGAAGAAGGUGUGAUUUGGCUGCGAAAGAUCACGAGAACGAAAGUAGAAAUCAGAGUUUCACUUUGUACGCCUCGACUACUCCCUGCUCUUCGUGCUUUAAUUGCUUCACGACAUUUUGUUGUCAAGACAAAUGCUAUUGCUUCACUUGUUAAUCUGUCAUUAGAGAAAGCAAACAAGGUGAAAAUCGUGCGGUCGGGUUUUAUUCCUAUAUUGAUUGAUGUGUUAAAAGGAGGGUUUAGUGAAGCGCAAGAGCACGCGGCUGGUGCGUUCUUUAGUUUAGCUCUAGAGGAUCAGAAUAGAAUGGCGAUUGGUGUUUUAGGUGCAUUGCAGCCGUUGAUGCAGGCGUUGAAGGCGGAGAGCGAGAGAGCACGCCAUGAUUCGGCAAUGGCGUUGUACCAUUUGAGUUUAAUGCAGAGUAAUCGGGUUAAAUUGGUCAAACUCGGUGCUGUUUCGAUGUUGUUGAGUAUGGUGAAUUCUGGUGAUUUGGCAAGCAGGUUGCUGCUUGUGCUGUGUAAUUUGGCUGCUUGUAAUGAAGGGAGAUCGGCCAUGCUUGAUUCGAAUGCGGUGGCAAUACUGGUAGGGAUCUUGAGGGAGGGUGGUGGAGGGCAUUCGGAGGUAAUUCAGGAGAGUUGUGUGGCUGCAUUGUUUGCGUUGAGUCAUGGGAGUAUGAGGUUUAAGGGAUUGGCUAAGGAGGCAAGAGCUGAGGAGGUGUUGAGGGAGAUUGAAGAGCGAGGGAGCAAGAGAGCCAGAGAGAAAGCGAAGAGGAUCUUGAUGAUGAUGAUGAGAGGGAGUAACGAGGAGGUUGAAUGGGAGGAGGAGGUUGACUGGGAGGAGGUUUUGGGAUUUGGUGGAAUCAGAGGCGGCGGGAGAAGCUUGCAUGGUCCAAACUCUACCGAUUUUUGAUAAUUGAAAAGUCUGUAAUUAUUUAUUUUCUCUUGUUCUUUAAUGUUUCAUGCAUCUGUCUCUCUCUUUUGUUGCUGAGAUCAGUUGACUGUAAGCAAGGUUGUAAGAUUUUUGGAAUGUGGUGGCUGCGCACACAAAUGUCUAGAAACAAAGUUUGGAUUUAGUUUUAUUGGAUAUUUUACAUAAAUAAUUGCAGCUGACCUUUGCCAAGAGUUUCACAUUAUAUGAUCCUUUAUUGACUUGUUCUUGAUUACUGGCUUUCGUUUUCAUGAUGACUUGUGCAUUCUGAGCACCAAUGGAUGAUGGUAGGAAUUGAUAGGUACGCCGGCAACUUUCUCUGGCCAAUUGGCAACGCUUCUACUUGACAAUUGUUUUAUUUUAAUGUAUUUUUAAUUUUAAUUUAUUUUUAAUUAAAAAUUAUUUUUAAAAAUUAUAAUAAAUUAGAUUCUGCAAAUAAGAUCCUAUGUUUGUUAUAUUUAGAAAAAAUGUAUCAAAAUAAUAUAUUUUUUUAUUUUUUUAAAAUUAUUUUUAAUAUUAUCACAUCAAAAUGAUUUAAAAACACCAAAAAAAUAUUAAUUUUAAAAAAAUAAAAAAAUUUAAAAUUUAAAAUUUUUUUAAAAAUAUUUUUUUUAAAAAAAAACAAAUAAACACUUGAACAAUUUAAUCCAACAGCCUUUAAUGCAUAACCAACAUCCAAGAAUUUGCUGAUGUAGAAAUAUUAGGUACACAAAACACAAUUUUGGUUAAAAUGCCUUGCCCUAAUUUAAAAAGAAAAUCAUUGUAAGAAAUUUUACUGAAAAAAUGAAUAAAAUCAUUUUCAAAAAUUCUAAAAAUGAGUAAUGAGAAAAUCUUCCUAAGAUAAUAUAUUUUUAUCUGUUGCAAGGGAAAAAACGGUAAGAUGCAUGGAAUGGCAUUCUGAUAGACAUGGACUAGGCUUUUUUGUCAUGGAAAAACACUGAUGAAAAUUCAUUAAGUAAAUAGCUGCCUUCUGGUUUUCACAGAAGUAGUUGUGUAGAUUUUCUACAGACAAGGUAAGGGGUAUCGAAAUCAGGACUCCGUUUGUUUUUUUUGGAAAAUAAAUUACAGAAAAGUAAAUUAUUUUUUGAUGUUUGAUAGUGUCAUGAAAAAUAAGUUGGAAAACAUUUUUCAGUAUUUGGUUAUAUUAUGAAAAAUGAGCUGGAAAAUAGCUUAUUAAUAUUUUUUUUCAAGUUUAUUAAAAUAAUAAGGAACAAAUUUUACAAAUUAAAAAGUUGAAUGAAAAUGGAAUUGUAAAAAAUUCUAAUUUCAUAAAUUAUCUCAAAUAAAAUAAAUAAUAAUCAAAAUAAUAGAGAUCAAAUCUAACAGAUAAAAAAAAUUGAAAGAUGAUGAAAUUAAAAUAAUAAUAAUUACAAUUUCAUAAAUUAUUUUAAAUAAAAUAAGUAACAAUCAAAAGAAUGAGGACCAAAUUUGAUAGAUAAAAAAUUUUAAUUUAAAAAUGAUAAGAGAAAAGUAAAUAACAAUCAUAAAAAUAAGAACCAAAGUUAAUAUAAAAAUCAAAUUAAAUCAAAUUUUAAGGGAUGAAUUUGAAAAAAAAAAGAUUCAAACAAAAUAUAUAGCAAUCAAAAGUUUGAGGAUCAAAUUUGACAUAAUCAGCAAAUAAUAUGAUAUUUUUAAAUUUUUAACAACUUCUGAAAAGUGUUUUCCGUCCAAAAUAAAAGGAAAAAUCUUUCCUAAAAAUCAAGCUGAAUUUUUCUUUGACAGGAAAGUGUUUUUUGUUGACCGGAAAGUAUUUUCCGUUAACUAACUUUUUUAAUGACAAACAAAUAUAGAAAAGUUUGGAAAAUAAUUUUUCAGAAACUAUUUUCCAAAAAACAAACGCAUCUUAGGAUAUGCUGAUCCUGUCGAACAAACAUAGGAUAGUUAUCUUGUCUAUUAAAAACGAUCCUACUUCGACACGUAUGUAAAUAACAGAUGGUGAUUCUUUUAUCUAAUAAAAACAUAAUUCAAGUUUUUUAAAGUCUAGCAAUGAAGAUAGAAAGUAAUUAUUUCUUGAUGACAAAUAUUCAAAGUGAAUGUUAAAUUAUGUUUCAUGCAGAACAAUUUACUUUGAACAUACCUUGUUGGAUGUUUUUCAAUAAAUUUUUAAUCUUAGAUAUUAUAAAAAAUAAAUAAAAAAACUUUUUUUAUUCCCAUGAUUGAGAUCUUAAUUUCAUAAAUUUUUUCAUUAAAAAAUCGAUCAACUUAGAAAGUACCUUCGGAUUUUAUUUUAAAAUUGUACAUUUGAUUGAUUUUAAGUAAAAUGUCAAAACGUUACUUUAAAUUUCAUAAAAUUACCUUGUGCAUAACUUGUCAAUACAAAGUCUUUGCCUUAUAUUCCAUGAUUGAGAUUUUCAUAACUCAUUUUCUAUCCUCAAUAUUUUAAUUUUAUUAAAUUAAAAAUCUAAAAUAAAAUUGUAUCUCCAUCAAAAUUCUUUGUUUUUUUUUAAAUAGCUAUUUUGUAAACUUCUAAAGAUUUUUAGCCUUUUUGUAUAUUUUAUUUCGUUUCAUAAAACAGUGAGCCAAAAAAAACAAAAUAAACAAAAUAAAAACAAAGAUAAGAAAAAUAUAAGUGCUUUCUUUAAGAGAUAAGCACUUUAACAAAGAAGUUAGGGCAGAUUGUUUAUGUAAGACUUUCUCUC